UUUUUUUUGGUUUUUGAAAUUAAUAGUAGUAGCGUGGGUCACAGUCACGCGCUACAGAUAGUUGGUAGUAGUGCGUGUCGAACCCACGCUACUAAUAACACACAUACUAGUAGCGCGGGAUGCACCGCGCUACUACUACUAGUUAGCUGUAGCGCCGUAGUAGUAGCGCAGGUACCUGCGCUACUACUAGCUUUUAACACGCGCUGCUACUAGGAUUUUUCCUAGUAGUGGUAUUGAUGUCCUCAUCAUCCUCCCCUUCUUGAAAUGAAGUCGUCCUCGACGGAAGCUCAUCUUCCUCACCCAAAUAAGGCUUCAAAUAUGCAAUGUUAAAAGUGAGACUAACCCCAAAAUCUACAGGCAACUCAAGUUUAUAUGCAUUAUCAUUUAUUUUCUCUGACACCUUAAAUGGACCAUCAGCACAUGGCAUUAGCUUUGAUCUGCGCAAAUUAGAAAAUCUAUCCUUACGCAAAUGUAACCAAACAAGAUCUCCAGGUGCAAAGACAACACGUUUUCUACCCUUAACUCCAGCAAGUUUAUAUUUAGCAUUCAUACACUCAAUGUUCUCCUUAUCUAGCUCAUGCAUUUUUAAGAUCAAUUUAGCACGUUGUUUAGCAUCAAAAUUAACCUUCUCCAAAGAUGAAAGAGGCAACAAAUCAAUAGGUGCACGAGGAAGGAAACCAUACACAAUUUCAAAAGGGCACAUCUUAGUAGUAGAAUGCAAUGAACGAUUAUAAGCAAAUUCAAUAUGAGGCAAGCAUUCUUCCCACAUUUUCUUGUUAUUCUUCAAAAUAGCCCUAAGCAUAGUAGACAAAGUUCAAUUGACUACUUCAGUUUGUCCAUCAGUUUGGGGAUGACAUGUAGUACUAAAAAGCAGUUUAGUCCCCAACUUAGCCCAUAAACAUCUCCAAAAGUGGCUAAGAAAUUUAGUAUCACGAUCUAAAACAAUUGUAUUUGGCACACCAUGCAAGCGAAUAAUUUCACGAAAGAACAAAUCAGCAACAUUAACAACAUCAUCGCCUUUAUGACAUGGUAUAAAGUGUGCCAUUUUUGAGAAUCUAUCCAUGACAACAAAUAUGCUAUCCCUCCCCUUCUUUGUUUGAGGUAAACCUAAAACAAAUUCCAUAGAUAUAUCCUCCCAAGGAACACUAGGUACAGGCAAAGGCAUAUAGAAACAAUGAGGAUAGAGUCAUGACUUAGCUUUUUGACAUGUAGUGUAGCGAGCAACAAAAUGCUCAACAUCCCGUCUCAUCUUUGGCCAAAAGAAAUGUGUAACAAGUAUAUCCUCCAUCUUCUUCACGCCAAAGUGUCCCAUUAAUCCUCAUCCAUGCGCCUCCUGCAAGAACAAAAGACGAACGGAGCUCGCUGGAAUGCAUAGCUUGUUAGCACGAAACACAAAUCCAUCGUUAACGAUGAACUUGUUCCAUGUCCUCCCUUCCGUACAAUUCUGCAAUACAUCUUUAAAUUCAGCAUCAUGCACAUAUUGAUCUUUGAUGGUCUCCAAACCAAAUAUUUUAAAGUCAAGUUGUGAAAGCAUAGUAUAGCGGCGAGACAAUGCAUCAACAAUAACAUUUUCUUUACCCUUCUUGUGUUUAAUGACAUAAGGGAAAGUCUCAAUGAAUUCAAUCCAUUUAGCAUGUCUACGGUUCACUUUUGCUUGACUUUGAAUGUGUUUCAAAGAUUCAAGAUCAGAAUGUGUAACAAAUUUUUUGGGCCAUAAAUAAUGUUGCCAUGUUUCUAAGGUCCGAACAAGAGCAUAUAAUUCUUUAUCAUAAGUAUAAUAGUUCAAACUAGGCCCACUCAAUUUUUCAGAAAAGUAUGCAACAGGUUUGCCAUCUUGUAAUAACACACCUCCUAAUCCAAUUCCACUAGCAUCACAUUCAAGGUCAAAAGUCUUAUUAAAAUCAGUAAGUUGGAGUAAAGGAGCAUGUGUCAACUUAUCUUUCAAUACGGUGAAGGCCUCUUCCUGUGCGGUACCCCAAACAAAAGGCACAUCCUUCUUUGUAAGCUCAUUGAGAGGUGCAGCAAUGGUGCUGAAAAUUUCUCACAAAACGCGUGUAGAGACCAGCGAGUCCAAGAAAACUCCUCACUUGUGUGAUCAUUUUGGGCUGCGGCCAGCUCUCAAUAGCUUCAGUCUUGGCUUUAUCAACUUUAAUUCCCUGUGGAGUAACAACAUAGCCAAGAAAAGAUACUCGGUCGGUGCAAAAGGUGCACUUCCCAAGGUUACCAAACAAACGUGCAUCAAGUAAAGCAAUAAAAAUAGCACGUAAAUGUUCUAAAUGUUCCUCCAAAGAUCUUCUAUAAAUCAGUAUAUCACCAAAAUAGACUACCACAAAUCGUCCAAUGAAAGGACAUAAAACUUCGUUUAUUAAUCUCAUGAAAGUACUAGGUGCAUUAGUUAACCCAAAAGACAUGACUAACCACUCAUAUAAUCCAAACUUAGUUUUAAAUGUUGUUUUCCAUUCAUCCCCCAAUUUCAUACGAAUUUGAUGGUAUCCACUACGUAAAUCAACUUCCGAGAAUAUUGUAGAGCCACUCAAUUCAUCAAGCAUAUUAUCUAGCCUAGGAAUAGGAUGAUGAUAACGAAUAGUAAUGUUAUUAAUGCCUCUACAAUCAACAAACAUAUGUGAUGUACCAUCCUAUUUUGGCACUAGAAUAAUAGGAAUAGCACAAGGACUAAGGAAUUCGUGCAUAUAACCUUUGUCGAGCAGCUCCUGGACUUGACGCAUAAUCUCCUUCUUUUCCUCUGGAUUGGUACGAUAUGGUGCACUGUUAGGUAGUGAUGCACCGGGAAUUAAGUCAAUCUGAUGCUCAAUCCCUUGCAUAGGUGGUAAUCCUGGCGGCACGUCUUGUGGAAAGACAUCAAUGAACUCCUGCAAAAUGUUAGUAAUAGCAGGAGGCAAAUAGGAAGGCACGUCCUCGAGUGAAAAUAAUGCCUCUUUGCACACAAAAGCAUAGCAAACAGAUUUGCUAAAAUCUAGCUCAUUAAUAUCAGAUUUUUUGGCAAAUAAACAUGCACUUUUCAAUUUAAUUUCAGAAGCAACACUAGAUGGUUUAUUAUUAGACUUCAUUUGUUGCUCAAAUUCUUUUGCCACAAUCUGAUUUUCACUCUUUUUUCUCAUGUUUUGCUUUAUUAUCUCUAUUAAUAUCAUCUUUCAAAAUGGAAUCAGGAGACAUAGGAAGCAAAGUAAUAUUUUUAUCCUUGUGAACAAGAGUAUACUGAUUGUUUCUACCAUGGUGUAUAGAAUGUUUAUCAAAUUGCCAUGGUCUACCAAGUAAUAAGGAACACACUUGCAUGGGUACCACAUUACAAUCAGCAUAUGUAGAGAUACUAAAAUGCACACGAACAGUACGUGUUACCUUAACCUUGCUGCUGUUGUUGAACCAUUGGAUGUAGUAAGGAUGUGGAUGUGGUCUUGUGGUGAGAGAUAGCUUCUCCACCAUCUCCAUGCUAUCCAAGUUGUUGCAGCUCCCUCCAUCUAUGAUGUGCGCUGGAAUUCGUCUUCCACCACCCCGUUCUCCUCCGACCAUCGCACCCAUGUCUGACGCUCGUCGGGCCCGCGCCGAGCACCGGCCGCUCUCGCUUCCCGCGUCGCCCAGACGGCUCCUGUCGGCGGGCGUCCUCGCCGUUCCCCGUCACCUGCCGUCAACGCCGCCACCGGCCCGGCGGGGGACGAGCAGCAAGCAUCGUCUCAGCAUCCGUUCGUGCGGCAAGACGGCCGCAUCGCAACUCCCUCGCUCACCCCAGCUCGUUCUUCGUCCCGCCCGCUCCGCGCACCCAUGGAGGCUCGAGCUACGCUCAUCGCGGCAAACGAGCUCCUGCGCUACCGUCCCAUCGACGACGUCUACAAAGAAUGGCUCGACCGCGUCGCCGAGCUCGUCCGGGCCACAGGGGGCUCUCCUGCGCCGUCCGUUCCGCUGCACCGCACCCCGCCCCGCGUGGGCGACGAAGCUCCGGCGGCGCCCUGGCCGCCUCCUCCUCAAGAAGGCGCCAUGGCUCCAAGGCGCGUGGCCCCUGGGCGGAACCCGCUCCGUCAGGUGCCAGCGCGGCAAGAGCAGAGCUGCCAGGAAGUCCCUCGCCUGCAAGAAGCUGCCCGGGCGCUCCCUGCUCCAGCACGUCGCGACCAUGCUCCUGCUCCCGCACGUCAAGACCCCGCACUGCUCCCAGCUGCAGCGCGUGGGGACAUGCAAGACCAAGCUCUCCGUCACCCAAGGCCUCCCGUGGCCACAGCAGGCUGUCGUGCCUUCACCACCGAGCUACGCAGCGUCGCGUGGCCCGGCAAGUUCAAGCCAGACCUGCCUCCUCGUUACAACGGCACGGCUGACUCUGCGGAGUUCCUCCAGCUCUAUGAGCUGGGCAUCGAAGCUGCCAACGGAGACGAGAAGGUCAUGGUGAACUGGUUUCCCAUGGCGCUCAAGGACGGGGCCCGCACCUGGCUCCUGAACCUGGCUCCAGGCACGAUCUCCUCCUGGGAUGAGAUGCGCACCCGCUUCAUCGCCAACUUCCAAGGUACUCGCGACCGGCCACCCGCCGUGAGCGACAUGCGCCGCAUCAAGCAACAACCCGGGGAGACCCUGCAGAAGUACAUCCAGCGCUUCAACAACGCACGCCUCAAGAUUCCCAGGGUGACUGAGGAGGCCAUCGUCUCAGCCUUCUCCGACGGCGUGCGCGAUGUCAAGAUGAAGGAGGAGCUGGCGAUGCAUGAAGACCUGUGCACUUCCUUGGAGCUGUUCAACUUGGCAACCAAGUGCGCCAGGGUUGAGGAAGGGCGUCUCUCCCUCCUCGAGCUGCCUGUCGCAGACCCAGAAGAGAAGAAGCCCAAGGCCAAGGAUGUGAAGCGCAAGGGGGCUGUCGUGCUCGCGGCAGAACCAGACACCAAGCGGGGCAGAGAUCAGCCCGAACCUUCCAAGGGCAGUCGGUACUGUGUGUACCACGACCUCCACACCGACAACACCAACGAAUGUCAAGAGCUCUGAGCCGUGCCAGAAGGAAGGAUCGGCUACGGUCGAGGAGGAGGAAGGAACGCAGGACGCCGGGAAGACUGUGGCCCGCGCCAAGGGUGGUGCGAUCAACCUCGCGAGGAUCGUUGGCAAGACCCGCCUCGUGAGGGAGACUGGAGGGAUCAGCCUCGCGAGGAUCGCCCGCAAGGCAACGCAGGCCUCCCUCCACUGCCGCCACAGCCAAGGAGAAACGAGGACCGCCACCAGGAAGAGGGGGUUGGGGGCUUCCCGGAGCCGCGCGUGAUCGCCUGCAUCCUGGGCGGGGCUCAAGCCCCAGCCUCUCAACGCAUCUUCAAGCAGUUCGCCCGCGAAGUGAAUGCAGUCCUCCCCAGGCUCAAAGCCACGCGCCCUCUCAGGUGGUCGGCGUGCACCAUCACGUCCAGCUCAGUAGAUCAGCUCAAGUGUGCGGCUAUAGCCGGAGUCCUCCCGAUGCUUUGUUCCUCAAUCAUCAGCAACGUGGUGGUCACCAGGACCCUCAUCGAUGGCGGGGCAGGGCUCAACGUCCUGUCCGUGGAAACAUUCAACAAUCUCCAAGUGCCCUACAGCCAGCUUCAGCCAACCAAGUCUUUCUCUGGAAUCACCGACGGCUCCACGGUCCCGAUUGGGCAGGUCCGCCUCCCUAUCACCUUCGGGACACGCGACAACUACCGCACCGAGCUCAUCGACUUCGACGUCGCUCACAUUCGCCUGCCGUACAACGCCAUCCUUGGGUACCCAGCGCUGGCCAAGUUCAUGGCCGUAACUCACCACGGCUACAACGUCCUCAAGAUGCCAGGAAGUGGCAGAGUCAUCACGGUGCCCUGUGAAGAAAAGGACACGGUGUGUUCCCUGGCAUGAGCCUUUCAGGCCGCGUCACUGGAAGACCCGGAUCGCGGAAGCAGGAGGCUUCCCGAGACCGCCCCCAAGAAGAAGAAGACAUCGUCCGGCCUAGCCCCUCAGGAGGCAGGCCCCUCUGGGCCCGUGCCUGCCCAGGGGGAACCUCCUUCCAUCGCAUAGGAAAGCGCGCCCGGCGCCCUCCUCGGGCAGGGCUCGGGGGCUCUCCCCUGGAGGGCCACCGACCUGGCUAGGGUCACGAGGGAGGCGCUUGGGCGCCACAUGGAGGCGUGUUUCGAAGCACGUUUCCCUCAAGAAGGAGUAAGACAAGGAGAGCCAGACCCUCAGGAGUUCGUCAGCAAGGCCAUUCAGGAGCUACAGGAGUCAAGAGUCAUGAAAGGCGGCCGCCGCCUACCAGCAGUGGCUCCCCAUCCAGGCGAGGAUGGUGGGCUGCGCGUCUGCAUCGACAUACUAGGGCUCAACCGAGUCGCCUCUCUGGAGCGCCUCUGGCCAUCGCGAGUGGGGCGCUGCGAAGGUCCACCCCACAGCUACGUUCGCAUGCCUUACGGCUUGCCGAACGCGGCUGCCACGUACCAGCGCCUCAUGAGGGGCAUCAUGGAGGCACAAGAGGCCAGGCGUUCCGCGGCCCUGGAGGAGAUGCAGAUGGUCCGCGAGGAGCCACCAGCGCCUCCGGAGCCUCCCGAGGCCCCUGGGCCUGGGGGCUCGUGAGGAUCAGCUUCCGCAGCCCACCGAGUCUGCUACACCAACACCCCUUCAUCCUCAUCGUCAUCAGGUGACAUCUUUCAAGUUUCACUUCCAGCUGGGAGCGCCCCCCAGGGCUGCAUUAUUCCCAGGCCGCGUGGGUCCGUCCCUGCGGCAUGUAUCCCUUUUAUUUCAUGUUGUUAGCUUACCUUGUUGGGAGUGCCCCUCGGGCUGCAUCAUCCCCAAGUCACUCGGGCCUGACCCAGUGAUGUCCACCUUCCCAGCAUCUAUUUGGAUGAAUCCACUCCUUCGCGGCUAAUGUGUUUGACCUAGCUGCCCGCUCAACUGACGCCAACUAACGGAACUACUCCCAAACGGCACGACGCUUGCGCAUGGGUCUGUCCCUGCAAUGCCGACAAACCUGAAUGGCUGAGCUCUGGCCGCGGCAGCCCCGCAUGGCGCCACCUCGUCAAGCCUUUAGUGCCUCGUUACCCCUCGGAAGCAACCAACGGUUGACUGUCAAUUGUCAUGGCAACCCCUCGUUCUUUCUCUGAUGGGUCUACAGGAUCUCUUAAAGGAGCUGCGCCAGGCGAGGCCCUUGCGGUGUCUCCUCCACUCUCAUCCGCGCGAACCGCUUGCACGUUAAAGGGGGGUGCCUGAGCAUCGCGACUCAGGGCUCCUACUGGCUCUCCAGCCCUCACCCUCUGGCCUUGUCCACGGCAUCGCGACCUGGCAUACCAGUGACGGCUGAGACUCACUCGAGGCCCGGGACCCGAGGACGUAGAGCAAAAAGGGGAGCAAAGGCGAGAGGGGAGGGACACACGAGGACCUCGCCGAGCAACCUCGCGCCUGCCGAUGCACGGACCCGGCGACACACCAGAGAGCGGCCCCUGAUUCUCGAGAUAAGUCAUCACCCGGAAGCGCCAGCUGCCGUGGCACCAUCCCCGCACCUAAUGCAAUCCCGUGUUAGCGACGCCGCUGUCCUUUCUCACCAAACGACGGCUGCUUGAGCGCCAAAGGGGACCUCCUAAGCAUCGCGACUCAGGGGCUCUUACCGGACUCCGGGUCGCUCACCUCCUGGCCUUGACCACGGCAUCGCGACCUGGCAUACCAGCGACCGCUGAAGCCGCCUUGGGACUGGGACCUGUCGGCGCAGAGCACCAAGCCCUCGUGAGGUUCGAAAGGGAGGACUGAGCUAAGACGGAAUGAGCAACUCGCACAAUUCUACGACAAGGGUUAUAUUAACAAAACAGGAUCACAGGCACCUUACAAGCCCCCACGAGACGCGUCUUUGAUUCCUCGCAGGGAACAGAUCCUAAAGGGACACUAACUACGCGCGCCCCUGCAGAAGACGCCAUCAUCAACAGUGGGCCGUCAAGCACCGGCGCCAACCCCAUCUAGAUCAGAGUCAGCGGCGGCCUGACGAGCCCGCCCUGCUCCAGGAGCGGCGCCGGCUCGAGGGCUCGUAGCUGUCCUCGCUCGUCUCCGGAGUCGCGAAGAGCUCGCCGGAGUCGCUGGAACCUUCGACGCCUCUGCCGCCUGAGGAGCCACCAAGGGAGCGGUCGGCGGGCCCAGUCCUCGCCGCAGCAGGGUCCCGGCCACCUCUCCCGGGCCAGCGCUCCAGCCGGUGCCCGUUCGCAUCAAAGACCUUGAAGAACAUCACCGAAGCACCAUCGUAAUCCAAGUGGAUCGCGAAGGCGCCCCUUGUCCUGCAAACCCGGGCGAUUUCGCUCCAGCCCCGAGUCAUGAAGACCUCACCCGGGGCAACGACCGCGACCUCUGCCUCGGUCGCAAGGGUGCUGCAGCCGGUGUGCUGCAGCCAAAGCUCCAGGGGCUCUCCCUGCGGGAUGAUGGAGGCGAAGAAGGAAGGAAGGCGAAUCCAAGACUGAGGAGGCAUGGCGGCAUGGAACACGAACUCUCGGGAGGAGCCCUCGGUGUGGACCCCAGGGGGGACGACCCACACCUUCGUAACCCGUCGGCGCCGGUGGCGGCGCCGCCCGUGGCGAUCAGCAUCAGCUCCUUCAGGGCCCUCGUUGUGGGCGUACAAGGGAAGCGGGAACCCCGGCGGUGCCCGCUCGCACCAGGGCCUCGACACCACCUGAUGAGCCCCCUUGUCCGGGCCGCGGAGGACGAGCCGUUUCUUCGGCGGGAGCGGGUCUGGUUCCUCUCGGGGAGCCUUUUCCUUCUCUGCCGUCGAGAACCGGCUGAUCGGAGCCAUCGCAGCAAGAUGGAGCAAGGAUCGGGAAGAAGGAGAAGCAAGAAGGGAUGGACUGGAAGGGCACACGCCGUUCCGUACUUAUGGCCGGCGAAGGUCAACUGCCGACCUCCAUGAUCGCAGGUAAUCAUGACCCGCUUUGCAUGCAGGGACUUGUCCAAUCCGUGCAGUUGCCGAGGCGCCAUGGGGAAGUGGAGACGCCCACGUCCAAUCAACCGCCACGCGGCGCCCAAGGCCGCGGGCUGUUAGGGCCCGCGGCGCUUCACUCUUGCCCUUCCGCCUCCCUGCACGGCCAAGUCCGGGCACGCCUUGGGCCCGGGGGCUACUGCCGGCGUUCUGGGAACGGGGGUCCCCAGACUUGCCUGCCUGCGGCCUGCGGCGUGGCUCAAAGGGGGGCCCAGUACGGCCUAUCUUCAUCAACACAGACCAAAGACCCUCGCGAGGGGCCAAGCCUCGCGGGGUGGACGACACGGAGCUUCCUCAGGCACGGCCUCAUCAGGCUGGCUCGCGAGGAGGCGGAGAGAUCAAGGCGGGGUACCUCAGGAGGUGCCCGUGACGCAAGCCAUGACGACCAAAGGCGCCAGGUGGGCGCCAGCCCGCGCAGUGUCCUCCUUUCCUCUUUGGUGCAAAGGGAACAAGCGCAGCCGCGGAGUACCGAGGCAUCAGGCAAAGGUUGCCAUUUCAGUGCAACAAGAUCAAGACCAGGAGGACUGCAAGACGGAGGUCAUUGUAGAGCCCAAGACGGCGUCACCACCAGAGCUUUGUGCAGGCGAAGACUACUUUUGUCAGGAUAGCUAGUACUAGCUGUCCCCCUUCAAAUUAGCCCGCCAUUGUUGGCUCCCUUCCCGCUCAAUAUUUGGUAAGAGGACCAGGGCCUAUAUAAAUAGGACCAGUCACCCACAGGGUAGGUAGGAAGAGGUGAAGGACGAGGAAGAGAAGAUCAAAAUCAGAGAGAGAGAAGGGUGACUGAACUCCCCCUAGCAGUUGGUCCCCCCAGCCAAGAACAGACCCUCGCGAGGCUGUUCUUCCUUGUAUUGUUCAUCAUCAUCAGCCCAAGAGGCAAUCCACCACACCACACACUGGAGUAGGGUAUUACACCACAAUGGUGGUCCAAACCAGUAUAAACCCUAUGUCCCUUGUGUCGUUCUUCCCAUAGCCUAGAUCUUAGCGAGGCGGAGGGGUGCAGGUAGGUAGGAGGCGAAAUCUCCGCACGCACCCCAGUGUUCGAACCUCAAGGGUCUGCCGGAACCCGAAAUCCAACAUAGGUUGAGACCACCUAGGUGAGAGGUGGGCUUGGCCCCUGGUCGGCAUCCACGAUUACUUCAAAAUAACACACUCAACAAGAUCUUGGUAUUUGAUCUGAGUCUAGCCACUGGCCUAUACACACUAACCAACUACGCGGGAACAGUUAUGGGCACUCGACGUCGUGGUAUCAGCCAAAGCCUUCUUGACAUCAGCGACUGAGCGGAGCGCGCCGGGUUGGAACGCGUAACGCAACUUCCUUUGUGAUGGAGGUUGCUAGGUGUGCUCACCGGCCACGUAUGAAACGUGCAGGUGUGCAACGGGCGAUGGGCCCAGAUCCCUGCGCGCUUAGGAUUUAGACCGGCGUGUUGAGCUCUCUGUUGUGCUUAUGUAGGGUUCUGACGUGUUGAUCUUCCGAGGCCGGGCAUGACCCAGGAAAGUGUGUCCGGCCAGCGGGAUCGAGCGUGUUGCGUAAUGUGGUGCACCCCUGCAGGGAAGUUUAUCUAUUUGAAUAGUCGUGUCCCUCGGUAAAAGGACGACCCGGAGUUGUACCUUGACCUUAUGACAACUAGAACUGGAUACUUAAUAAAAACAUACCCUUUCAAGUGCCAGAUACAACCCGAUGAUCGCUCUCUCACGGGGCGACGAGGAGAGGAUCGCCGGGUAGGAUUAUGCUAUACGAUGAUACUUGGUGAACUUACGAUCUACUCUUCUAUAUGAUUCAAGAUGGAGGCUGCCAGAAGUGUAGUCUUCGAUAGGACUAGCUAUCCCCCUCUUAUUCUGGCAUUCUGCAGUUCAGCCCACGGAUACUAUCCAUUUCAUUAAUACCAAUGCAUAUGUAGUGUAGAUCCUUGCUUGCGAGCCCUUUGGAUGAGUACUCACGGUUGCUUUGCUCCCUCUUUUCCCCUUUCCUUUCCUCUCGGUUGUCGCAACCAGAUGCUCGAGCCCAGGAGCCAGACGCCACCUUCGAUGACUCAUACUACACCAAGGGUGCCUACUACUACUUGCAGGCCGCCGACUACGACCAGGAGUAGUUAGGAGGAUCCCAGGCAGGAGGCCUGCACCUCUUUUGAUCUGUAUCCCAGUUUGUGCUAGCCAUCUUAUGGCAACUUGUUUAACUUAUGUAUGUACUCAGAUAUUGUUGCUUCCGCUGACUCGUCUAUGAUCGAGCACUUGUAUUCGAGCCCUCGAGGCCCCUGGCUUGUAUUAUGAUGCUUGUAUGACUUAUUUAUUGUUAGAUUUGUGUUGUGAUACCUUCUCAUGAGUCCCUGACCUUGAUCGUACACGUUUGCAUGUAUGAUUAGUGUACGCUCACAUCGGGGGCGUCACAAGUUGGUAUCAGAGCCAACUGUCUCUAGGACUCCCCUUUCCAACUCCUUGGCCGAAGUUGAGUCUAGUCAUUGCAAAACUUUUACUAACAUGGUUGUAUGUCUUACGGGCCCACGUCGCCAUUGGGUGGUAUUAGGAUCUUUUAUUCAUCGUCUAUACUCUCGGACUAGGAUCUCUCCUCUACUCGGGUUAAAUGAUUUUGCUAACUCUAACACUAGGUUCUCAUAACUACUUCCUCCCGGAGAGCCCUCACUCUAGAUGAUUGCUUGGUGCACCGAAGGAUCCCGAAGAUACUCUGUGAUGUUCUCUCGAGACUUUGUGCCAUCGCUUUUGCAAUUCCCUUCCAUCGAUAAACCCCCUAUGGACACGUACACUUGUCCUUCAUACAAUCAUUUCCCGUUGAUCUUGUUAUUACAAGAUACCCUGAAAUUCUCUCUAUUGUUCUGAAAAUCCUUGGAGAUACUGCCUUGUAGUUCUUUGCCACAUGAUUACCCCUACGGGUAAUUCCUCGCUAUUCCGAGUAUCCGCUCAUCCCCAGUUGUUCAUGUUUUUCACAAAAUUCUUCAAAAUACUAUCCGAUCUUUCGAGAAUCCUCUGUAGCCUAUGGCUCUUGAAAUGCUUGUCUGCCUGCAUUAUGGUUAAUUCCAAAUGACUAGCAAUAUUCAUGGAUGUCCUUUUCCUUUAUCAUCUUGGGUCCCUUGAUUCAAUAUGUUGCGAAUGUUGCAAUCCUUAAUCAGAUCCUAGAAUUCAUCAUUUCGGCUUAGAUGUCAUUUUAAACAUGAUUUGGAUCUCGACCAAUCAAAUUGCCAUCGAUUGUACCCCUAAGCCUACUCAACUUAUCCAUCCUUGAUCAGAGCGUUGCUUCUGAUCCCUUGAUUUGGAAAUGAUAAUUCCUUUGCAUUUGAACUUUGAAAUAGUCAGUUGUUUCUAUAAUCUGAUGCCCUUUUUGUUCCUUCUUCCUCUGAUAGAGUACCGAUACUCGCAUCAGCUCCGUUCUAGACCAUAAGACCCCUUGUUGGAUUAUUACCCGACAGUGUCCUUCAUAUUCAAUGAACAUUUCCAUGGGUAUAUAAUGCCUUUGGUAAUUUGUAUCCUCUGUUUUGAUAACCAUACUCUACUUUCAAGCUUGUAUUAUUUACUCUGAAGUUUGUGGUAUAUGUGCCUAAGAUGCCCCGAUGGGCUGAACCAACGCUAUCCCUAAUCAGUGCGAACCCGAAAGAUUUCAUGGGUCAUACUUAUCUGGUAUUGCACCAGGUAAAACUUUCAACAACUAAUGUCAUUUUAGAAAUGUGAGAGGUGAAUGAAAGGUUAUGCAUUGCAGAAGUGGGAGUCGAUCUUGAACCUUUGUGUUCAUGCCCACGGGCACGAUAUGGAACUUAUCAUGAAAGCUUCUUGCAAGAAUAUUUAAUCAUUUGAAUAAUUCUUCUGGGAUCGUAAACUGGAUCCAUUGUAGUUAUGGUUCCGACCAUGCUAACCUUAUUCAAUAUAUCUAAAAGGAAACCAUUCCAUUGCCUCGUCUAUUCUGACAACAUUAUAGUAUCUGCUAUCACAAGUCAAUGCUCCAAUUUAGUUUCUAUUUUGAAUUGCCUUCAAGUAUUACCCUAUGGUAUCUUGAUAAUAUCACUGAACCAGGUUGCUUUUUGUGGGUCUCGUUGAUUCCAAUUUUUCCUAGGUCUGAGUUGUUAAGUCACUUGGGGACACCUAUAACUAGAUCAAGUCUGCACCGUGAUUAAACAACUCUUAGUAAUCUUCAUUGCUUGCGAGUAUAAUAAUCCUUCAAGUCAUUCCUAGCCUGAUUGACUAUAUCAUUAUUGUCUAAUUUUAACUAUGCUACCUGGUCCUUAUUCUCAAAGCACAACUUUUGACGAUGAGCUAAGCUUACGUCGAUCUUCCUCGUCUUAUCGUUUCAACUCGAACAACGAGCUUGAUUCCUAGUUUGUGUCGUACCUUGGUUCCAAUAACCUUCUGCUUCAUUAUUCCUUUGACUUGAUGUCAUCAAUGUUCAAUUGCUUCUUCAUGGAGCCUCUCGACAAAAAAAUUGUCUUGAUCAUCAUUAACAUUUUGACUCCUUCCAGGAUAUCUAUUGAAUUCAUGACAAGAAAUACCAUCCUUGCCCUUGAUGAUUUGUGUUAUCAUCUGCCACUUUAUUGCCUUCCCUCCAACACAAACUUGUUCGUGUUUUGUGUUUAUACCUUGAGUGCCUUGCUAUCCAGCAUUUGUUCUUCUUUACCUUGGAAUAUUACCACCUUUUAUGUCAAGACCGUUGUGGGGAUUUCACCACCUCUUAAGAAUUCUUGAUACAAGUGAUACUUCUCACCAUCACCAUUCCUUCUUGGUCCCCGUGUUGGUUAUAACCGGAAUGCCGAUAAAUGAACUAUGAUGUGUGAAUUCAAAACUUCUAGCAACCCUAUUGCUUGUAAGUUACGAAUGAUAGUUUCUUUCUUCAUGUGAUUGGUAAUUGACUCAUCAUCCUAACAUUGAUCGUGCUACUUAGUCCAUAUUUUUAUGCACUUUUCGAUCAAUGUUUAAUUUUGUAUGUUUUCCUCGAGCAUACCUACAUAUAUCAUUUGAUCUGACAAAUGUUAUCUCCUUGUUCACAUAAGUGUGGAAAUCCAUCUUUUAAAAAUCUCAAUGAAUUGUUGCUGAGUCAAUCAGCCACCUCCUCACCUCUCCUUGAUUUAAUGAUGAACUCUUGUUUUGGAACUCGCUUCCAUAGUUCAAUUCCUAAGAAUCUUACAAUGUCAUCUCGGCAAUUUGUGUUGCACCUUUCUUCUCAGGCAUCCUGAGUCUGAGUUAUCCUGACACCGAUCAGAUCUGAAUCUCAGUCAGAUAUGAUGGUUGGAACAUAUUUCCAAGAGUUAUCACAUUGGUCUUUAUGUGACCCGGUAAGGUGGUGUCGUGCCUAGCACACCUGGCCCGAGGCCUUGUUGUUAUAGAUUCCUUUUCGGCAAGGUUAUCCAUUCUUCCAUGCGGAAAUUGUAAGACUUAUUCUACAAGUUAUUCCCAAUGGAUCCUUUGUGUUUCCAAAGUCAGAUCUUCACCUGUUGACCAUGUCAAUGCUAUCUCGAAGCAUGUCUAUGGUACUCCGAUUUUUCACAAGAACAUUUGAAGCCCAAUGCUAAAUGGUUCCUGCUCAAUUAUCCAAACACCGUUGUAUGGGUAAUUGAUACGUCCAUUUUGCAUCAUGUUUUUAUAUCGAUAUUUAUUGCAUUAUGGGCUGUUGUUACACAUUAUAUCACAAUACUUAUGCCUAUUCUCUCUUAUUUUACAAGGUUUACAUAAAGAGGGAGAAUGCCGGCAGCUGGGAUUCUGGGCUGGAAUAGGAGUAAAUAUUAGAGACCUAUUCUGCGCAGCUCCAAAAGUCCUGAAACUUCACAGAAGACGUUUUCCAAAUAUAUAAAAAAUAUUGAGAGAAAGAACUUCACCAGGGGGGCCACACCCUGCCCACAAGGGUGGGGGGCACGCCCUACCCCCCUGGGCGCGCCCCCCUACCUCGUGGGCCCCCUAGAGGCCCUCCGGUGACCAUCUUCUGCUAUAUGAAGUCUUUCGAUGGGAAAAAUAGCAAGCCAUCUUCUCGGACGAAACUCCGCCGCCACGAGGCGGAACCUUGGCGGAACCAAUCUAGGGCUCUGGCGGAGCUGUUCUGCCGGGGAAACUUCCCUCCCAGAGGGGGGAAUCAUCGCCAUCGUCAUCACCAACGCUCCUCUCAUCGGGAGAGGGCAAUCUCCAUCAACAUCUUCAUCAGCACCAUCUCCUCUCAAAACCCUAGUUCAUCUCUUGUAUCCAAUUCUUGUCUCCAAGUCCAGGAUUGGUGCUAGUAGUGUUAAUUACUCCUUGUAGUUGAUGCUAGUUGGUUUAAUUGGUGGAAGAUCAUAUGUUCAGAUCCUAUAUGCAUAUUAAUACCCCUCUGAUUAUGAACAUGUUUAUGCUUUGUGAGUAGUUACUUUUGUUCCUGAGGACAUGGGAGAAGUCUAGCUAUUAGUAGUCAUGUGAAUUUGGUAUUCGUUCGAUAUUUUGAUGAGAUGUAUGUUGUCUUUCCUCUAGUGGUGUUAUGUGAACGUCGACUACAUGACACUUCUCCAUUGUUUGGGCCUCGAGGAAGGCAUUGGGGAGUAAUAAGUAGAUGAUGGGUUGCUAGAGUGACAGAAGCUUAAACCCUAGUUUAUGCGUUGCUUCAUAAGGGGCUGAUUUCGAUCCAUAUGUUUCAUGCGAUGGUUAGGUUUACCUUAAUACUUUUGUUGUAGUUAUGUAUGCUUGCAAUAGAGGUUAAUUAUAAGUGGGAUGCUUGUCCAAGUAAGGGCAGUACCCAAGCACCGGUCCACCCACAGACCAGAAUAUCAAAGUACCGAACGCGAAUCAUAUGAGUGUGAUGAAAACUAGCUUGACGAUAUUCCCAUGUGUCCUCGGGAGCGCUUUUCUCUAUAUAAAAUUUUGUCCGGGCUUGUCCUUUGCUAAAAAAAGGAUUGGGCCACCUUGCUGAACUUUAUUUACUUUUGUUACUUGUUGCUCGUUACAAAUUAUCCUAUCACAAAACUAUCUGUUACCACUUAUUUCAGUACUUGCAUAGAAUACCUUGCUGGAAACCGCUUAUCAUUUCCUUCUGCUCCUCGUUGGGUUCGACACUCUUACUUAUCAAAAGGACUAGGAUAGAUCCCCUAUACUUGUGGGUCACCAAGACUCUUUUCUGGCGCCGUUGCCAGGGAGUGAAGCACCUUUUGUAGGUGGAAUUUGGUAAGGAAAAAUUUAUAUAGUGUGCUGAAAUUUACUGUCACUUGUUACUAUGGAAAGUAAUCCUAUGAGGGGCUUGUUCGGGGUAUCUUCACCCCGACCAGUAGAGCAAAGAGUUGCUCCUCAACCUACUAAACCUACUGAAAAUGAAAAUGACUGCAUUGAAAUUCCUUCGGGUAUGAUAGAAAAACUGCUAGCUAAUCCCUUUUUAGGAGAUGGAACAAAACAUCCUGAUGAGCAUCUAAUAUAUGUGGAUGAAGUUUGUGGAUUAUUUAAGCUUGCAGGUGUACCCGGAGAUGUUGUUAGUAAGAAGGUCUUCCCUUUAUCUUUGAAGGGAGACGCAUCGACAUGGUAUAGGCUAUGUGAUGGGGUCUUGGAAUUACAAACGAUUGAAAUUGGAAUUUCAUCAGAAGUUUUAUCCUAUGCAUCUUGUUCAUCGUGAUCGCAAUUACAUAUAUAAUUUUUGGCCUCGCAAAGGAGAAAGCAUCGCUCAAGCUUGGGGGAGGCUUAAAUCAAUGUUAUAUUCAUGCCCCAAUCGUGAGCUCUCGAGAAAAAUGAUUAUUCAAAAUUUCUAUGCUCGGCUUUCUGAUAACAAUCGCACCAUGCUUGAUACUUCUUUGCUGGCUCUUUUAUGAUGACGACUAUUGAAUUCAAAUGGGAUUUAUUGGAAAGAAUUAAAUGCAACUCUGAAGAUUGGGACCUCGACAAAGGUAAGGAAUCAGGUAUAACACCUAGUUUUGAUUGUGUUAAAUCUUUUAUGGAUACCGAUAUUUUUCGUAAAUUUAGCACUAAAUAUGGACUUGACUCUGAGAUAGUAGCUUCUUUCUGUGAAUAUUUUGCUACUUAUGUUGAUCUCCCCAAGGAGAAGUGGUUUAAAUGUCACCUCCCAUAGAAGUAAAAGUAGCUGCACCUAUUAAAGUUGAAGAAAAGAUUGUCACUUAUAAUGAUCCUAUUGUUCCUACUUCUUAUGUUGAGAAACCACCUUUCCCUGUUAGGAUAAAGGAUCAUGCUAAAGCUUCAACCAUGGUUCGUAAAAGCAAUAUUAAAACAUAUACACCUCCUGAGCAAGUUAAAGUUGAACCUAAUAUUGCUAUUGUUAAAGAUCUCUUGUCUGAUAAUAUUGAUGGGCGUGUUAUUUACUUCUGUAAUGAAACUGCUAGAAUUGCUAAACCCUGUGCUAAAAAUAAACCUAGACUUGUGGUGGGCAUGCCUGUUAUUUCUGUUAAAAUAGGAGAUCAUUGUUAUCAUGGCUUAUGUGAUAUGGGUGCUAGUGCUAGUGAAAUACCUCGUUCCUUAUACAAAGAAAUUAUGCAUGAGAUUGCACCUGCUGAAAUAGAAGAUAUUGAUGUCACAAUUAAACCUGCCAAUGGAGAUAUUAUCUCACCAAUGGGAAUUGUUAGAGAUGAACAGGAACAGAUCCUACGCAAGUGUCACUCCGAAGCUUAUGGAGGACACCAUGCUGGAGAUAGAACUGCACAUAAGGUAUUGCAAUCUGGUUUUUAUUGGCCUACUCUCUUCAAGGAUGCCCGUAAGUUUGUCUUAUCUUGUGAUGAAUGUAAAAGAAUUGGUAAUAUCAGUAGACGUCAAGAAAUGCCUAUGAACUAUUCACUCGUUAUUGAACCAUUUGAUGUUUGGGGCUUUUACUAUAUGGGACCCUUUCCUUCCUCUAAUGGAUAUACACAUAUUUUAGUUGCUGUUGAUUACAUUACUAAGUGGGUAGAAGCUAUUCCAACUAGUAGUGUUGAUCAUAACACUUCUAUUAAAAUGCUUAAAGAAGUUAUUUUUCCAAGAUUUGGAGUCCCUAGAUAUUUAAUGACUGAUGGUGGUUCACAUUUCAUUCAUGGUGCUUUCCGUAAAAUGCUUGCUAAAUAUGAUGGUAAUCAUACAAUUGCAUCCCCUUAUCAUCCUCAGUCUAGUGGUCAAGUAGAAUUGAGUAAUGGAGAGCUCAAAUUAAUUCUGCAAAAGUCUGUUAAUAGAUCUAGAAAAAAUUGGUCCAAGAAACUUGAUGAUGCAUUAUGGGCCUAUAGAACUGCAUAUAAAAAUCCGAAUAAAAUGGUAUUAGCUCACUUACCUCUCGAACUAGAACAUAAGGCAUAUUGGGCUAUUAAAGAACUCAAUUACGAUUUCAAACUUGCCGGUGAGAAGAGGUUAUUUGAUAUUAGCUCACUUGAUGAAUGGAGAACCCAAGCCUAUGAAAAUGCCAAGUUGUUUAAAGAAAAAGUUAAAAUAUGGCAUGACAAAAGAAUACAAAAGCGUGAGUUUAAUGUAGGUGAUUAUGUAUUGCUAUACAACUCUCGUUUAAGAUUUUUUGCAGGAAAACUUCUCUCUAAAUGGGAAGGUCCUUACGUUAUCGAGGAAGUCUAUCGUUCUGGUGCCAUAAAAAUCAACAACUUUGAAGGCACAAAUCAUAAGGUGGUGAACGGUCAAAGAAUCAAAUAUUAUAUCUCAGGUAAUCCCAUAAAUGUUAAAACCAAUAUUAUUGAAACUGUAACCCUGAAGGAAUACAUAAGGGACACUUUCCGGAACGUUUCAGACUCCGAAAAGGAAUAGGUAUGUGGUAUGGUAAGCAAACCGACUCCAAAACAGUUUUUAAGGCAAUAUUUCUCCGUUUUGGAAUAUUUAGAAAAAUAGAAAAAUAAGUAGCAGUACAGGAAGGACACAAGGGAUCCACGAGGGUGGAGGGCGCGCCCUACCCUACUGGGCGCACUCCCCUACCUUGUGGGCACCUCGUGUGCUCUCCGGACUCCGUUUUCGUACACGACACGUAUUUUGGUCGGUAAAAAUUCAUUAUAUAAUCUCCCGGGGGUUUUGACUCCCGUCUCACGCAAAAAUCUCAUGUCUUUGUUUCGAGCUGUUUUCUGUCAGGGUUGUCAAGGCCAGGCAUUAUGUCGUCUCCCUCCUCCUCCAACCAUGAGGGCAACGAUGCUUGGCUAAUGAAGAUAGAGCUGAAGAGAGAAGAACCCAUGGAGGUCAACAAGGAUGAAGGGAUCAAGAAGGCCAUGGAGGACCAAGUUCCGGCAACAAAAGACACCCUUCAACUUGAUCACAAUCUUCUCACCCCAACAGAGAUCGAAGCUUUCAAGAUGAUUCAGUUAGCUCAUAUACAAAAUAAGUAUCUUACACGUAAAAAUAUUUUGUUGAAGGAGCAUAUCAUCGCACUCAAGGGCAUUAUCCGCAAGUUAGAAGACCUCCUACGCUCGAUGUGCGACUACCCAUCAUCGACAACCGCACCUUAUUCACCACCAAAGGAGACAUAAUCACAUGGGUAUGGGCACUCCACUUGGCAACUGCCAAGCUUGGGGGAGUGCCCCAGUAUCGUAUCACCAUCACUUUUAUCUUUACCGUUUUUCUUAGUUCGAUCCUUUUGGUAAUAUCUUGAUCUAGUAGAAUAAAAGUUCUUAGUAUGAUCUAGUUGUGAGUUUUGCUUUAUUAUCCUUCUAUGUAAUCGAGUCCGUGAGCUAUAUAAUAAAGAUUAGUGUUGAGUCAAGGGCUUGAUUAUUUUGCCAUGAUCCUAAGUGAAUAAAAGAAAAGAGAAACAAAUAAAAAGAAACAAAGAGAUCAUAUGGAUCUCAUGGAGAGUAAUGAGCUCACAUAGAAAAAGUAUGAUGAAUAAAAGUUGUUGAGGGUUGACAAACAUAGUUUUGGUCAUCAUUGCAAUUAAUAGGAAGUAAUAAAGAAAGAGAGGUCUUCACAUAUAGAUAUACUAUCUUGGACAUCUUUUAUGAUUGUGAGCACUCAUUAAAAUAUGAGAUGCUAAAGAGUUGACGUUGGACAAGGAAGACAACGUAAUGGGUUAUGUUUUCUUACAUCUGAGAUAAAUUAUAUUGUCAUGGAUCAUCCAACAUGGUUGAGCUUGCGUUUCCCUCUCAUGCUAGCCAAAUUCAUCGCACUAAGUAGAGAUACUACUUGUGCUUCUAUAUACCCUUAAACCAGUUUUGCCAUGAGAGUCCACUAUACCUACCUAUGGAUUGAGUAAGAUCCUCCAAGUAAGUUGUCAUCGGUGCAAGCAAUAAAAAUUUCUCUCUAAACAUGUAUGACUUAUUAGUGUGGGAGAAAAUAAGCUUUAUACGAUUGUGUGAUAUGGAAGAAAUAAAAGCGACAGACUGCAUAUAAAGGUCCAUAUCACAAGUGGCAAUAUAAAGUGACGUUCUUUCGCGUUAAGAUUUUGUGCAUCCAACCAUAAAAGUGCAUGACAACCUCUGCUUCCCUCUAUGAAGGGCCUAUCUUUUACUUUUAUAUCCUACUUUGCAUAAGAGUCAUGGUGAUCUUCACCCUUCCCUUUUACAUUUUAUCCUUUGGCAAGCAUAGUAUGUUGGAAAGAUCCUGAUAUAUAUGGCUAAUUGCAUGUGAGUUUUCAUGAACUAUUAUCGUUGACAUUACCCUUGAGGUAAAACAUUGGGAGGCAAAACUAUAAGCCCCUAUCUUUCUGUGUGUCCGAUUAAAACUCCAUACCCAUAAGUAUUGCGUGAGUGUUAGCAAUUGUGAAAGACUAUAUGAUAGUUGAGUGUGUGGACUUUCUGAAAAGCUCUUAUAUGUUGACUCUUUCCUAUGUUAUGAUAAAUUGCAAUUGCUCCAAUGACUGAGAUUAUAAUUUGUUAGUUUUCAAUGAAGUUUAUGAUUCAUACUUGAAAUUGUGAUUGAAUUAUUACUCUAGCAUAAGAAAUCAUAUGACAAAAAUUAUAUAAGUUGUUGUCCUAAGAAUGAUCAUGAUGCCCUCAUGUCCGUAUUUUAUUUUUAUCGACACCUCUAUCUCUAAACAUGUGGACAUAUUUUUCGAUUCCUGCUUUUCGCUUGAGGACAAGCGAGGUCUAAGCUUGGGGAGUUGAUACGUCCAUUUUCCAUCAUGCUUUUAUAUUGAUAUUUAUUGCAUUAUGGGCUGUUAUUACACAUUAUGUCACAAUACUUAUGCAUAUUCUCUCUUAUUUUACAAGGUUUGCAUAAAGAGGGAGAAUGCCGGCAGCUGGGAUUCUGGGCUGGAAAAGGAGUAAAUAUUAGAGACCUAUUCUGCACAGCUCCAAAAGUCAUGAAACUUCACGGAAGAAGUUUUCCAAAUAUAUAAAAAAUAUUGAGAGCAAGAACUUCACCAGGGGGCACACCCUUCCCAUGAGGGUGGGGGGCGCGCCCCCUACCUCGUGGGCUCCCUGGUGGCCCUCCGGUGACCAUCUUCUACUAUAUGAAGUCUUUCGAUGGGAAAAAAUAGCAAGCCAUCUUCUCGUACGAAACUCCGCCGCCACGAGGCGGAACCUUGGCAGAACCAAUCUAGGGCUCUGGCGGGGCUGUUCUGCCGGGGAAACUUCCCUCCCGGAGGGAAAAUCAUCGCCAUCGUCAUCACCAACGCUCCUCUCAUCGGGAGAGGGCAAUCUCCAUCAACAUCUUCAUCAGCACCAUCUCCUCUCAAAACCCUAGUUCAUCUCUUGUAUCCAAUUCUUAUCUCCAAGUCCGGGAUUGGUGCUAGUAGGUUGCUAGUAGUGUUAAUUACUCCUUGUAGUUGAUGCUAGUUGGUUUAAUUGGUGGAAGAUCAUAUGUUCAGAUCCUAUAUGCAUAUUAAUACCCCUCUGAUUAUGAACAUGUUUAUGCUUUGUGAGUAGUUACUUUUGUUCCUGAGGACAUGGGAGAAGUCUUGCUAUUAGUAGUCAUGUGAAUUUGGUAUUCGUUCGAUAUUUUGAUGAGAUGUAUGUUGUCUUUCCUCUAGUGGUGUUAUGUGAACGUCGACUACAUGACACUUCCCCAUUGUUUGGGCCUAGAGGAAGGCAUUGGGGAGUAAUAAGUAGAUGAUGGGUUGCUAGAGUGACAGAAGCUUAAACCCUAGUUUAUGCAUUGCUUCGUAAGGGGCUGAUUUGGAUCCAUAUGUUUCAUGCUAUGCUUAGGUUUACCUUAAUACUUUUGUUGUAGUUGCGGAUUCUUGCAAUAGAGGUUAAUCAUAAGUGGGAUGCUUGUCCAAGUAAGGGCAGUACCCAAGCACCGGUCCACCCACAUACCAGAUUAUCAAAGUACCGAACGUGAAUCAUAUGAGCGUGAUGAAAACUAGCUUGACGAUAUUCCCAUGUGUCCUCGGGAGCACUUUUCUCUAUAUAAGAGUUUGUCUGGGCUUGUCCUUUGCUACAAAAAGGAUUGGGCCACCUUGCUGCACUUUAUUUACUUUUGUUACUUGUUGCUCGUUACAAAUUAUCCUAUCACAAAACUAUUUGUUACCACUUAUUUAAGUACUUGCAGAGAAUACCUUGCUGGAAACCGCUUAUCAUUUCCUUCUGCUCCUCGUUGGGUUCGACACUCUUACUUAUCGAAAGGACUACGAUAGAUCCCCUAUACUUGUGGGUCAUCAGUAAUGUCAUGAAAUUUGUCUCCCCUACCUAAAGAGUUUUCUACAUUAUAUCCUGUCAUGGAUAUCAUGCUCUACUUGUCCUUGGGAAGGAUAUACCCUUGAAAUAUGUGUUUAAACACAUUUCCCUUUCCAUUGUUCUGUUUAUUCUGAUAAUCAUAUUUUCCUUUCCAUUAACGUUUCUUCUGAUCUAUAUGAUCUAAGUAGUAAUAUUCUCCUGCUUAUGUAAACACCUCGGUGUACAAUUCUAUCAGCAAGACCCUGUUACUAUUGUUGAUGACAUUCAGGUAGCCACCGAUGGACGAGAACUUUGCCUAUUGGCCUGCCUCGUUCAACGAGCAGGAAAAUGGUUCUCUUCGUCCCUCGCCCUUGCUACCAAUGUUGUUGCUGACAUAACUGACAGGCGAUACUCUGACCUGCCUUGCUAUCUUGACCGUGCAAAUUGAUUAGCGCCUUCCUGCUGUUAAUCCACAUGGUGGGCCCAUAUCUCACACCUCCAUAGGAUCGAAACCUGCCUCUCCUGUACAGCCCUGUUCUAAAGUUAUUCCUCAUGCUUGUCUUGGUAUGAAAAAUCACGAGCCACCUUCCUAGUGAUCUAUUCUGGUGUCAGGUGCAAUACUUAUUCCCAUUGCUCUGAACCCCUUUCACCCUCUGUUUCAGGCAAUGGAUGGUUGCCUACCCGCUUGGAGCUUAUUUUUGCCCAUCCUGACCUUGCUCUCAAUAACUUCUUGAAUUUCAACUCGAGAGAUGCCUCUAUGCCACAUUCACUGAGAUAGCCCCUAGGUACCUAACAUAUGUUGAGCUACGUCCUUCCCAAGUUUUCCCCCUUAGCUUUCCAUAAGUACAAUGGAGAUCCUGAAGGAAGAAUGACGACUUCAUCAGGAUGACCUGAAGCAGACAAAUGAAGACAUUAACGUAAUGGAUCGACCUCUUCGAGAAGAGCAACCAAGAUCGAGAAGAAUCGUUAGGAUUUCGUAACCAGAACCCCCCCCCCUCUUAUACACCUCUUAAAUCUCGGGACGAGAUCUCUUGUAGUGGAGGAGAAUUGUGAUGCCCGGAUAAUUAAGCUACAGUAACCCUGUGCUAAUGAUGCAACGUCACCACGAUUAUUGUUGAUCAACUCGUGUUGGUUCGAAACCUAGUUCAAAUUUCAAAUUUAAAAUAAAGUCAAACGGUAAAAGUUUUCAAACAUUAAAACUAAAGUGUUCGCAAUGUGCCAAGUAAUUCAUAAUAAAUAUUGGUGGAGAAAUCAACAUUUUUUAGAAGUAAUUAAAUGCACUAAUUUAAAAUAAGCAAGUCUAAAAACUUACAUAAAUGCAUUUAAGUAAUAAUCAAAUACUAACUAUUCUAUUAUGGUGCCAAAAUAUUUAUGGCAGUGGAAAAUCAAUAAUACUAAUUUAGGGAUUAGGUUUUCAUUUUAUAAAACUUAAGAUAAAAUAAAACUUAAAAAUAAAAUAAAAAUAAAAAUAAGGAGAAAGAACUCCCCCUCGGCCCAACUGGGCUUUAGCCCAGCCAGGCUGACCCAACUCCCUCCCCUGGCCCAACCACGCCUACAACCUCCCCCACUCCCCCUAAGCCUAACCGGUCGCCCCACUUCCCCCCACUCCGUGGAUCCACCUCUCCCCUCCUCUGUCCCUCGAUUGGAUCUAGGGGAUCGACCCGUCGCCGCCGCUGGAACCACGUCGCCACACCCCACCAUAGUCGUUGUUGCCUCCUCAUCCCCGCCCUCGAGCUCGGUCGUCAGAUCGACCGAGGCCGCCCCGUCGUUGCUCGUCACCGACCGUCGCCCGACGNNNNNNNNNNNNNNNNNNNNNNNNNNNNNNNNNNNNNNNNNNNNNNNNNNNNNNNNNNNNNNNNNNNNNNNNNNNNNNNNNNNNNNNNNNNNNNNNNNNNNNNNNNNNNNNNNNNNNNNNNNNNNNNNNNNNNNNNNNNNNNNNNNNNNNNNNNNNNNNNNNNNNNNNNNNNNNNNNNNNNNNNNNNNNNNNNNNNNNNNNNNNNNNNNNNNNNNNNNNNNNNNNNNNNNNNNNNNNNNNNNNNNNNNNNNNNNNNNNNNNNNNNNNNNNNNNNNNNNNNNNNNNNNNNNNNNNNNNNNNGCCGCGCCCCGCACGCACCUUGCCCUGCGCACCGCGACCCCUCCCCGCUCCCGCAGACAGUUGCGGCUACUCCGCGCCGCGCCGCAGCUCGUCGCCGAACCGCGACGCCUCCUCUCGUCGUCGCACCAGCACAUGUGCACCUCGCGCGCAUGCACUCACCGUGCAUGUGGCUUCCCCCUGCGCACGGCUUCUCCUGCUGCUGUUGCACUGCUCCGCCGCUCCGCCCCUACAUCGCUCGCCUUGCCGCGCACCUCACCACCAUCGCUGGCGCCCACGGCUAUUGCACCACGGCACCGCACCGUCCCGCCCCACCAUGUUGCAGCAAUUGCGGCUCCUGUGCCGCCGCCCACCCGCUGCUCUACACCACCCCUGGCCACGCCCCCCCUUCGGCCACAACCCGCACCUCGCCGGAGCCCCGCUGUGCCCCGGCGGCCUCCCCCGUGCUCGGGUGGGCUGCGCCCUGACUGGUGCCCAGGCGGGCUUGCCCACAAUUGAAGCCCGCAGAGCGCACGUGCUCGCUAUUGCCUAUGGGCCACAGACAGGUGGGCCUAGCUCUAGAACGUUUAGAAAAAAUAGAUAAUUAAAAAAAUUAAAAUUAAAAUUAAUUAAUUAAUUAGUUAAGUUAAUUAACCAAAUUAAUUGUAGUUAAUAAAUCUAAUCAAUUAGUUAGACUAACUAAACCUCAUUAGUUAGUCUUAGUCUAUGACGAGUGGGAUCCACACGUUAGUUUGACCAGUCAAUGGUUAGAGUUGACCGCUGACGUCAUGCUGACAUCAUAAUUGUAUUUUCUAAUUAAAUUAAUUCUGUUAAUCCUAAAAAUGAUUUAAAUCUUUAAAAAUUAAUAUAAAAUAAUCCGUAACUCGGAUGAAAAUACUUUGUACAUGAAAGUUGCUUAGAACGACGAGACAAAUCCGAAUACGCAUCAUGUUCGUCCGUCGUACAUGAAAGUCGGGUCGGCUCGUAGAGUACCUGCAAGUGAUUCUGAUGUGGGGGCUGAAAGGACAGUUGGUUCCAUCCCGGUAGUGGUAGGCCUGGGUUCCCGACGGCCCUCGACUCUUACUUUGUGGCGGAGCGACAGGGCAGGUUGAGACUGUGGGAGUCCUAGAUUAGGGGAUCCCCGGGCGUCCGGGCUAUGUGACAUGGGCCAUACUAGUGGGCCGUGAAUAUACAAGAUAGAAGGUUUCCCCCCGUGUCCGGAUGAGACUCUCCUUGGAGUGGAAGGCAAGCUUGGCGUUCAGAUAUGAAGAUUCAUUUCUCUGUAAACCGACUCUGUACGAUCCUAGCCCCCUCCGGUGUCUAUAUAAACCAGAGGGUUUAGCCCAUAGAGGCAGUCAUAAUCAUACAUGCUAGACAUCUAGGGUUUAGUCAUUACGAUCUCGAGGUAGAUCAACUCUUGUAACCCAUAUACUCAUUAAAGUCAAUCAAGCAGGAAGUAGGAUAUUACCUCCAUCAAGAGGGCCCGAACCUGGGUAAACAUUAUGUCCCCUGCCUCCUGUUACCUUUGAUCCUUAGACACACAGUUCGGGACCCCCUACCCGAGAUCUUUCGGUUUUGACACCGACGUUGGUGCUUUCAUUGAGAGUUCCUCCGUGUUGUCGAUAGAAGGAUCGAUGGCUCGCCUCGUCGUUAAUGACAAAAUCACCUCUAGAAGAGCCCUAGUUCCUGGGCAGAUCCUCCAGAUCAGCAUUUUCACCAUAGGCGCCUGCCCGGCCAUCAAGCCCAAGGCGGUCCCUCGGAUUUCCAAAAAUCAUCUCCGCAUCAACCCCGAAAGCGUUGAUAAGAUGGAUCCGGCAGAUGUCUCAUCUUUAAACGAACUGCUAGAUCGCAUCACCGCCAUGGGGUCGCAAUGGACUACGAUCUGAUUGGGCUUAAACCCGAUCAGAGGGAAAUUAGGUCUCCACCUAUCACCCACCUGGUGACUGUCGUGGAAGAACAAGUUGAGGACACCGCUCCGCCUAUGCUGAACACAAACUAUGUUCGGAUUUCCGAGACCUACAAGCCGGACACUCACCUUCGAGAAAGGAUCAUCUGUCCGCCGAACAUAGAAUCAGGUGCUGAGUCUAAAAACCUCAAGGACACUCUGGAUCCUGGGCCAACGAUCUCACAAAUUUUUCAAAAUCCGGAUUCCAUAGUGGGUCAGGGUUUGGAUUUAAACCAACCCACCCACCACAAUCAAUACUCUCCAAGCAAUUCCGGUCCCCCGGACAUAUGCGAUUUAAUGUAUAUACGACAGCAACCUCAGGAGACAGUCCGUCACUUUUGGGCUAGAUUCCUACUUGUUAAAAACAAGAUCAAAGGUUGCUGCGACGACUCGGUAUCAGUCUUUUGCCAUGACUGUACGGACGAGGGCAUCCUCAAGGCCCUCAAUCGGCGCCACAUAUUGCACUUUGCAUAUUUGGCACACAUAGUACAGAAGUAUUGUGCAAUGGAAAGCGCUUGGAAAGCCCAGACAACUUGGUGGGAACCACCAGCCUUUAAGCCACCCACCGGCCGGACAAAAAGGAUGCACCCUUAUGGAGGACCUAAUCAUUACUUCAUGGAAAGAAAAAUUAAGCCCUUACCGGGACACAGAACUGUCCUUGAUGAAUGGCUCGACCAGCCCUGUCAAAUACACGUGAUGCCAAAUUCAACUCAUAGCCUUCGGGUAUGUUGGAUACUCCGGCAGGUGGCUAAAAGCGGGGAGGCUAUUCUCACCAACACUACUCCGGCAAGGCAUCCCCCCGAGGAUAAUGACCUCAAUGUGUUUACGGUCUUUGAGGCCUUUUCUUCAAACAACCGGCGUAAAAGGGCGCUCCGCGACCUCGCCGAAGUCAAUCAAGUACCCGCAAUAAAACCUUGUGACGAUAUGGCGAUAACCUUUAAUGACAAUGAUGAGCCAAGGGCCUGAUCAGUCCUAGCACCAGCCGCUUUGGUUCUAAACCCAAUUGUAGACGGCUUUCGCCUCACCGAAGUGCCCGUGGACGGUGGCAGCGGACUGAACCUCAUCUACGAAGACACGCUCAAUAAAAUGCAAAUGGACAGAAGUUGCAUUGAGCAAAGUAAUACAACCUUUCGAGGAAUUAUCCCCAGUCGGUAAGCAAGAUGCUCGGGGAAUUAAACUCGGCAUGGUAUUCGGCACGCCAAAGAACUAUACGUCCGAAGAAAUAAUCUUCCAGGUGGCCCCUUUCAAUAGCGGAUAUCAUGCCCUGUUAGGGCGAGACGCAUUCACACGCUUUCAAGCCAUACCUCAUUACGGGUACAUGAAGCUCAAAAUGCCUGAGCCCAACAGUGUUAUCACUGUCGCCAGUGAUCUGGACAUAGCACUCCACGCCAAAAACAAAACCGCAUCCCUGGCCCUCGAGGCACUGUCCGAAGCCCUGGCGGCUGAGGAGCUCACCACUCUGCGUUCCACAUUGGAUAGAGACGACGUAAUUCUUGAUAAAAUGCCUAAAUCCACUUCUUUCAAGCCAGCAGAUGAAAUAGUCAAAUUUCAAGUCCACCCGACGGACCCCAAGAAGACAGCUUCCAUUGGGGCACAACUGGAUCUAAUGGUCGACGUUGCAUUGCGCGCGUUCUUGCCCGAGAAUUGGGACAUCUUCGCCUAGCACCCCUCGGAUAUGUCAGGAAUCCCACGCGCACUGGCCGAACACAGUCUCAAUAUACUGAAGGGAUACAAACCAGUCAAGCAAAUGUUGCGGCGAUUUUCCAAACCCAAACAACAGGCUAUGGGUGAGGAGCUAGCCAAGCUACUCGAAGCCGGGUUUAUCAGAGAGAUCAAACAUCUAGACUGGCUAGCAAACCUGGUCAUGGUACCAUAGAAGGAUAAAACCUGGCGCUUGUGUGUCAACUUCAAGGACCUUAAUAAAGCCUGCCCUAAGGAUCUCUUCCCACUACCUCACAUCGACCAGAUUAUUGAUGCAACCACAGGACACGACUCACUGUGCUUCCUCUACGCAUACUCUGGAUACCAUCAAAUCAAAAUGAAGGAAUCCGACCAAGCCGCAAUGGCAUUCAUCACCCCAUACGGGCCCUUCUGCUUCAACACUAUGCCAUUUGGGCACAAAAACGCCAGCGCCACCUAUCAACGCAUGAUUCAAACGUGCCUGGAAAAGUAAAUCGACAAGACAGUUGAGGCGUAUAGAUGAUGUAGUCAUCAAAACUAAGCAUGUAGAAUCAUUGGUGGACGACUUACGCCUUAUGUUCGACAACCUCCAAAGAUAUGACGUACGGCUCAAUCCGGAAAAGUGUGUUUUCGGCGUUCCUGCCGGAAAACUGCUUGGGUUCAUUCUUUACAGUAGGGGAAUCGAAGCAAACCCAGCCAAAAUCCGAGCCCUGUCACAGUUGGCUACACCAACAAACCUCAAGCAGGUCCAAAAAGUAGCCGGGUGCGUGGCAGCUUUGAGCCUCUUUAUCUCCAGAUUAGGAGAAAAGGCAUUGCCAUUGUAUCGUCUGCUCCGACGCACUGACCACUUUGCAUGGACGGAUGCUGCAACAGCCGGACUAGAAGAGAUAAAAGCUUUGUUAGCGAGCAACCCAAUCCUGGCCAUGCCAAACGUCGGCGAACCCAUGUUACUAUACACUAGCAAAACAGCAUGUGUGUUGCAACGGGAGAGAAAACAUAACACACGCUCUUAACUCAACAACUAUCACUCAAGACCACAAUAGGUCCAUCUCUUUUAUUUUUCUGAGGCAUCAUAUUUGUGUUGCCGCUUAUCCUCCUUCUCAUCCUCGCCGGCGAUGGCCUCGGUGUUCACACAAAGCAACAAAAAACAUGUGUUGAAUAUGGUUAAUCCUAAGGCGUCUCUCUCUCCCUCUCUCCCUCUCCCUCCCUCUCUCUCUCUCGCUCGCUUUCUCUCACUCCCGCGAUGAGAAAUCUGUUGUUUUCCCCUGCGACAUUUUUCAAAGGUAUGCAUGUGUAGUUAUCGAUGUUUUCUUUUCCGUAUAUGGUUAUAGUGGGGUGUUUAUUUGCAAUCCGGAUCGCCACCAGUAUGGAAAAAAAGAAUCUUGCGCUAUAAAUUAUAAGGUUGCUUUCAUAACAAUAUUUUAAAAAUAUUUAACAGGUAAAAUUAACAUCAUAUUUAGAUUCCACACAUUUUUCUAAUAAAAUUUCAUAUAUAUAAUAUGUUAAAAUCAAAGUUACAGUUUAAAAGAUACAUAUAAUUUAGAAAAUCAUUUGGUUUGACUCAAAUAUAUUCCAAAAUAAUAUUUAAAAAUACUUAACAGGUAAAAAUAAUCUCAUAUUCAUAUUCUACAUAUUUUUCUAAUCAAAUUUCAUAUAUAACAUGUUCAAAUCGGAGUUACGGUUUAAAAGAUAUGGAUGAUUUUAAAAAGCAUUUGUUUGACUUAAAUAUGAUCCGCGGAUGAAUUACCUAAAACAUCAGGGGAGUUUUCGAAAAAUGUAAAAUAACGGUUUGGGUGUGACUUAAAUCCGGACGGCCGGUUGAUUUCAAGAAAAGACAGGGACUUUUGUGUAAAAUACAAAAAUAAUGACUCGUUUUAACUUAAAACAGGACCGCCGGUUGAAUUCUCUAAAAUAGAGGGACUUUUCUGAAACAUGCCAUGACGGACGAAAGAAACCCAAUUUGCUUUAUUAUUAGGUAAAGAUAUCUGCAACGCACCAGGUGGUGAGUGCGGUGCUCAUCCUCGAACGAGAGGAAGAGGGACAUAAAUUCCCACUUCAAAAACCGGUAUACUAUGUAUCGACGGUCCUCACACCAUGCAAAUCCCGAUACCCACAUUAUCAAAAGAUAGCGCAUGCGGUCUUCAUGGCAUCCCGGAAGCUGCGACACUACUUUCAAGAGUGUUCGAUCAUGGUGGCUACCGAAGUACCACUUAAUGACAUCAUAAACAACAGGGACGCCACCGGCCGGAUUGCCAAAUGGGCCAUUGAGCUCUUACCAUUUAAAAUAACAUAUAAGCCACACCGAGCCAUUAAAUCUCAGGUGUUGGCUGACUUCGUCGCCGAAUGGACAGAGGCCGAACUUCCUAAAGAGUACGUCACAUAUUCCAACUGGGUGAUGCACUUUGACGGCUCUAAAAUGCUAGCCGGACUUGGGGCUGGUGCUGUCCUGACAUCCCACAUAGGAGACAGAGUUCGUUAUGUGCUCCAAAUACUGUAUACAGAAUCUAAUAAUGCAGCCGAAUAUGUGGCCCUAGUGCAUGGUCUACGGAUGGCCAUCUCUAUGGGCAUACAACGCCUAGAGGUGCGUGGGGAUUCAAACCUAAAAAUAUCCCAAAUAAACGGAGAAUUUGAUGCAAAGAUCCAAAGAUGGCGGCUUACCACAACGCCGUACUCAAAAUAUCAGCUCAGUUUGAGGGGCUCGAGUUUCAUCACGUGGCCCGAGAGAGUAAUCAAGCAGCGGACAUCCUUGCUCGCAUGGGCGCCAAGCGCGACCCCAUCCCACCCAAUACCUUUGUGGAAAGGCUCUUCAAGCCAUCCGUGGCAUGGCAGGACGAGAGCAGCAACACUAGUCCGGAGUCGGUCAUACCCCUAGAUUCCGAACACAAUUCCGAUAUCAUCGAGGUAUCAGACACCGAAAUAACACCAUCUGUGGCCCAUUUGUGGCCCAUGUAAUCAUGGCAGUGAUCGCCCCAUGCAUCGAACCCUUCCUGGCCUACCUUAAUAGGCGAGAGCUCCCUGAGGACCAGAAUGAGGCUCGAUGCAUCUUCCGACGCUCGAAAGCCUACAAGGUUCAUGAAGGAGAGCUCUACAAGAAAAGUACUACUGGAGUCCUUCAAAGAUAUAUCUCCGAAGAAGAGGGACGGUAGCUCUUGGCCGAAAUCCAUGAGGGUCUUAGCGGUCAUCACGCCACAGCUCGGGCCCUUGUAAGUAAGGCCUUCCAUACCGGCUUUUUCUGGCCUACGGCCCGAGAAGAUGCACAAGACCUCGUCCAACGUUGUGUAGGAUGCCAGCUUUUCGCCAAUCAAAACAAUAUACCGCCUACCUCCCUACAAACAAUCCCGAUUACUUGCCUUUUUCGGUCUGGGGGCUUGACAUGGUUGGACCCCUUAAAGGAGGAAGCCAUAAGAAAAAAUACAUGCUGGUCGUGGUAGACAAAUUCACUAAGUGGAUAGAGGCCAAGCCAGUUAAAACGGCCGAAGCCGGACCGGUGAUAGAUUUCAUAUCCGGUGUCGUACACUAUUAUGGUGUCCCACACAGCAUCAUCACUGAUAACGACUCUAACUUCACAGCCGAUGAAGUAAACACUUGGUGUGCUAAUCGGGGCAUCAAGCUCGAUUACGCCUCCAUAUAUCACCCUCAAACAAACGGUCAUGCCGAACGGGCUAAUGGCCUGAUAAUGAGAGACAUUAAACCCAUACUAGUGCAAUCCUUAAAGGAGUCAGAUAAACACUGGAAUGAGGAGCUUGACUCCGUACUCUGGGGGUUGCAGACCACGCCGAAUCGCACGACCGAAUACACACCAUUCUUCAUGGUGUACGAUGCAGAGGUCGUCUUGCCCUACAGUAUUAUGGUGGCGGAUAGGAGGAGCGCGAUGUCGCAAAAGCUCACUCAGCAUUCUUGUCAGGACCCUGAUUCCAAGUCACAUCAAUCUAGCCGGUAACACCUCAUAUCACAUUGCGGCCUCACGCACGGUAUCCCCACGGGUGUUGCCUUACCAUGGCCCGGGACCGUUUGCGCCUUUUGGCUCACGUAUAUGAUAGUGUCGCUAGCAUCCAUAUGACAGAGAACCCGGGCUGACAUGGCUAGUCGUGAACCCAAAGUGGCACAGACCUAUGGAGACAGGCAUACGUGAAUCAUAUCGAGCAUGUCGGUCAUUAGCGUGUGAAUCCGGGCUGUAGCACUGGGCUAACAGGACUCCGGGGAACCCGGGCUGUAACAGGCUAGGCAGGACUCCGGAAGUCACCGCGUGACAUUUCCCCGAAGGGACAGACAUAGGAACGAAGUGAAACACAUGUCGUCCAGUCAAGUGUCCUGAGCAGUAGUGCUGGGCUAGCAGGACUCCGGUGAACCGGGCUGUAGCGGACUACUAUGGCUCGAGGAGCACUAGACUACAUUUCCCCGUAAGAAAGGCUGCCAAGGAUAAACAACUAGAUUGUCGGAUCCCACACAUACCAAGCAUUUCAAUCAUACACACAAUAUGCUCGAUAUGUGCAAAUACAACAUGGCAUCACAACAAAACUCUACAACUCAAGUACUUUAUUUAAAGGCUCCAAAGAGCCAUACAUAACAUGUUCAUACAGGUAGGGGUCGCAUGACCCGACACUCAAGUCAUACAAGCAUACAAGCACAUGCGGAAGCAAAUAGUCUGAGUAGACACACUAGAAAGCAAGAAGGCUUCUCAAAGCCGGUCUAUCUACAUAGGGCCCUCCAUGGCCAGGAUCACCACCUGGGUGGCAAGUCACUCAUCGAUGUCGAGAUCUACAUAAAACCCAUCGGAGGGGGCGGUGUUGUCGUCUGAAAACAGUAAUUAAGCAAACAUGAGUACAAAGGUACUCGGCAAGUCUUACAUCAGAACCUACUAUACAUGCUCAUUCUCAAGAAGGUGGUGGAGUUAUUGCAGCAGGCCAGCUUUGACUCUUGGCUAAGCUAUCCUACGGGACACCAUUAGUAAAAUAGUUUUCGCACAUGAGUCCACUAAUCACCAACACAAUACUCCACCGGGGAUCCUCCCUCGUCAUCCUACGAGAGGGCCAUCCUCGGUACUCACACUUAUCUUGAGUCUUUUAGUAGUAUCCAUUAACUUGUCUAUGAACUGUAUAGGCAACCAAGUAGUCCUUUACCACGGACGCGGCUAUUCGGAUAGUUUUAUACCCUGCAGGGGUGUACUUCGUCACACAUGUUUCCACCACUUAGCGUCUGCACACGACAUGUGCUCGGCAGACUUCAAGCGAAAACCGACGUGGGUGUAGACCACGACCUGACUAACCGCACAAGUCUCUAGUCCAAGUUUAUCGCCUAUUCAGGUUCCAUCCGCAAGGAAAUCCAGCCAGGGUGUCCUCAACGGCCCCAAACGAUGUGUACAGGGUCCCGAGACGCCAAACGGGCGCCCGGCAUACCCGGCCACAGUGUAUCUACCGCAUCAUAGCCCACCCCUAGGGUCAGCGCUACGCACGGACGCCAACACAUAACCUACAAACAACAGAAACUAGUUGCAACUCCUGGGCAGAGGGCGAGAGGGGUCAGUAAGUCGAGCGGGAUCAUAUUUCAGGGCCCAAUGUGUGGUAGUAGCUGAAUCUUAAAUCACGCAUGCAGAUCUCAGUUCUUAUGGACGGCCUCAAUGAAACAACCCACCAUGUACUCCUACAUGGCCUCUCAUCGAUACCUUUACCAAAACAUGUUCAACACAUCCCUCACAUUACCGACAUAAUCAUUUCACUCUAGCCCAUAACCCAGAUGAACCAGACCUGACACAACUCUAAGCAUAGCAGGCAUAGCAAGGUAGGAAUCACAUACAUGGCUCAAUCAACUCCUACACAUGCUAGUGGGUUUCAUCUAGUUACUGUGGCAAUGACAGGUCAUGCAGAGGAUAAGGGUUCAACUACCGUAGCACACAGCAGUUUGAAUCGCAUUGUCUUAAUGCAGUAAACGAGAGCAGAAGCAAGAACAUGGGUUUGUACUGGAAUGAUCAAUGAGUUGCUUGCCUGAUGGAGUGGUAGUAGGGUACUGUCCUUUAGUUGGAUACUCGGAGAUAUCCUCAGAGGCAGAACCUACCACGAAGGAUACACAGAACAUAAUCAACACAUGACAAUAUGCAACAAUAUGAUGCAUGCUAUGACAUGGCAAAAUGAUGUGUCCUGCCUAAUGCAAUGUGAAACAAGUUGAAAUGGGUCCAUUUGAACCAAAGAUUCAAAUGGAAGUUAAAGUUCUUAUGCAUAAAAAGUGUAUUAGCUUGUUUCACCUAAACAGCAAGGUUAAAUUGGUUUGUCAUGCAUGAAACCAUUACAGAUGAAUAGAUUGAAUUUUUCUGAUCAUUUUUCAUAUAUAAUUUGUUUGAUUUGGAGCUAUGGUUGAUUUUCUAUGAUUUUUAGAAGUUUUGGCUAUUUUCUGGAAUUUCCUAUAUAUAAAUAAAUCCAGAAAAUGAAUAAUUGCGUCAGCACUAUGUCACUGCAACAUCAGCAGGUCAACUGGGUUGGUCCAGGUCAAACCUGACCAGUGGGGUCCACUGGUCAGUGACCCAGUCAACUAACAGAGUUAAUUAGCACUAACUAACAGUUAAAUUAGGCUAAUUAGUCCCUGGACCCACAUGUUAGUGACUGCGGGUUUAAGUUAAGUUAAUUUAACACUUAGCUAAUUAACAGGCCCCAUUUCAAGUUUAAAAGAAAUUUAAACAUGAUGCACAAGUUCAUCCAAUCCUAAUGCAUGACUAGAAGCAGGGAUGUGAUAACUCACCCCCACUCAAAAGAAUCUCGUCCCGAGAUUUAGGUUCCACCGGGAAGAAGGUGGGGUACUCGAGUCGAAGACGAUCCUCCCUUUCCCAAGUGGCUUCUUUUUCAGAGUGGUGUGACCAUUGAACCUUGAGAAACUUGAUGUUAUGGCGUCGAGUGGUACACUCGACUUGAUCAAGGAUACGAACGGGAUAUUCCCGAUAUGAAAGAUUAUCUUGUAGAUCAAGCAUUUCGUGGUCCACUCCACGGAUAGGAUCCGCGAAGCAAUGCCUGAGUUGAGAUACGUGGAAGACAUCAUGAACUCUGGAAAGAUGCGGAGGUAGUUCCAAUUGGUAGGCAACUUCUCCUCGUUUGGCAAGAAUGUGAAAGGGUCCAAUGUAACGAGGAGCCAAUUUGCCUUUGAUACCGAAACGAUGGGUUCCCUUUAACGGAGUAACCCGAAGGUAAGCUUUCUCGCCGACUUCAUAAGUCAUGAGCUUAUGUUUACGAUCAUAUUGGCUCUUUUGACGAGAUUGGGCUGUUUUCAAUUUCUCACGAAUAACGCGAACCUGCUCUUCUGCUUCCUGAAUCAUAUCCGGGCCAAAGAGUUGUCUUUCCCCGGUUUCUGACCAGUUAAGAGGCGUUCGACAUUUUCGUCCAUAGAGAACUUCGAAAGGAGCUUUGCCCAAGCUAGCUUGAUAACUAUUGUUAUAAGCAAACUCCGCGAAUGGAAGGCAUUUCUCCCAACCCAUUCCGAAUGAGAUGACAGAAGCUUGGAGCAUAUCUUCCAGAAUUUGAUUGACUCGCUCUACUUGACCACUUGAUUGAGGAUGGAAGGCGGUGCUAAAAGAGAGACGAGUUCCCAUAGCAUUUUGGAAACUUUCCCAAAAUCGAGAGGUGAAGAGACUCCCACGGUCUGAGUUAAUUUCCAAUGGGACACCAUGAAGAGACACUAUUCGGGAGAUGUAUAAGUCAACUAGCUGGCUAGCGGUGAUACUCUCGCGAACAGGUAGGAAAUGGGCUACUUUGGAAAGACGGUCGAUCACGAUGAAGAUGGCAUUAUUCCCUCUCUUGGUCCUGGGAAACCCAGUGAUGAAAUCCAUACUGAUUUUAUCCAUUUCCACUCAGGAAUAGCCAAAGGUUGAAGGGUGCCAGUAGGCCGUUCGUGCUCUGCUUUAACACGAUGACAGACGUCGCAACUAGCAAUGUAUUGAGCAAUUUCACUCUUCAUCCUAGUCCACCAAAACCUCUGGCGUAGGUCUUGAUACAUCUUGGUAAUACCAGGAUGAAUGGUGAGAGGGGAGUCAUGAGCUUCCUUAAGAAUCAACUAGCGUAAAUGUUGUUUCUUGGGAACCACCAAGUGGUUCUCGAAGAAGACAACACCUCGCUCAUCCAUGGAAAAACAUUUAGCAACUCCGCUAGCGAUGUUUUCCUUAAUCCGGGAUAUGCCCUUAUCACAUUUCUGGGCAGUUAUAAUUUGAUCCGUAAGAUUAGGCUUCGCCACCAGGGUGGAUAGGAAUCCUCGAGGAACAAUGUGAAGAUUAAUCUUACGAAAUUCCUCAUGGAGAAGUGGUUGACUUUGUUGUAACAUCAGGUUGUUACAAUAGGACUUACGACUUAGUGCAUCAGCCAUGACAUUGGCUUUGCCCGGGGUGUAAGUUAUUCCUAAGUCGUAAUCCGAGAUCAACUCGACCCAACGCCGUUGCCUAAGAUUCAAAUCCGGUUGGGUGAAGAUAUAUUUCAAACUUUGGUGAUCAAUGAAGAUCUCGCAACGAUUACCGAGGAGGUAAUGUCACCAAGUUUUGAGUGCAUGGACUACAGCUGCAAGCUCUAGAUCAUGUGUGGGAUAGUUUUCCUCAUGUGGGUGUAAUUGCCAUGAGGCAUAGGCAAUUACCUGACGAUCUUGCAUGAGUAUGCAACCUAGUCCUUGUCGUGAGGCGUCGCAAUAGAUAAUAAAGUCCUUGGAGAAAUUUGGUGGUACCAGUACGGGAGAAGAUGUCAGGCGUCUUUUCAGUUCCUAAAAGCUGAACUCGCACUGUGGGGUCCACUCGAACUUCUUAUCUUUCUUGAGGAGUUCAGUUAGAGGUUUAGCAACCUUGGAGAAAUUCUCGACGAAGUGGCGGCAGUAGCUCGCUAAACCAAGGAAGCUCCGAACUUGCUUGACCGUCUCAGGUGGAGUCCAAUCAAGGACGGCUUGAACUCACUCGGGAUUGACAGCAAUACCCUUACCAGAGAUUACAUGGCCUAGAUAGGUCACUUCUGGCAACCAAAUUUCACACUUGGAGAAUUUGGCAUAAAGGCGAUGCUCUCGAAGUUUCGUCAAUACCAGCCUUAGAUGUUCGGCAUGUUCCUCUUCAUUCUUGGAGUAGAUGAGUAUGUCAUCGAGGUAUACUAUGACGAAUUUAUCCAAAUACUCCAUGAAGACCGAGUUCAUUAACCGAGAGAAGCUGGCUGGGGCAUUGGUUAAACCGAAGGACAUAAUGGUGUACUCGUAUUGGCCAUAACGAGUAACAAAGGCCGUUUUCGGAAUGUCCCCGUUUCUGAUUUUGAUUUGAUGGUAGCCCAACCUCAAAUCCUUCUUGGAAAAGACUGAGGAUCCAGCGAGCUGAUCAUACACAUCGUUGAUCCUGGGAAGCGGAUACUUGUUCUUGAUGGUGACCAAGUUGACAGGUCGGUAAUCUACAACCAUCUGAUCCGUUCCAUCCUUCUUCUUGACGAAGAGGACGGGGCAAGCCCAAGGAGAGGAACUAGGACGGAUGAAACCCUUUUUCAAGGACUCAUCGAGUUGGUUCUUAAGCUCGGCUAGUUCUAAGGGUGCCAUCUUAUAGGGUCUUCUAGAAAUUGGAACGGUUCCUGGAACAAGGUCUAUUACAAACUCGACAUCCCUGUCAGGUGGAACACCUGGCAGUUCUUCGGGAAAGACAUCCGGAAAGUCUCGGACUACCGGAAUAUCCUCAAGGUCUGGAAGGGGGUUGGCAUUUAGGGAGUAAAGUUGGCGCUUGGCCACUCGAGUUAAGACACUGACUAUCUUGCCCGAUGGGUGACUAAGUUGAACGGUUCUAGUGGCACAAUCAAUCUUAGCAUAAUGAGCUGACAUCCAGUCCAUACCCAAGAUGAUGUUUAUGUCCGAGGACUUGAGAGCUAUUAAGGAUGCAAGGAAGACAAGUCUAUCGACAAGAAUUUCGUUCCCAUGGCUUACUCUAGAAGUUUGCCAUCUAGAGCCAGGGGUUUGAAUUUCAAUGGUAGUGGGCAUGUCACAGAAUGUCGUGCUAUGCAAUCGAGCAUAAUUCUCGGAUAUGAAUGAAUGAGAUACUCCAGUAUCGAAAAGAACAGACGUCGGAUGGCAAUUAACAAGGAGCGUACCAAGGACGACGUUAGGAUCCUCAUGAGCCUCCUCGGCUGAGACAUAGUUGACAUGGCCACGUGUAGUGGUGACCGGCUUGGCGUAGAAUGUCUUUCCCGCGGGCUUACCACGGCCAACGGACUUUCCAGACUGAUUGGGGUUGUUGUUCUGGGGACACUCUCGACUAUAGUGACCCAGCUCUCCACACUUGAAACAUGUCACAACAUUGGGGCGGGGAGCAGCAUUAGCAGUGGGGCCACCAUAGGGCUUGGGCGGUGCAAACUACUGGUUGGGACGAGGCGCCUCAAAGGAUGGCCUCGGAAUGAACCUGGGUGGCAGUGUCGUGCUUGGAAUCCACACCCGGCACUUCUGAGAUCCAGAGCCGGAUGAAGAGCCAAAAUCACGAGAGUGCUUGCAUGAAGCGUCAUAGUCAGACUGGCCUGUCUCAGCACUGAUGGCUUUAUUGACCAUCUUUUGAAAGGAGGUGCACUCGUGCAGACGAAGAUCGCGGCGAAGCUCAGGGCUAAGUCCCUUGCAGAACCUUGCCUGCUUCUUAGCGUCGGUGGAUACCUCUUCAGGAGCAUAUCGUGCCAGAUUCCCAAAUUCACGACUAUAUGCAUCCACAGUCAGUCUUCCUUGGAUAAAAUUGCAUAACUCUUCCCUCUUGCGAUCUAUGAGACCUUCCGAAAUGUGAUGCUCACGGAAAGCCUCACUGAAUUCAGCCCAAGUAGUGAUUUGGCCGACCGGGCGCAUAGCUUCAAAGUUUUCCCCCCAAAGGCUAGCAGGGCCUUCGAGGUGAUGGGCAGCAUAAGUAACCUUAUCAGCUUCGGCUAUGUUGGCAGAACGUAGGUUGUGGGUGAUGCUGCGAAGCCAGUCAUCCGCGUCGAGGGGCUCGACGGAAUGGUUAAACUUUGGUGGGUACAACUUGAUAAAGUCAUUGAUUGACACCAAGUCAUUUCGCUGAUGGCGUGCAAUGUUCUGCUCAAUCCGCUCCAGCAAGCGGUUAGUCUCACGCUUGUUUAUUUCCGCCUCCAGCAUCACUUCGGCCAGAGAAGGCGGGUGGGGCAGAUUUUCACCCCUAGCUGCACUGGCUUCCCCUGCUCCGAGGCAGCAGGGUUGCUGCGGGUGUUGACCAUCCUAGGAGAAAACAAGACAACGGUUUAGAUAAGGAUGGCACAAACUUAGCAAGGAAGUUCAGAAUGUAAUGGAUAACACGGAAUGCAGAGAUGUUCAUCCGUAUGUCAUGGUAAUAUAGAACUGCCAUAUAUAUACCAACGGUCAUACACACCAUACAUAGUUUAGUACAAGCCUAGGAUACAGUACAACUAUGAUGAAAGACGUUACAUCUCAUCGGAGGCAUUCCAAGCUCCUAUACAUUAUUUGUCUACACCUCUGGAAUUGAUUACACACAAUGUCAUAUUCCACAAGUCACGCGGGACGGUGGAGAUACAACUAUUACCAUACUAGUGAUACUACUACUAACUCAGACAGCUCCGUAGUAGUCCUCAUAAAAGUCACCUCCAUAGCCUGGAAGUUCAACGUGAUCAUCCGGGAACAGAUGGUCCUGAGGAGCUUGUGGACCAAAGGGGCUAGGAUGAGGUCUUGGACCAACAAACGGUGGCCUGCGGGGACCACGAGGUGGGGUGAUGCCUCCCACAUCACGCCAAUCCACCAUGUAUGGCAGAGCAGAUCUCACAGGAUACAUAUCCCUUGUAUCCAUACAUCUAGCUUGCACCGCAGGUGCAAACCGAGUCAAAGUGGCCCAAUGAUCAGCACGGGUGUUGAAAAGCUCCAGUCUCAAGGCCCGAUUCUCUCGGUCCUUAUCCUCGAGCAUCUCGACAGUGGUGCGAGUUAGUGAGUCCUCACGUGUGGAGUCAGCAUAGAUAGCCUAGAGAUACCCUUGCGCUCCCGGGAGUGAAGCUGGCAUAUAACGGAAGUCGGUGUUCCGAAGCAGGCCAGUCCGGACUCGCAUGAUGGUCAUCAUAGAAUAGGCAGCAUCCUGCACAGCCAUCUCAACAGUAACCCUGAGUCCAUAGGAACAGUGGAGGGGCUCGCUAGAUCCAGGAUAAGAAGGAAAUAUCCUGACGGUGCAGAAAUAUUGGCUUUGAUUAAAGUCUCGGAAUUGCUCUUCGACAGUGUAUUCGGGAUACCAACGGUAACCCGUCUCGAUCAUUACCCGGACUAACAUAGCAGUAUGACCGGGCACAUCGAGGCACCAGGUCAGGCGAACCACUUGGUUUUGAGCAUGAGUGGCCAUCUGAAAGCACAACCACAAUGCAAAGACAUUAGAAUUUCUAGGGAAAAUUGGACAGCAUAACAGCUGUAAAUGCUCAGAAAAAGAUUUGAGACAUCCACAGUUUGCAAUACCACUCAACAACAUCAUAUCAGGGUUCUGAUUCAACUGGCAACAUACUAAAAGUAGUAGAAACUGUACUAAGGCUUGUAACAACAAUCCUAUAAGCUACUAUGGAUUAGUAACACGUGAACCUGAUAGAAGAAGAGAGCCUAGUCCUUAACCCACGUUGAAUGAGAAGAGAAUGACUCAAAUCAGAGGGCAUAAGGUAAAGGAGUAAAAGAGCCUUACGUUCCCUCCCACAAUCAAUUUCCCCUACAUAUAACUAAAGCAUUUCUAGACUCGACAUCGACCAGUUUGGCUCAACGAACCUACAGGCAGUCCGGCUCUGAUGCCAACGCUGUCAGGACCCCGAUUCCAAGUCACAUCGAUCUAGCCGGUAACACCUCAUAUCACAUUGCGGCCUCACGCACGGUAUCCCCACGCGUGUCGCCUUACCAUGGCCCGGGACAGUUUGCGCCUUUUGGCUCACGUAUAUGAUAGUGUCGCUAGCAUCCAUAUGACAAAGAACCCGGGCCGACAUGGCUAGUCAUGAACCCAAAGCGGCACAGACCUAUGGAGACAGGCAUACGUGAAUCAUAUCGAGCAUGUCGGUCAUCAGCGUGUGAAUCCGAGUUGUAGCACUGGGCUAACAGGACUUCGGGGAACCCGGGCUGUAGCAGGCUAGGCAGGACUCCGGAAGUCACCGCGUGACAUUUCCCCAAAGGGACAGACAUAGGAACGAAGUGAAACACAUGCCGGCCAGUCAAGUGUCCUGAGCAGUAGUGCUGGCCUAGCAGGACUCCGGUGAACCAGGCUGUAGCGGACUACUAUGGCUUGAGGAGCACUAGACUACAUUUCCCCGUAAGAAAGGCUGCCAAGGAUAAACAACUAGAUUGUCGGAUCCCACACAUACCAAGCAUUUGAAUCAUACACACAAUAUGCUCGAUAUGUGCAAAUACAACAUGGCAUCACAACAAAACUCUACAACUCAAGUACUUUAUCUAAAGGCUCCAAAGAGCCAUACAUAACAUGUUCAUACAGGUAGGGGUCACAUGACCCGACACUCAAGUCAUACAAGCAUACAAGCACAUGCGGAAGCAAAUAGUCUGAGUACACACACUAGAAAGCAAGAAGGCUUCUCGAAGCCUGUCUAUCUACAUAGGGCCCUCCAUGGCCAGGAUCACCACCUGGGUGGCAAGUCACUCAUCGACGUCGAGAUCUACAUAAAACCCAUCGGAGGGGGCGGUGUUGUCGUCUGAAAACAGUAAUUAACCAAACAUGAGUACAAAGGUACUCAGCAAGUCUUACAUCAGAACCUACUAUACAUGCUCAUUCUCAAGAAGGUGGUGGAGUUAUUGCAGCAAGCCAUCUUUGACUCUUGGCUAAGCUAUCCUACGGGACACCAUUAGUAAAAUAGUUUUUGCACACGAGUCCACUAAUCACCAACACAAUACUCCACCGGGGAUCCUCCCUCAUCAUCCUACGAGAGGGCCAUCCUCGGUACUCACACUUAUCUUGAGUCUUUUAGUAGUAUCCAUUAACUUGUCUAUGAACUGUAUAGGAAACCAAGUAGUCCUUUACCGCGGACGCGGCUAUUCGAAUAGUUUUAUACCCUGCAGGGGUGUACUUCGUCACAAAUGUUUCCAUCACUUAGCGUCUGCACACGACAUGUGCUCGGCAGACUUCAAGUGAAAAUCGACAUGGGUGUAGACCACGACCUGACUAACCGCACAAGUCUCUAGUCCAGGUUUAUCGCCUAUUCAGGUUCCAUCCACAAGGAAAUCCGGCCGGGGUGUCCUCAACGGCCCCAAACGAUGUGUACAGGGUCCCGAGACGCCAAACGGGUGCCCGGCAUACCCGGCCACAGUGUAUCUACCGCAUCAUAGCCCACCCCUAGGGUCAGUGCUACGCACGGCCGCCAACACAUAACCUACAAACACCAGAAACUAGUUGCAACUCCUGGACAGAGGGCGAGAGGGGUCAGUAAGUCGAGCGGGGUCAUAUUUCAGGGCCCAAUGUGUGGUAGUAGCUGAAUCUUAAAUCACUCAUACAGAUCUCAGUUCUUAUGGACGGCCUCAAUGAAACAACCCACCAUGUACUCCUACAUGGCCUCUCAUCGAUACAUUUACCAAAACAUGUUCAACACAUCCCUCACAUUACCGACAUAAUCAUUUCACUCUAGCCCAUCACCCAGAUGAACCAGACCUGACACAACUCUAAGCAUUGCAGGCAUAGCAAGGUAGGAAUCACAUACAUGGCUCAAUCAACUCCUACACAUGCUAGUGGGUUUCAUCUAGUUACUGUGGCAAUGACAGGUCAUGCAGAGGAUAAGGGUUCAACUACCGUAGCACACAGUAGUUUGAAUCACGUUGUCUUAAUGCAGUAAACAAGAGCAGAAGCGAGAACAUGGGUUUGUAUCGGAAUGAUCAAUCGGUUGCUUGCCUGAUGGAGUGGUAGUAAGGUACUGCCCUUCAGUUGGAUACUCGGAGAUAUCCUCAGAGGCAGAACCUACCACGAAGGAUACACAGAACAUAAUCAACACAUGACAAUAUGCAACAAUAUGAUGCAUGCUAUGACAUGGCAAAAUGAUGUGUCCUGCCUAAUGCAAUGUGAAACAAGUUGAAAUGGGUCCAUUUGAACCAAAGAUUCAAAUGGAAGUUAAAGUUCUUAUGCAUAGAAAGUGUAUUAGCUUGUUUCACCUAAAUAGCAAGGUUAAAGUGGUUUGUCAUGCAUGAAACCAUUACAGAUGAAUAGAUUGAAUUUUUCUGAUCAUUUUUCAUAUAUAAUUUGUUUUAUUUGGAGCUAUGGUUGAUUUUCUAUGAUUUUUAGAAGUUUUGGCUAUUUUCUGGAAUUUCCUAUAUAUAAAUAAAUCCAGAAAAUGAAUAAUUGCGUCAGCACUACGUCACUGCGACGUCAGCAGGUCAACUGGGUUGGUCCAGGUCAAACCUGACUAGUGGGGUCCACUGGUCAAUGACCGAGUCAACUAACAGAGUUAAUUAGCACUAACUAACAGUUAAAUUAGGCUAAUUAGUCCCUGGACCCACACGUCAGUGACUGCGGGUUUAAGUUAAGUUAAUUUAACACUUAGCUAAUUAAAAGGCCCCAUUUCAAGUUUAAAAGAAAUUUAAACAUGAUGCACAAGUUCAUCCAAUCCUAAUGCAUGACUAGAAGUAGGGAUGUGAUAAUUCUACCAGCAACAAGCUCGAAGAUACCAAAGGAGACAUGUGUGGGCCAAGACUUAUAAUGUCAGUGAACUCGUUCUACGCUUACCAGAGAAUAAAAAGGACAACCUCAAGCCCAAAUGGGAGGGUCCCUUCAUUAUAGAUGAAUUUCUCACUGGAGGAGCCUAUCGCCUUCGUAAUGCAUCGGACAAUCGCCUAGAGUCGAACCCAUGGAACGCUGCCAAACUCCGAAGAUUCUACACCUAAGUCUGGACUCAUUGUUCAUUACCUUUUUCUCUUUUUUCUCUUUCUUCUUUUUGUUUUUUAUACGACUUCUAGCCCGUGUUUGGAUAAACCGCACACUUAAGGGGUAUACAUCCUUAAAUGUACAUACCCCCCCCCCUAAUACCUGGGGGCUUCUUGUCACAAAAGCUUAUUACUAUUCGAGCAUCAGGCUCACUGUAUAUAUGUGUCGUCUUCUCAUAUAUGUCUUUUCUUCGCCAUUAUAUGCACCUUUAUGACUUAACUUUUUGCCAAGCUGGGUUGCCUUGCUCCUAUGCUUAUGCCCUACGUUCCCGCUUGUUCGGCUAGGGCAUAAAGGGAGCACCUCUGCGAUUGUUACAGCCAGGUUAUCCGGGCGUGUACCUCAAACAGGUGAAGCCAAAAGCUAGCGUUCUUAAGGGAAUAAUAGGUCGGCGGACAAAAGAUGAACCUCCCUCAUUGCGAUACAAGCCCCCAAAGUAUAACCUGUACUGUGAUUUUUAGCAUCACAGCUCAGGCAUGCACAACAACGCAUGUUGGCCCAGGGAAACGAACCCUUAACGGAACUAUUCUCUCUGGAAGAUGUUUCUUACGAUCAAAUGUAAUAUUAUAUAACUCCCCGAAUACAACUUGUCUAUUCAAGCAACCAAGACCGGACUGCCUGGUUUCUGAACAUACUUCGGUGUUUUCCACUGAUACAGUAUUCGGAAACACUCCAAAACUUUGGAUUUCGGAGGUUAAAGCAGAAGGUCUGCCAAGACAAUCGCUUUUUAUAAUUCGGACGAAGAUACGUUUGUCGAUAAAAAGUACAUUACUACUUGGACUCGAAAAAUUCCUCCUCCUCUAGACGAUCUAAUAAGUUGUCUAGCUUACAAUCAUGUUGCGAAAACUUGGCGGCUAUCUUUACUUGGUCAUAUACUAAGCUAACAGGAAUUUCAUGUCCAUCUGGUCCCGGAGGCCCGACCCGGGCCAUAUGAUUCGGAUCAAGUCCGGUGUAUCUUGUGUUCACCAUAGCCCAGGCCUCUCGUGCGCCUUCUCAGCAUGCUGAUAUCUUCCAUAGUCCAAAGCGGCGAUGAGCUCCCUUGAAUAAAUUCACGAGUUCCUCCAUACUUCUUGGAGGAGAAUCGGCUAGCCAUAAAGCCUUAGCAAUGUUCCUCAUUGCCUUUCGGGCCCGCCCAUGCACUUUGGAUAGCUCUUGUAGCAGAUCGCCUUGAAAUCCGGAUACCUCUCCUUCGGGCUGCCCAGUCAGCACACCUACAAAAACAAACUUGUUAAACUUCCCAUUAGGGGACUGUACGGAAAUGAGGUUAAAAAGCAUAUUGAAUAUGCUGCCUUUCGGUUUCUAUUCUCUUUCAAGGCAUCCACCAGUUGGGUUCGUAUGUCUUUCAGCUCCUCGGCCUGCUUGAUAUUGGCAUCUUGUAGCUUGUUCUUCUCAUCCCUGGUCCAUGUUAGUAUACGCUGACCAGCGGCCUCUUGCCUUUCGGCAUGUUGUUUAUCUGCCUGCGCGGCCUUUAGUCUCUCUUCCAGCUGAUUCGGCGAUCCUGCCGUCGUAAAUACAUCAGUGUUUAUUUCAAAAAAAACAUUGUUGGCACAUGAUUAUAUUUUCCGGACAAUAGAGGACAUUACCAGUCAGUGCCUCCUUGGACUUUGCCAUUUCGGCGAUGACAGCAGUUAGCUGGGCCAGACAUUUUUCUAGCUCCUGAGACAGCAUGUUGUUCUUCUCCGUGAGUACCUGAUUAUGCAACGAUCCUUAAAUUAGUUGUGUCAACUACUUCAAGUCUCGGGGGCUACUGACACAUGAUUAUUAAAACCAUACAGCAGGUCUUACCCGCAUAUCCUUUGAAAGCUGGUGAGUGGCUCCAGUGAGCCCAUCUCGAACAGCUCGGAUAUAUGCAUCCGCUGAGCUAAAGGCAUUGAAUGCCUCUUCGGUGAAAGUUGGGUCUUGCAUAGCCGCCCUCCAGCGCCGAUGGUUCAUCGCACUAUCCACUUCGGAGUUGGUAAGGGAUACAUCAUCCGAAUCCUCGGGGAGAGGACAAUCCGGCGUUGCACUUGUAUCCCCCCUAGUCCUUGGGACGGGGUCCAGGGUUGGAUUGGGUGAUGCAUGACCAGCAAAGCCUCCAGACACAGUCCGGCGUAUGCUUUUCCUAAAAAAUGUGGCAUAGCGGGAAACAUCACAAUUCAGUAUAUCUGCCAAGGGCAUAUUAAAAACCAUACCUUUUUGAUGAAGGUAGGGGCUCGACAGUGUCACCGUCCACCUUCCUUUUUGGAGAUCCGCACUGCGCAGGCAUCGCCUUCUUAAGGGACGUUUCUAAUGCGGCAUGGCGAGACGAGCGCCGCCCCUUUGGAGCAUGAGAUAGUGCGGUGGGUGAGGCGCGAUGAGAAAACUCUUUUGGGGAGACGUCUCCUGGGUACUUACGUGGGAGGAAGGGAGAAGUCCGGGAUAAUCGGCUCUGAUGGCCACUUCUGUGUCGUCGUAGCUCGCCUGAUGAAAGACUCCCUCCUUCAGCUCUACGAAUAUAUCUGGAUCCUCUUCAAAUCCGGGAUCCAGGUCUCGAGAAUGGUCCUCCGGCUGCAGAGCAGGGCUAUAGAUCCCCGCGACAACCUUCCUCCAUUCCUGUUAAACAUAGUCGGAUUAAGUUCAAGUAGGUGUGACUCGGGAAGAGGAUUGAGUAAGGUUACGAAGCGAAAGCUCACCCAGCUAGGAGGGUUGUACAUGGAAAAGCCCUCUCGGCACUUAAGGCGAGCAAAAUCUUCUUUCUCCCCUUUAUAAAGAUCAGCCAACAGGGCGGCCAAGGCGGCAAAGUUGUCCGGACCCUUGCGCCCACAGCGUGAUGCGUCAUCCUGCCCAUUGUGGUGCUACAUGGGGAGUCCUCUGGAUUGGAGUGGCUAAACGCCUCGCGUUAUAGCAAAUCUCCAUUACCUCAAUUAUGGAUAGUCCGGAUUGGGCGAGCAUCUUUAUCUUGCUCAUUAACUUCUUAAUCUCUGCACUGUCCUCCUCUUUGAGGCUCCGGGGACGUCAGCUGUGGUGUUUCUUUAACGGAGCAUUGCAAAAUUUGGGUAGGCCCAACCGGAUUGGGUCUAGGAGGAAUACGUCUUUGAUAUAAAACCACUCUGAGGGCCACUCUUUGGAUGCCUUCUUCGGAGUGCCGGACAGGUAUCAUGUUCUGGCUAUACGCCAUACUUCGGCACCGCCCACUUCGAAUAUAGAUCCCUUUUGGGAGCGGGGGACGAGGCAGAAAAGUUUCCUCCAUGACUCAAAAUGGGCCUCGCAACCUAAGAACAGCUCGCAGAGAGCCACGAAGCCCGAGAUGUGCAGAAUGGAACCCGGCGUGAGAUUGUGCAGCUGGAGGCCGUAGUACUCCAAGAGACCUCGGAGGAAAGGGUGGAUUGGAAACCCAAUGCCUCUUAAAAGGAAGGAGACAAAGCACACUCGCUCCCCUUUGGUAGGAUUGUGGAAAUUUUCUACCAAGGCUUCGCCAUUUAGGGAAGUUAAUCCCGCCCGAACGGGAACCAGGUCCGCGGGAGGGAGAUAUCCCUGCACCUGGAGCUUGUUUAGAUGAGCGUGGGAGACCGAGCAGCUCUCCCAAUCACCUUUUUGAGGGCCAUGAGGGCGUGAGGAAGAACUGGGAGCGCCAGCCAUGUUUGCGUGGAUUUCUAUGGCUAACUCUAAGGAUUUUUUGCCUGGAUUGGAAUGGCAUCUGAGAUUCAAUCUCCUUAAAUAGACGCCUUCCAUACGCUGCUAGGGUGUUAUCUGUAAAAGUACUUGGACCCUUCAUAUUCAUUUGACAUGUGGAAGCCGAGGCAAUGGUGGCGCAGAAGCCGAAUUAUACAAUGUUUAAAGUAAAGUCGGAGCUGUCCGGAGUAUCAUGGAGGGCCCACCUAACAAAACUAAAGAUAUAAAAGCUGGAUACCGCGUCAUCGUUGAGGAGUCAAAUACAGUUCUUUUUUGCUUUGGAAUAUCCAUAGGAGGAACCCGCCUUGCAAUGCUGAAGACAAUCUGCGCGCCGGACAUGUCGUCAUUGAAGCCUGGUUCGGCGGCUACUGAGGAAGUCCUGGAUUAGGGGGUCCCUAAGCGUCUGGGCUAUGUGACGUGGGCCAGACUGGUGGGCCGUGAAGAUAGAAGAUAGAAGGUUUCCCCUGUGUUCGGAUGAGACUCUCCUUGGCGUGGAAGGCAAGCUUGGCGUUCAGAUAUGAAGAUUCCUUUCUCUGUAAACUGACUCUGUACGAUCCUAGCCCCCUCCGGUGUCUAUAUAAACUAGAGGGUUUAAUCCAUAGAGGCAGUCAUAAUCAUACAGGCUAGACAUCUAGGGUUUAGUCAUUACGAUCUCAAGGUAGAUCAACUCUUGUAACCCAUAUACUCAUUAAAGUCAAUCAAGCAGGAAGUAGGGUAUUACCUCCAUCAAGACGGCCCGAACCUGGGUAAACAUCAUGUCCCCUGCCUCCUAUUACCUUUUAUCCUUAGACGCACAGUUCGGGACCCCCUACCCGACAUAUGCCGGUUUUGACACCGACAGAGACCACCUAGGUGAGAGGUGGGCAUGGCCCUUGGUCGGCGUCCACGGUUACUUCAAAAUAACAUGCUUAAGGAGAUCUAGGUAUUUGAUCUGAGUCUGGCCACUGGCCUAUAUGCACUAACCAACUACGCAGGAACAGUUAUGGGCACUCGACGUCAUGGUAUCAGGAGAAGCCUUCUUGACGUCAGCGACUGAGCGGCGCGCGCCGGGUUGGACCGCAUAACGCAACUUCCUUUGUAAUGGAGGUUGCUAGGUCUGCUCACCGACCGCGUACGCAACAUGCAGGUGUGCAACGGGCGAUGGGCCCAGACCCCUGUGCGCUUAGGAUUUAGACCGGCGUGCUAACCUCUCUGUUGUGCUUAGGUAGGGCUGUGACAUGUUGAUCUUCCGAAUCCGGCCAUGACCCAGGAAACUGUGUCCGGCCAGAGGGAUCGAGCGUGUUGGGUAAUAUGGUGCACCCCUGCAGGGAAGUUUAUCUAUUCGAAUAGCCAUGUCCCUCGGUAAAAGGACGACCCGGAGUCGUACCUUGACCUUAUGACAACUAGAACCGGAUACUUAAUAAAAGCACACCCUUUCAAGUGCCAGAUACAACUCGGUGAUUGCUCUCUCACAGGGCGACGAGGAGAGGAUCGCCGGGUAGGAUUAUGCUAUAUGAUGAUACUUGGUGAACUUACCAUCUACUCUCUUCUAUAUGCUUCAAGAUGGAGGCUGCCAGAAGCGUAGUCUUCGAUAGGACUAGCUAUCCCCCUCUUAUUCUGGCAUUCUACAGUUCAGCCCACAGAUACUAUCCAUUUCAUUGAUACCAAUGCAUAUGUAGUGUAGAUCCUUGCUUGCGAGUACUUUGGAUGACUACUCAUGGUUGCUUUGCUCCCUCUUUUCCCCCUUUCCUUUCCUCUCAGUUGUCACAACCAGAUGCUGGAGUCCAGGAGCCAGACGCCACCUUCGACGACUCCUACUACACCGAGGGUGCCUACUACUACAUGCAGGCCACCGACGACAACCAGGAGUAGUUAGGAGGAUCCCAGGAAGGAGGCAUGCGCCUCUUUCGAUCUGUAUCCCAGUUUGUGCUAGCCAUUUUAUUGCAACUUGUUUAACAUAUGUCUGUACUCAGAUAUUGUUGCUUCCGCUGACUUGUCUAUGAUUGAGCACUUGUAUUCGAGCCCUCGAGGCCCCUGGCUUGUAUUAUGAUGCUUGUAUGACUUAUUUAUUUUUAGAAUUGUGUUGUGAUAUCUUCCCGUGUGUCCCUGAUUUUGAUCGUACACGUUUGCGUGUAUGAUUAGUGUAUGGUCAAAUCAUGGGUGUCACAGAAAAAAUAUUUUCGGCUGCCAAAAUUUUGGCCUAAAAACUGCCCGGGGGUCUCCAGACUUUUUUUUCUUCUGAAACCUACUCAGGCAAGGAAACACGAAUCGGAAAAAAAUGGAUCUUGAAAACAAACCUAAUAUGAAAAGAACUCCGAUUGGUGGUGGGUAUAUCAUGGUAAGAUAUGGCAGCGGUUGUGGUAUAUGGAAGCGGUGGUGGUAUAUGGUAGCGGUGGUGUAUAUGGAUAAGGAUUGGUGGUGUUAUAUCGAUACGGAUUGGUGAUGGUAUAUGGAUACGGAUCGGUGGCGGAUAAACGGUGGUGGUAGAUGGCACGGGUGAUGAUGAUGGUACGGUGGCGGCGUGAUAACUUAUGACCAGAACUCGAAACUCCAAAAUACUAGACGCUAAGACCAGCAACUAGAUGCGACGAUGCAACCGCAAAUUCAACAAAGCAAAAACCCUAAAAAGAUUAUGCAAAGGCUCAGAUUGGUUCGGAUAUGAUGAACUAAUCCUAAUUUUUUUGGCUAUUUCAUGGACUGUAGGUAUGAAGGACAGAUUCAAUCUAAAACUAUGAAAAACUAUAAAAUCUCACCGAGCAACCUGGAAAUCUGAUACCACUUGAUAGAGGCGAAGGUGUCCCAAUGUUUCGAUGAGAUAGCUAUCGUUUUCUGUGGGAGUCGACUUUGACGAUCCGACCACGAGCGAGGGAAGACAUCGCGCCUUAGCAAUCGCUAAACCAACUUCCGAGGGUUAUUGACCAUGCCGGAGCACGAUCAACCUAACCACGAGGGUCUAUUUCCUGCAAGCAAAACGAAGAACAAGCAAGAAACUGAGAUUGCAAUCUGGAUAUUGCGAAUAUAAGAUGAAAGCUUUAUUGAUCAAGGUGGGGUUCUAUGACGCCUUUGUCUGGCCAUUGAACACAAACGAAGUACGCAAAGUUGCAGCUAUGGCGAACUUUUAAACUAAAUAGAAUCCAAAGUCUAAACGAUGCCCUAAGGGCUGUAUAUAUGGAGGGAAGAGGGGGAAUUUCGUGGCCCUUGGAGGAGGGUUCCGAAACCAACCCUAACUCUUGUUUCCGCACACACACAGACUCUAAUAACAACCUAUAAUCAAGUAUUUCGAAAUUACAUGGGCAUGGCCCAAAAAUAAGGUGACGCAGCACCUAGAAUAGCCUCUGGACGAAAUCUAUGAAGUGGCAUGUUGUAUAUUUCUUCCAAGGCUUCAUGCACUCCUUAUGGUGGCUUCAAAGUCUUGAAAUAAUCACUUGUAACUCUAUUCUUGUUCCCCUUGCACAUGCCAUCAUCAACAUGCUUGGUCUUGCUCCAGUGUUCAUCCCUCUUAUCCAUGUCAGGCCCUUCAUUUGUAAGCAAAACAAAUGUAUCCAAUUUAGGUAGCAUCAUAUUCUCAUGAACAUUAGAAUCAUUACCAAGAAACGAAAGUACCUGAUAAUUUAAUUGGCUUGCGGGAGCUUGAGUAAUUAGUCUAGUAUAUGUAGUUGUAGGGGCUGUGGGUUUAACAAUGGUAUUGAUGUCCUCAUCAAUCCUGCCGGCGAAAGCUCGUUCAAUUACAGUAAAGAGGCAUUCCACCUCUGCAUGGAUAUAUACAUGCACGGGUUCCCGGCAAGGUUUAUCUCUUUCAUUGGCAUGCAGAUACAAGUACAAGCAUUACAGAACACAAAGAUGGACUCGAGAGAUUACAUUAUUUGAAUUAAAAUUUGGCGAUUGCCUACAAGUUUAAGAUUAAAAAAAUAAGUGCCCCAUGAUCCCCUCUUUUCGUUUUCCCUCCUUCAGGCACUGCGGCGGAAGGACGAAAAGACGAGAAAAGGAGCACCCAAGCAGGAGCCCACCUCGGUCCUGUUGAGGCCCGUCAGGCACAGCCUAACAAGACCGGGAGUGGCAAGGUUGUGAAGGAGGAGUGCGGGCGACGGGGUGGCGCCUUCUGGUCACCAGCUCCAGAGCCAGCAAGAAGCCCCGGCUUGAGCAGGAUGACCGUCGGAGGCGAAGGCAUCCUCGCCAUCAUACUCCAACCUGACCCCCUGCCACACGCCUUCUCCGUCUUCCCCCGCUUUCUCCUCACCACCGCUGCUCCCAGGAAGCGCCAAGACUCCGACCCGACCCCUCCAGCGGAGAAACAGCAAGCAGCCGGAACGGCCAGGGGGGCAAGCCGCGUCGCGCCCCACCUUAGCGGGAAGGAAGGCGCGCCUCUCGUCGACGUCAGCCCCAAGACCUCCAGGAGGGGAGAUGCUGGGAUUGCCAAUAAUCUCUGGCCCCUCCUCCCGGAUGAACAUCGAAGAUACCAAAAGACUCGCCACGUCAAGGACCAAGCUCACUCCCCAAGCAUCAGCACCAGCAUAAGACAACGAUAACCCCAAACAGGAGCCCGGGCCCCAGGCUUCCUUCUACAACAUGACCAGCAGAAACAAAAGAUGAGGAGAGAAGGGCCACGAAGAUGGAUGGAUCUGCCCUCCUGCGCCCCUCCCUUUUAUAGGGUAGGCGGGGAAGGGUAGCUGCUCCAUCCACGGGUGAUCACCGCCCUCCUCCACCAAUUCAAGACGAGCGGGCCCUUUCCGAGGUACUCUCCUGCGCCAUGCGCCUCCGUUACCUAACCUGCGUGUUGCAUGCUGCAUACGUGGCUAAGGAUAAGGGCGCGCAGUGGGAAGAGUAAAUUGGUAGUUCCUACCCCGUGCGUCAAAGUCAUUCACGAACCAUCACUGGAGGGGCCCACCACUAUUGGCUUUACACCACGCAUGGGGAAAUCGGAAACUGGCCCGAAAUCAAGGCUGAUGAAGCAGCGACGGAAAACUCAAGGGGGCAACCCCUUCAGCAACCUUGCAUGUGCACUUAUUAGGCCCUACCCCGAUGACACUCAGCAGCAUGUUCGGGGCAGGCCCGGGGGCUUCUGUUGGUGCAACAAACCCUGGGUCUGUUGUAACACCCCGGAUGUAACUUUCCCUAUUUGUACUCCAACUCUUGCCGUUUCCGGCGUUAAGUUAUAUUUAUUUCCUCGGGUUUGGGUUUUUGUCUCCGUGUGUUGUUGUCGUUGUCAUGCAUCUCAUAUCAUGUCAUCAUGUGCAUUGCAUUUGCAUACGUGUUCAUCUCAUGCAUUCGAGCAUUUUCCCCGUUGUCCGUUUUGCAUUCCGGCGCUUCGUUCUCCUCCGGUGGUCAUUUCUAACUUUCUUUCAUGUGUGGGGAUUAAACAUUUCCUGAUUGGACCAAGACAUGCCAAGCGGCCUUGGUUUACUACCGGUAGACCGCCUGUCAAGUUUCGUACCAUUUGGACUUUGUUUGAUACUCCAACGGUUAACCGAGGGACCGAAAAGGCCUCGUGUGUGUGGCAGCCCAACACCCCUCCAAUUUGGCCCAAAACCCACCAAACUCUGCUCCAUCAUCUAGAGCGUUCGAUCACGAUUGAGUGGCCGAAAACCGCACCUCAUUUGGACUCUCCUAGCUCCCUCUAUGCCUAUUUAAACACCCCCCGAAAUCCGGAUCCCUUCUUUCCCCGAAACCCUAGAAAUCGCCCCCGCCGUCACCGGACACGUCCGGCCGCCGCCGGACGAAAUCGCCACCGCCGCCCGCGCCAAUCAGGCACUGCCACGUGGGCGUGCGCCCACAUCCCCGCCGCCUCGCUCCCGCUGGCCCGCCAGNNNNNNNNNNNNNNNNNNNNNNNNNNNNNNNNNNNNNNNNNNNNNNNNNNNNNNNNNNNNNNNNNNNNNNNNNNNNNNNNNNNNNNNNNNNNNNNNNNNNNNNNNNNNNNNNNNNNNNNNNNNNNNNNNNNNNNNNNNNNNNNNNNNNNNNNNNNNNNNNNNNNNNNNNNNNNNNNNNNNNNNNNNNNNNNNNNNNNNNNNNNNNNNNNNNNNNNNNNNNNNNNNNNNNNNNNNNNNNNNNNNNNNNNNNNNNNNNNNNNNNNNNNNNNNNNNNNNNNNNNNNNNNNNNNNNNNNNNNNNNNNNNNNNNNNNNNNNNNNNNNNNNNNNNNNNNNNNNNNNNNNNNNNNNNNNNNNNNNNNNNNNNNNNNNNNNNNNNNNNNNGCCGCCCCCGGCCACCGGCGUCCGUGCCCGCCGGCCGCCGCCGGACGGCCUCCCCCUCGUCGCCGGCAACCUCCUCCUCUCCGGCAGCUACAGUUCCUUGCUGGAGUUCCUCGAUUUCCGUGCGCGAGAUCUAGAUAAAAAACCCUAGAGGUUGAUUUUUUGUCUAAGUCCUGAAAUUCUCAGUCCAAGUGCUCAUGUUCGCGGCUCCGUAACUUUGCAUCCGUAGCUCUGAUUCAUGCAUAUAGCAUAUAAAAUGUUCAUCUCAGAGAGUACAUCAUUUCGUUCCAUUGCAUCAUUUUCAUUUGAGCUCAUCUUGAUGCCCGAAAUGCUGUUAGAAGAGGGCUACUUGAGUUAAUUGUCAGAUCUACUACUCCGUUUAGCACUUUUGUCAUUUUUGCCAUGAUUAAUGUGUGCAUGCUAUGACCUGAUGCUCUACGUGUGUUUUGUUAAGGGUUUUGUCAUCUUUCCAGAGGUGCAACCCGUGUAUUUUUAGGAUGUGUGUGGUGACUAGUGCAAGCUUGCAAAGUGGUGCACUUGCUAAUUCUGUUUUCAGGGACUUAGUAAUAUCACUAAGUCCUGGAUCUGUUUAUCUCAUGAUGCCAUAUGUUCUUGUUGUUUCCUAGUGAUCCGUGCCUCUUUUGAGGAUGAUCAGUAAGGGAGUUUUGUUAAUAUUGUAGUGCUCUAUCCAUCCAUGUCUUUGUUUGCAAUUAUGGAGCACCCUAGCUUGAGUCAAUCAAGCUCUACUUUUGCUACUUUGUGAAUCUGGGCAGAUUGUCAACUUGUUUGCAAUUUUGCCGGUGGUGUUGUAGUUGAUCCGUGCAUGCUAUGCUAUUGUUCUUGCCAUGUCUAGCUUGCAUUUUGUGCCUUCUUGAUGGAUGUAUGCUUGUCUUGCCAUGACUUGCACCGUAGUGAGUGCAUCGAGCUCGUAAACAUGCCUACUUGAGUUAUAUUUCAGCAUGUGUCAGUUUUGACUGUGUGAAAACUGAUUAUGUUUUUGCUAUGUUCACAUGCUUGCAAUUGUAUUUUCUGAUCCCUUUUGGCUCAAGGUCACUAAAGGACUUUUGUUAAGCUCUUUGAGUAUCUCCAUGCCAUGCUUUACUUUGCCAUAUUCAGGUCCUGUAGCAUGUAGUUUUGUUGCUCCGAAGAGGGCUACCUGAUCUGAAAUUUCAGACAAGUGUUAAUUUCACCAAGUCUGAGAUUUGUUUGCCAUUUGCAUUUUUGCCAUGUUUGUUUGAACCUAUUAAUGGAUGAAUUGGCCGUAGCUCAGUGCUAGACUUUUGUUAAGUAUCUUGUAAGCAUCCCUGCCAUGUAUUUUGUUGUCAUGUUUGGGUGUUGUAGCAUGUUCAUCUCAUUGCAUUUAGAUGCCUACUUGCUGUAAAUCGCAGACCGGUGUCAUUUUUGAAUCACUUGCCAUUUCCAAACCGUAACUCCGAUUCCGGCGUUCUUUAUAUCGUUUUCAAGCGAUUUCAUCUCAUCUUUCCAGUGGCACACUUGGUUUUCCAAGUUGAGGCCAGGUUCAUGCAUUUCCUGUCAUAUCUUGCAUUUUGCAUCCCGCAUCGCAUUCCGCAUAGCAUAUCAUCUUUGCAUCAUGUUGUUUGAGUUGCACGUGGUUGAUUGUAUCCUUGUUGCUUGUUUGUCUUGUUUGGGUAGAGCCGAGAGACGAGUUCGCUAACGAGGAGCCCGUUGAGUUUGCUUUCGAGGAUCCAGUCAACUCUGACAACUGUGCAGGCAAGAUGAUCAUACCCUCGAAAUCACUACUAUCUUUGCUAUGCUAGUUUGCUCGCUCUUUUGCUAUGCCAUUGCUACGAUGCCUACCACUUGCUUGCAAGCCUCCCAAAUUGCCAUGUCAAACCUCUAACCUACCAUGUCCUAGCAAACCGUUGAUUGGCUAUGUUACCGCUUUGCUCAGCCCCUCUUAUAGCGUUGCUAGUUGCAGGUGAAGAUUGGAGGCCGUUCCUUGUUGGAAAAUUUAUUUACUUGUUGGGAUAUCAUUAUAUUACUUUGUUAUCUUAAUGCAUCUAUAUACUUGGUAAAGGGUGGAAGGCUCGGCCUCUCGCCUAGUGUUUUGUUCCACUCUUGCCGCCCUAGUUUCCGUCAUAUCGGUGUUAUGUUCCCGGAUUUUGCGUUCCUUACGCGGUUGGGUUAUAAUGGGAACCCCUUGACAGUCCGCCUUGAAUAAAACUCCUCCAGCAAUGCCCAACCUUGGUUUUACCAUUUGCCACCUAGCCUUUUCCCUUGGGUUUCGCGGACUCAAGGGUCAUCUUAUUUUAACCCCCCCCCACCCCCGGGCCAGUGCUCCUCUGAGUGUUGGUCCAACCUAGAGCACCGUGCGGGGCCGUCCCUUGGCAACUUGGGUUACGUUGGCUCCCGUACGCUUAGCUUAUCCGGUGUGCCCUGAGAACGAGAUAUGUGCAGCUCCUAUCGGGAUUUGUAGGCACAGCGGGCAGUGUUGCUGGACUUGUUUUACCAUUGUCGGAGUUGUCUUGAAUUACCGAGAUACCGAGUCUGAUCGGAACGUCUUGGGAGGAGGUCUAUUCCUUCGUUGACCGUGAGAGCUUGUCAUGGGCUAAGUUGGGACUCCCCUGCAGGGAUUGAACUUUCGAAAGCCAUGCCCACGGUUAUGGGCAGAUGGGAAUUUGUUAAUGUCCGGUUGUAGAUAACUUGAACCUUAAUUAAUUAAAAUGAAUCAACUGAGUGUGUUACCGUGAUGGCCUCUUCUCGGCGGAGUCCGGGAAGUGGACACGGUGUUGGAGUAAUGUUUGCGCAGGUUGUUCUCUAGUUUCUCGCUCGUGCUUUGCCUCCUCUUCUCGCUCUCUUUUGCGAAUAAUUUAGCCACCAUAUUUGCUAGUCGCUUGCUGCAGCUCCACCUAUAUUUACCUUGCCUUACCUACAAGCUUAAAUAGUCUUGAUCGUGAGGCUGCGAGAUUGCUGAGUCCCUGUGGCUCAUAGAUUACUAUUACACCAGAUGCAGGGCCUGAUGAUUCCGCUCCAAGAGACGCGUAUGAGCUCAAGUGGGAGUUCGACGAGGACUCUCAACGUUACUAUGUUUCCUUUCCCGGUGAUCAGUAGUGGUGCCCAGUUGGGGGUGAACGGGACCGUUGUCGCAUGUUGGGUUCUCUUUUAUUUUGGCGCCGUAGUCGGGCCAUGAGUGUUUGGAUGAUGUAAUGUUACUUAUGUACUUGAUUGACGUGGCGAGUGUAAGCCAACUAUGUUAUCUCCCCUUUAUUAUUUAUAUUACAUGGGAUGUUGUGAAGAUUGCCUAACUUGCGACAUAUGCCUUCAAUGCAAUUAUGUCUCUAAGUCGUGCCUCGACACGUGGGAGCUAUAGUCACAUCAAGGGUGUUAUAAGUUGGUAUCAGAGCCUUCCCCGACCUUAGGAGCCCCCUUGCUUGAUCGUUUUAGCGGCCGAGUUGUGUCUAGAAAAAUGUUUUGAAUCAUUAGGAAUUAUAUAUCGAAGAGAUUAGGAAUUCUUUUUACUUCCCAGUCUCCUCAUCGCUUUGGUAAGGCAUCCUGACAUAGAGUUUUGACUCUUCUCUUCUCAAAUUUCACUAAAAAAAUUUAGGAUCAUGCGGGUAUCUUAGAAUCGUUCCGAUGGUUUUAUGAUGAGAACAUUGUCUUGGUGCCUCCUGUCAGGGGUUUAGUGGAAGUGUCCCGGGGAGUUGAGCUCUGAGGUGUUGUCAUCAUAAUUUUAUCGUUGCAGUUCUGAAAUACCUGAGUUUAGUACGCCAACAUCGAAAAUAUCUUUUAUGCAGUUCGUUGGUGAGAUAACCUCGAUGCCACCCAGUACUGGGGCGGGAGUUUGGGAGUAUCACCAUAACUUGUAUAACGGAUGCUUUUCGAAGGUUGAGGUAGAUGGUUUUCGAAGGUUUCUUGGUUAUGUGUUGAAGGAUCGAUACAGCUGGAUGUAGGUGCUAGUUUGGGUGAGAUAUUAUGCUUCCCCUGUACCUGAUUGCAUAACCGGAAAGGUUCGAGAGUUUCAUAGGUGGGAAUUCUAGUAGCUCUAGUUUUUCUUCCACGGAUAUUGGUUUGAGAUUGGGUUUUCUUACCGAUUAUUCGUUCUUGAUCCAUACCUUGUUGAUUUAUUUCUCUACCUUAAUUCUACGUGGCUUCUCAAUUUAUGGAUAUGUGACCAUUUCAAGAGGAAUGCAUUCGUUCAUUUUGUUCGGAUGUGAAGACUAUAUGUUGCAAUUUUCAUUCCGUUGGAUUCAGCUUCAAUAUUUGUCUAUCAAUGUGCUAAUGGUGGUCAACCUCUUCAGGAUGGCUCCUCCAACGCGCACGACUCCGAAUCCUGAUCCGCCACCACCUCCACCUCCUCCGGAGGCAUGGCAAGUUGUGAUGGCCGCAACCAAUGCAAACACACAGUUGAUCAUGCAAAUUCUCCAAGAGCGCAAGCAAGGCAACCAAGGGAAUCAAGGCAGCAAUCAGAAUUGCUUUGCUUCACUCAACCAGUUCCUUGCUAACGGGCCAAAGACUUUCAGCAAUUGUGUUGAGGCAACCGAUGCUGACGAUUGGCUUGUGGAUCUGUGUAAGCAUUUUGAGUGCAGUAACGUCAGGCCUGAGGACUUUAUCAAGUUCGCUUCCUUCCAACUCAAAGAUCAAGCUGCAGAAUGGUUCCAGCAGUACAAGGACUCCAGAGGUGGACGUGUUAUCACUUGGGAUGAUUUCCGUCGAGAUUUCCAAGCUCAUCAUAUUCCUCAGAGCGUGGUUGAAAGCAAGCGUGAGGAAUUCCGCAAUCUGAAACAAGGCUCUUUGUCUGUCUAUGACUACAACAAGUUUUUCCAGAAGCUCGCUCGCUUUGCUAAGCAGGACGUCCCUGAUGAGAAGAGCAUGAUAUAUCAGUUCAGGGGUGGUCUCAGAGAAGAAAUUCAGCUAGCUCUUGUCCUCUUUGAGCCCUUGAGAUACGAUGAGUUCUACAACAUGGCACUGAAGCAAGAGGCUGCUCAGUUGAGGUGUGAUGCUUCCAAGAAGCGAGUCAGAGAUGUUACUCCUCCUUCCUCUACUCAAGUGGCCAAGCAGCAGAAGUUUUGGCUUCCUCCUCCUCCGUUUUGUCAGCCGUAUCAGCAGAAGAGCAAAGGUGGCAGUGGUUCUUCCCACCCACCCAACCCUGGCUUUCAGAACAAGACUUCGUCUCAAGCUCCAAGAUCGAGUGCUCUGUAUCACCGUCCGCUUUCAGAGGUCAUGUGCAACAAGUGCCAACAGAAGGGUCACUAUGCCAACAAGUGCUUCAACCAGAGGCGUCUUCCUCCUCCUCCUCCUGUCAGAUCGGCAAGUACAGAUGUGGUCAAGCAUAACCCCAAGCACGCCAAGGUCAACUUGCUGAAUGCAGCUCAGGCAGAGGAAUCAUCAGAUGUCAUCAUGGGUAACUUUCCAGUUAACUCUUUUCCAGCAAAAGUUCUUUUUGACACUGGUGCAUCGCAUUGUUUCAUGUCAAGAUCAUUUGUUUCCAAGCAUGACUUCGUUUCACAAAUGUUGGGUAAACCUAUGGGAGUGGUUUCUCCGGCUAAGUCUAUGAGGGCUACUUCAAUAGUCCCGGAUGUUUCUAUCAUGAUGGGUGAUUUCAAGUUUCUGGCUUCUCCAAUGGUUCUUGGUAACUCGGAUAUUGAUCUUAUUCUCGGGAUGGAUUGGCUUUCUAAGCACAAGGCUCGGCUUGAUUGUGCAGCCAGGCAGAUUCAAUUAACUCAUUCGUCUGAGGAUGUAAUUGUCUUUGAUGCGAAUGACGAUACCAUCCGUCUAUUUUCUCUCAAUGAGAAGGGUGAACUCGAUGCUAUCUCGCAAAUUCCAGUCGUUUGCGAAUAUCAAGACGUCUUUCUAGAAGAGCUCCCAGGAAUGCCUCCGCACCGGCCAGUUGAAUUCGUUAGUGAUCUUGAGCCUGGUACGGAACCUGUGUGCAAACGUCCUUACAAGCUCGGACCUGAAGAGUUGAAGGAGCUGAAGAAGCAACUCGAUAUUCAAGAGAAAAUGGGUCUCAUCCGGCCUAGUUCUUCUCCGUGGGGUUGUGGUGUUCUUUUUGUGAAGAAGAAGGAUGGAACGGACCGACUUUGUGUUGAUUACCGUCCAGUGAACAAGAAGACCAUCAAGAACAAAUAUCCACUUCCCAACAUCAAUGAGCUCUUCGAACAACUCAAAGGUGCCCAAGUAUUCUCCAAGCUUGAUCUCCGUAUGGGUUAUCAUCAGAUUCGAAUCCGUGAGCAAGAUAUUCCCAAGACGGCUUUCAGGACAAGCUUUGGUUCUUAUGAAUACAUUGUCAUGUCUUUUGGCCUCGCCAACGCUCCUCCGACGUUCUCUCGCAUGAUGAACUUCAUCUUCAACGCCUACACCAAUGACUUGUAACACCCUCGAUGCGACUAUAGCUCCCACGUGUCGAGGCACGACUUAGAGACAUAAUCGCAUUGAAGGCAUAUGUCGCAAGUUAGGCAAUCUUCACAACAUCCCAUGUAAUAUACAUAAUAAAGGGGAGAUAACAUAGUUGGCUUACACUCGCCACAUCAAUCAAGUACAUAAAUAACAUUACAUCAUCCAAACACUCAUGGCCCAACUACGGCGCCAAAAUAAAAGAGAACCCAACAUGCGACAACGGUCCCGUUCACCCCCAACUGGGCACCACUACUGAUCAUCGAGAAAGGAAACAUAGUAACGUUGAGAGUCCUCGUCGAACUCCCACUUGAGCUCAUACGCGUCUCCUGGAGCGGAAUCAUCAGGCCCUGCAUCUGGUGUAAUAGUAAUCUGUGAGCCACAGGGACUCAGCAAUCUCGCACCCUCGCGAUCAAGACUAUUUAAGCUUGUAGGUAAGGCAAGGUAAAUAUAGGUGGAGCUGCAGCAAGCGACUAGCAAAUAUGGUGGCUAACUUAUUCGCAAAAGAGAGCGAGAAGAGGAGGCAAAGCACGAGCGAGAAACUAGAGAACAACCUGCGCAAACAUUACUCCAACACCGUGUCCACUUCCCGGACUCCGCCGAGAAGAGGCCAUCACGGUAACACACUCAGUUGAUUCAUUUUAAUUAAUUAAGGUUCAAGUUAUCUACAACCGGACAUUAACAAAUUCCCAUCUGCCCAUAACCGCGGGCAUGGCUUUCGAAAGUUCAAUCCCUGCAAGGGAGUCCCAACUUAGCCCAUGACAAGCUCUCACGGUCAACGAAGGAAUAGACCUCCUCCCAAGACGUUCCGAUCAGACUCGGUAUCUCGGUAAUUCAAGACAACUCUGACAAUGGUAAAACAAGUCCAGCAACACCGCCCGCUGUGCCGACAAAUCCCGAUAAGAGCUGCACAUAUCUCGUUCUCAGGGCACACCGGAUAAGCUAAGCGUAUGGGAGCCAACGUAACCCAAGUUGCCAAGGGACGGCCCCGCACGGUGCUCUAGGUUGGACCAACACUCAGAGGAGCACUGGCCCGGGGGUGGGGGGUUAAAAUAAGAUGACCCUUGAGUCCGUGAAACCCAAGGGAAAAGGCUAGGUGGCAAAUGGUAAAACCAAGGUUGGGCAUUGCUGGAGGAGUUUUAUUCAAGGCGGACUGUCAAGGGGUUCCCAUUAUAACCCAACCGCGUAAGGAACGCAAAAUCCGGGAACAUAACACCGAUAUGACGGAAACUAGGGCGGCAAGAGUGGAACAAAACACUAGGCGAGAGGUCGAGCCUUCCACCCUUUACCAAGUAUAUAGAUGCAUUAAGAUAACAAAGUAAUAUAAUGAUAUCCCAACAAGUAAAUAAAUUUUCCAACAAGGAACGGCCUCCAAUCUUCACCUGCAACUAGCAACGCUAUAAGAGGGGCUGAGCAAAGCGGUAACAUAGCCAAUCAACGGUUUGCUAGGACAUGGUGGGUUAGAGGUUUGACAUGGCAAUUUGGGAGGCUUGCAAGCAAGUGGUAGGCAUCGUAUCAAUGGCAUAGCAAAAGAGCGAGCAAACUAGCAUAGCAAAGAUAGUAGUGAUUUCGAGGGUAUGAUCAUCUUGCCUGCACAGUUGUCAGAGUUGACUGGAUCCUCGAAAGCAAACUCAACAGGCUCCUCGUUAGCGAACUCGUCUCUCGGCUCUACCCAAACAAUACAAACAAGCAACAAGGAUACAAUCAACCACGUGCAACUCAAACAACACGAUGCAAAGAUGAUAUGCUAUGCGGAAUGCGAUGCGGGAUGCAAAAUGCAAGAUAUGACAGGAAAUGCAUGAACCUGGCCUCAACUCGGAAAACCAAAUGUGCCACUAGAAAGAUGAGAUGAAAUCGCUUGAAAACGAUAUAAAGAACGCCGGAAUCGGAGUUACGGUUUGGAAAUGGCAAGCGAUUCAAAAAUGACACCGGUCUGCGAUUUACAGCAAGUAGGCAUCUAAAUGCAAUGAGAUGAACAUGCUACAGCACCCAAACAUGACAACAAAAUACAUGGUAGGGAUGCUUACAAGAUGCUUAACAAAAGUCUAGCACUGAGCUACGGCCAAUUCAUCCAUUAAUAGGUUCAAACAAACAUGGCAAAAAUGCAAAUGGCAAACAGAUCUCAGACUUGGUGAAAUUAACACUUGUCUGAAAUUUCAGAUCAGGUAGCCCUCUUCGGAGCAACAAAACUACAUGCUACAGGACCUGAACAUGGCAAAGUAAAGCAUGGCAUAGAGAUACUCAAAGAGCUUAACAAAAGUCCCUUAGUGACCUUGAGCCAAAAGGGAUCAGAAAAUACAAUUGCAAGCAUGUGAACAUAGCAAAAACAUAAUCAGUUUUCAGACUUAGUGAAAACUGACACAUGGUGAAAUAUAACUCAAGUAGGCAUGUUUACGAGCUCGAUGCACUCACUACGGUGCAAGUCAUGGCAAGACAAGCAUACAUCCAUCAAGAAGUCACAAAAUGCAAGCUAGACAUGGCAAGAACAAUAGCAUAGCAUGCACAGAUCAACUACAACACCACCGGCAAAAUUGCAAACAAGUUGACAAUCUGCCCAGAUUCACAAAGUAGCAAAAGUAGAGCUUGAUUGACUCAAGCUAGGGUGCUCCAUAAUUCCAAACAAAGACAUGGAUGGAUAGAGCACUACAAUAUUAACAAAACUCCCUUACUGAUCAUCCUCAAAAGAGGCACGGAUCACUAGGAAACAACAAGAACAUAUGGCAUCAUGAGAUAAACAGAUCCAGGACUUAGUGAUAUUACUAAGUCCCUGAAAAUAGAAUUAGCAAGUGCAUCACUUUGCAAGCUUGCACUAGUCACCACACACAUCCUAAAAAUACAUGGGUUGCACCUCUAGAAAGAUGACAAAACCCUUAACAAAACACAUGUAGAGCAUCAGGUCAUAGCAUGCACACAUUAAUCAUGACAAAAAUGACAAAAGUGCUAAACGGAGUAGCAGAUCUGACAAUUAACUCAAGUAGCCCUCUUCUAACAGCAUUUCGGGCAUCAAGAUGAGAUCAAAUGAAAAUGAUGCAAUGGAACAAAAUGAUGUACUCUCUGAGAUGAACAUUUUUAUAUGCUAUAUGCAUGAAUUGGAGCUACUGAUGCAAAGUUACAGAGCUGCGAACAUGAGCACUUGGACUGAGAAUUUCGGGACUUAGACAAAAAAAUCAACCUCUAGGGUUUUUUUGGAUCUAGAUCUCGCGCACAGAAAUCGAGGAACUCCGGCGAGGAACUGUAGCUGCCGGAGAGGAGGAGGUUGCCGGUGACGAGGGGGAAGCCGGACAGCGGCGGCCGGCGGGCACGGACGCCGGUGGCCGGGGGCGGCGGCGCAGGGCGCGAUGGCGNNNNNNNNNNNNNNNNNNNNNNNNNNNNNNNNNNNNNNNNNNNNNNNNNNNNNNNNNNNNNNNNNNNNNNNNNNNNNNNNNNNNNNNNNNNNNNNNNNNNNNNNNNNNNNNNNNNNNNNNNNNNNNNNNNNNNNNNNNNNNNNNNNNNNNNNNNNNNNNNNNNNNNNNNNNNNNNNNNNNNNNNNNNNNNNNNNNNNNNNNNNNNNNNNNNNNNNNNNNNNNNNNNNNNNNNNNNNNNNNNNNNNNNNNNNNNNNNNNNNNNNNNNNNNNNNNNNNNNNNNNNNNNNNNNNNNNNNNNNNNNNNNNNNNNNNNNNNNNNNNNNNNNNNNNNNNNNNNNNNNNNNNNNNNNNNNNNNNNNNNNNNNNNNNNNNNNNNNNNNNNNNNNNNNNNNNNNNNNNNNNNNNNNNNNNNNNNNNNNNNNNNNNNNNNGUGACAGCGCCUGAUUGGCGCGGGCGGCGGUGGCGAUUUCGUCCGGCGGCGGCCGGACGUGUCCGGUGACGGCGGGGGCGAUUUCUAGGGUUUCGGGGAGAGAAGGGAUCCAGAUUUCGGGGGGUGUUUAAAUAGGCAUAGAGGGAGCUCGGAGAGUCCAAAUGAGGUGAGGUUUUCGGCCACGCGAUCGUGAUCGAACGCUCUAGAUGAUGGAGCAGAGUUUGGUGGGUUUUGGGCCAAAUUGGAGGGGUGUUGGGCUGCAACACACACGAGGCCUUUUCGGUCCCUCGGUUAACCGUUGGAGUAUCAAACGAAGUCCAAAUGGUACGAAACUUGACAGGCGGUCUACCGGUAGUAAACCAAGGCCUCUUGGCAAGUCUUGGUCCAAUCCGGAAAUGUUUAAUCCCCACACACGAAAGAAAGUUAGAAAUGACCACCGGAGGAGAACGAAGCGCCGGAAUGCAAAACGGACAACGAGGAAAAUGCUCGAAUGCAUGAGAUGAACACGUAUGCAAAUGCAAUGCACAUGAUGACAUGAUAUGAGAUGCAUGACAACGACAACAACACACGGAGACAAAAACCCGAACCCGAGGAAAUAAAUAUAACUUAACGCCGGAAACGGCAAGAGUUGGAGUACAAAUAGGGAAAGUUACAUCCGGGGUGUUACAUCUGUUGCCCAGACUUUGCGCAUGCACGAGAUCAAGAUUGAAGCACUAGCCCAAGCCAGAGAUUGAAGGACCAAGAGAUUUGAAGAACCACAACACACAGUCCACAGAGACCAAGAUCGAGCCAGAAGAACAAGAUAUCGGCAAGAGAAGGGCCUCCCUUGCCGGGCAGGCGAGCCCAGCAAGGGGCAAGGCCAUCGCAAGAAGCAGGCAACCAAGGCACCCCGACAAGGUUUGUCGGGGCUCGCGGGGGCAGAACCACCCCACUAACCACUCAAACGUGACCCACGUCGUCAAUCAGUGCGGUGUCAACCCGCAAGAUGAUUAAGUGGUAGCCAUUCGCCACAUGGCGGCCAUUUCCUACAGAAGAAGCCUACAGAUGACACCCGUCCUGCGACGUGUCAAGGGAGGCACGGAGCUAGCAAGAUAGCCCGGCAAUCUUUGCCGGGCGACCAGUGAUGUGCCACCAAGCGGCGCAUUUAAUGCACCUUGUCAGCCUGCAGAAUUAGGUAUGAUAGCAUUGUUCAUUAUCAUAUCAGUGGAUAAUGACUACUUUGCCAUUGUGGUGACACCUUAAUCUAUAAAAGAAGGCCCAUGGCACUCGUAGGAGGGGUUGGAAAGUUCAUGAACCCAAGCCACCAUACGUGCGUAGUCGCUGCGGUCCCGAGGCGAACCCUGCCGGGCAAGUGUACUACGCAUCACCGCGUUCAUUCCACCAUCAAUCCACCAAAGCGGGAGUAGAGUCUUACGCCUCACGAUGACCGAACCUGGGAAAAUCGCUUGUGUGCUCCCUGCCACGCUGCCGUACGCUAGUCUUCUCUUUGUGCAACGCGACGUCCCCCUGCCAAACCAGCAAGGGGCCACCUGGUCCCAUAGGUGGCCGCGGACAUCCCGUGACACAACUCAGCUGCUAAUACCUUCAAAUGUGCUUUGUCUCCACUUGUGUCUAAUCUAUAAAUUUGGGUUGAAUACUCUACCCUCGAAAACUGUUGCGAUCCCCUAUACUUGUGGGUUAUCAAGACCUUUUUCUAUCGCUGUUGCCGGGGAGGUAGCUAUAUUUGUUGAGUCAAUUGGGGUUAUUAUCAUAUUAUCACUAUGAAGAAUCUGAAGGAUGUUAAGACUAAUAUUUUUCCCUCAAAGACGAGGGGAGGUAAGGAACUGCCAUCCAGUUCUGCUUUAGAUUCACCUUCUAUUAUAAGUAAACUUGCAACACCACCACAUGCUAUUAAUUCUAAUAUGUCGCAAGUUAUUGAUGAUAUUACUUCUUCUAUGGAUAAUGCUUAUGAUGAUGCUAGUACCUUGCUUGAUAAUGGUGAUGUGCCACUUGGUGAAUUUCUUAAUAAACAAAUUGCUAGAGUAAUACAACAUGAUGUUGUUGAAUCUGAUGAUGAGCUUGAAACUGAAUCUCCUGAAACAACUGCUAGAACUAGCCUUCCUAGAUAUGAAUUGCCUAAGCUACCGGAAGGUUAUGUUAUGAAUGAGGAGACAACUAGAGAUAUUCUUGCUUGUAGGGAUAGAGAUGAUCUAGAGAAAUUAUUAUGCAAGUAUAAAGAAAAAUCUUUGAAUGCUAGAAUGAAAUAUGACCCUAAGUUUGCUACUUCACCUAUCUUUAUUGAUGAUAAGGAUUAUAAAUUCUCUGUCGAACCAGGGUUAAUUACUUUGGUUGAAUUUGAUCCUUUCCAUAGUUAUGAAACUCAAACUGUUGUGGCACAUCUUACUAAGUUGAAUGACAUAGCCACUCUUUUUACACAUGAUGAGAAAACUUGCUAUUACUUUAUUCUCAUAUUAUUUCUGUUUAGUCACUGAUCGUUGUAUGACUUAUUUAUUUUUAGAGUUGUGUUAGAUAUCUUCCCGUGAUUCCCAGAUCUUGAUCGUAUACAUUUGCAUGUAUGAUUAGUGUACGGUCAAAUCGGGGGCGAAACAGAAAAAAUAUUUUUGGCUACCGAAAUUUUGGCCUAAAAACUGCCCGGGGGUCUCCAGACUUUUUUUUCUUCCGAAACCUACUCAGACAAGGAAACAUGAAUCGGAAAAAAAUGGAUCUCGAAAACAAACCUAAUAUGAAAAGACCUCGGAUUGGUGGUGGAUAUAUGAUGGUAAGAUAUGGCAGCGGUUGUGGUAUAUGGAAGCGGUGGUGGUAUAUGGUAGCGGUGGUGGUAUAUGGAUACGGAUUGGUGGUGAUAUAUGGAUACGGAUUGGUGGUGGUAUAUGGAUACGGAUUGGUGAUGGUAUAUGGAUACGGAUCGGUGGCGGAUAAACGGUGGUGGUAGAUGGCAGGGGUGAUGAUGAUGGUGCGGUGGCGGUGUGACAACUUAUGACGAGAACUCGAAACUCUAAAAGACUAGAAGCUAAGACCAGCAACUAGACACGACGAUGCAACUGCAAAUUCAACAAAGCAAAAACCCUAAAAAGAUUAUGCAAAGGCUCAGAUUGGUUCGGAUAUGAUGAACUAACCCUAUUUUUUUGGCUUUUUCGUGGACUAUAGGUAUGAAGGACGGACUCGAUCUAAAACUACGAAAACUAUAAAAUCUCAUCGAGCAACCUGGAAAUCUGAUACCAGUUGAUAGAGGCGAAGGUGUCCCGAUGUUUCGAUGAGAUAGCUAUCGUUUUCUAUGGGAGUCGACUUUGACGAUCCGACUACGAACGUGUGAAGACGUCACACCUUAGCAAUCGCUAAACCAACUUCCGAGGGUUAUUGACCACGUCGGCGCACGAUCAACCUGACCACGAGGGUCUAUUUCUUGCGAGCAAAACAAAGAACAAGCAAGAAACUGAGAUUGCAAUCUGGAUAUUGCGAAUAUAAGAGGAAAACUUUAUUGAUCAAAGGUGGGGUUCUGUGACGCCUUUGUCUGGACAUUGAACACAAACGAAGUACGUGAAGUUGCAGCUAUGGCGAACUUUAACCUAAACAAAACCCAAAGUGUAAACGAUGCCCUAAGGGUUGUAUAUAUGGAGGAAGAGGGGGGAAUUUCGUGGCCCUUGGAGGAGGGGUCCGAAACCAACCCUAACUCUUGUUUCCCCACACAUACGGAGUCUAAAAACAGCCUAUAAUCAAGCAUUUCAAAAUUACAUGGGCCUGGCCCAAAAAUAAGGUGACGCAGCACCUAGAAUAGCCUCUGGAUGAAAUUUAUGAAGUGGCAUCUUGUAUAUUUCGUCCAAGGCUUCAUGCACUCCUUAUGGUGCCUUUAAAGUCUUGAAAUCAUUACUUGUAACUCCCUUCUUGUUCCCCUUGCGCAUGCCAUCAUCUCCAUGCUUGUUCUUGCUCCAGUGUUCAUCUCUCUUAUCCAUGCCAGGCCCUUCAUUUGUAAGCAAAACAAAUGUAUCCAAUUUAGGCAGCAUCAUAUUCUCAUGAACAUUAGAAUCAUUACCAAGAAACGAAAGUACCUGAUAAUUUAAUUGGCGUGCGCGAGCUCUAGAAAUUGGUCUAGUAUAUGUAGUAGUAGGGGCUGUGGGAGUAACAAUGGUAUUGAUGUCCUCAUCAAUCCUGCCGGGGAAAGCUUGUUUAAUAACAGUAAAGAUGCACUCCACCUCUGCAUGGACAUAUACAUGCACGGGUUCCCGACAAGGUUUAUCUCUUUCAUUGACAUGCUGAUAUAAGUUCAAGCAUUAGAGAACACAAAGAUGAACUCGAGGGAUUACAUUAUUUGAAUUAAAAUUUGGUGAUUGCCUACAAGUUCAAGAUUAAAAAAAAUAAGUGCCCCGUGAUCCCCUCUUUUUGUUUUCCCUCCUUAAGCACUACGGCUGAAGGAGGAAAAGACAAGAAAAGGAGCACCCAAGCAGGAGCCCACCCAGUCCUGUCGGGGCCCGUGAGGCACGUCCUGACAAGACCGGGAGUGGCGAGGCUUCGAAGGAGGAGUGCGGGGGACGGGGCGGCGCCUUCUGGUCACCAGCUCUAGAGCCAGCAAGAAGCCCCGACUUGAGCGCCGGUGGAGUCAUCCACCAAAGCUCAGCCGAAAGACUGCUGGAGGCGAGGAGAAGGCACCAAGAGAACAUCCCUCCCCAGCUAUCACCCGAAGAGGCUGGUGAUGACGGUGUCGGGGAGGGAGGGGAAGAGCGGGAAGACGAGGCAGCAAGAUGACGGUCAGAGGCGAAGGCAUCCACGCCAUCGUACUUUGACCUGACCCCCUGCCACACACCUUCUUCGUCUUCCCCCCUUUCUCCUCACCACUGCUGCUCCCGGGAAGCGCCAAGACUCCGGCCCGACACCUCCAGUGGAGAAACAGCAAGCAGCCGGAACGGCCAGGGGGGCGAGCCACGCCGCACCCCACCUUGGCGGGCAGGAGGGCGCGCCUCUCGUCGACGUUAGCCCCAAGACCUACGGGAGGGGCGGUGCUGGGACUGCCAAUAAUCUCUGGCCCCUCCUCCCGGACGAACACCGAAGAUACCAAAAGACUCGCCACAUCAAGGACCAGGCUCACUCCCCAAGCAUCAGCACCAGCAUAAGACAACGAUAACCCCAAAGAGGAGCCCAGGGGCUGGCCCCACGCUUCCUUCUCCAACAUGACCAGCAGAAACGGAAGAUGAGGAGAGAAGGACCACGAAGAUGGAUGGAUUUGCCCUCCUCCGCGCCUCCCUUUUAUAGGCCGGGCGGGGAAGGGUAGCUGCUCCAUCCACGGGUGAUCACCGCCCUCCUCCACCAAUUCAAGACGAGUGGGCCCUUUUCGAGGUACUCUCCCGCGCCACGCGCCUCCGUUACCUACCCCGCGUGAUGCAUGCUGCAUAUGUGGCUAAGGAUAAGGGCGCACUGUGGGAAGAGUAAAUUGGCGGUUUCUACCUUGUGUGUUAAAGUCAUUCACGGGCCAUCACUGGAGCGGCCCCACCACUAUUGGCUUUACACCACGCACGGGGAAACCGGAAACUGGCCCGGAAUCAAGGCUGAUGAAGUAGCAACGAAAAACUCAAGGGGCCAACCCCUUCAGCAACCUUGCCUGUACACUUAUUAGGCCCUACCCCGACGACGCUCAGCAACGCGUUCGGGGCAGGCCCAGGGGCUUCUGUCGGUGCAACAAACCCUGGGUCUGUUGCCCAGACUGUGCACAGGCACGAGAUCAAGAUUGAAGCACCAACCCAAGCCAGAGAUUGAAGGACCAAGAGAUUUGAAGAACCAACACGCAGUCCAGAGAGACCAAUAUCGAGCCAGAAGAGCAAGAUAUCGGCAAGGGAAGGGCCUCCCUUGCCGGGCAGGCGAGCCCGGCAAGGGGCAAGGCCACCGCAAGAAGCAGGCAACCAAGGCACCCCGGCAAGGUCUGCCGGGGCUCGUGGGGGCAGAACUACCCCAUGAACCACUCAAGCAUGACCCACGUCGUCAAUCAGUGUGGUGUCAACCCGCAAGAUGAUUAAGUGGCAGCCGUUCGCCACAUGGCAGCGAUUUCCUACAGAAGAAGCCUACAGAUGACACCCGUCCUGUGACGUGUCAAGGGAACAGGCGCGGAGCUGGCAAGAUAGCCCGGCAAGCCUUGUCGGGCGACCAGUGAUGUGACACCAAGCGGCGCAUUUAAUGCACCUUGUCAGCCUGCAGAGUUAGGUAUGAUAGCACUGUUCAUUAUCAUAUAAGGGAUAAUGACUACUUUGCCAUGGUGGUGACCCCUAAAUCUAUAAAAGGAGGCCCAUGGCACUCGUAGGAGGGGUUGGAAAGUUGAUGAACCCAGGCCACCAUACGCGCGUAUUCGCUACGGUCCCGAGGCGAACCCUGUCGGGCAAGUGUACUACGCAUCAUCACAUUCAUUCCACCAUCAAUCCAUCAAAGCAGGAGUAGGGUCUUACGCCUCGCGGUGACCCGAACCUGGGUAAAUCGCUUGUGUGCUCCCUACCACGCUGUCGUACGUUGGUCUGCUCUUUGUGCAACGCGACGUCCCCCUGCCGAACCAGCAAGGGGCCACCCGAUCCCAUAGGUGGCCGCGGACAUCCCGUGACACAACUCAGCUGCUAAUACCUUCAAAUAUUCUUUGUCUCCCCUUCUGUCGAAUCUAUAAAUUUGGGUUGAAUACUCUACCCUCGAAAACUGUUGCGAUCCCCUAUACUUGUGGGUUAUCAAGACCUUUUUCUGCCAUCGUUGUCGGGGAGCAUAGCUAUAUUUGUUGAGUCACUUGGGAUUAUUAUCAUAUUAUCACUAUGAAGAAUCUAAAUGAUGCUAAGACUAACAUUUUCCCCUCAAAGACGAGGGGAGGUAAGGAACUGCCAUCCAGUUCUGCUUUAGAUUCACCUUCUGUUAUAAGUAAACUUGCAACACCACCACAUGCUAUUAAUUCUAAUAUGUUGCAAGUUAUUGACGAUACUACUUCUGCUAUGGAUAAUUCUUAUGAUGAUGCUAGUACCUUGCUUGAUAAUGAUGACGUGCCACUUGGUGAAUUUCUUAAUAAACAAAUUGCUAGAGUAAUACAACAUGACGUUGUUGAAUCUGACGAUGAGCUUGAAACUGAAUCUCCUGAAACACCUGCUAGAACUAGCCUUCCUAGAUAUGAAUUGCCUAAGGUACCGGAAGGUUAUGUUAUGAACGAGGAGACAACUAGAGAUAUUCUUGCUUGUAGGGAUAGAGAUGAUCUAGAGAAAUUAUUGUGCAAGUAUAAAGAAAAAUCUUUGAAUGCUAGAAUGAAAUAUGAUCCUAAGUUUGCUACUUCACAUAUCUUAUUGAUGAUAAGGAUUAUGAAUUCUCUGUCAAACCAGGGUUAAUUACUUUGAUUGAAUCUGAAGUCCUUUAUAUCCACCGCUCCUGGCUUCUUAGGUAGCAAUGUGACAAUGGCUUUGUUGAUAGCAGCCAUUCCCCUAAUAUCCCCUCUAUGGAAGUGGUCCAGCGCCCUCAUGAAAUCGGCUUUGAUCACAUGCCAGCAAGUGGCAAAGAAACGCCCGGUAAACCCGUCCAGGCCUGGCGCCUUGUCAAGAGGCAUUGACUUAAUGAUGUUGAAAACUUCCUCCUCCUCGAAUUGUACCUCCAGCCGCUCUAGAUCAUGGGUCGGCAAAUCCAGCACAUCAAGGUUGAUCGUCAUCUCCCUUGCUCUCGUCGAGCCGAACAGCCGCCCAUAGUAGUCAUCAACCGCCUUAGCUAUAUCCUCCUGACCCGUGUGUGUUUCCCCGUUGGCCUGGAUAGCCGUGAUGACGUUCUUGCGUUGUCUGUGCCUCGCAUGUCGCUGGAAGUACUUUGUGUUGGCCUCUCCUUCCCUCAGCUGCAGAAAACGCGAUCGCUGCCGCACAAUGGUCCUCUCCAGCGAGCACAGCCCUAACAAUUUCCUUAUGAGCAGCUUGCGAAGACCGUGUUCCUGAUCCUCCAACGGCCUCUUAUCCGAGGCGGCAUCUAGUCUAGCAAUGACCUCCAUGGCUAAGGCUAUUUGCAGGCGAGUUUUUUCCAAUCCACCUGUCGCUCCAUGAUUGCAGUGCCUUUGCAGUGGCGUGUAGCUUAUUGUCCCGCACAGUAAACGGAUUCCCCACCGACUGAAUCGAGUCCCAUGCCUCCUGGACCAUGUCCAAAAACCCUUCCACCUUGGGCCAGAAGCACGCUUGCCUAGAUGGAAUUCAGCAUCCGUAUCCAGUAGAAGAGGGCAAUGAUCUGACACUGAUGAGCCCAGAGCAGUGAGCAAGCUGUUUGGAUAUACGUCUUCCCAUGUGUUGGUGACAAACACAUGGUCGCUCUUCUCGAGUGUCAGGUCUCUUUGUUCGUUACUCCAAGUGUAUCUUCUUCCAUUCAGGUAUUGUUCCUUUAGUUCAAGCCUAUUUAUCAGAGCGCGGAACCUCGCCAUCAUCCUUCUGUUCGUGGUAGGCUUGUUCUUGUCGUCCAUGGAGAUUAAAAGGUUAAAAUCUCCCAGCAGCACCCAAGGCCCAACGUGAAGAUCCCGUAUAUCCCUCAACUCCGUCAUGAAAUCUACUUUGGCCACAUCACUCUGAGGGCCAUACACCCCGGUUAGCCACCAAUGUGGUUUCCCUUCCUGCGAGACUAGAGCCGUGAGCGUGUUCGCCGUUACGUGCCUGUUUGAGAGUGAGACCACUAGGCUGUCCCAAGCGAUCAAGAUACCACCGCGUGUGCCCACCGCAGGCACAUAGUAAAAAUGCUCGAAUUUAUUAUCCAGGCAAUGUCUAACCACAUUAAUGGAGAUGGACUCCAUUUUGGUUUCUUGGAGGCAUACAAUGCUCACAUUUGCAGCCACAACUACUUGGUACACCGCAUUCCUUCUAGCCGGCGAAUUGAGUCCUCGCACGUUCCACACGAGUAUUUUAGGCAGGUUUGAAGUCAUGGAGAGUGCCCAUCGAACCACGUGCCACACAGGCUCGUACUACUGGCCCUCGGCCCCUCCUGCCUCCUCGCACUGCAAGGGCAGCACCGAAGCAUCCCACCCAAACAGUGCCCAGAUCGCCCUCACAUGGCAGUCAAGCAACGGCUUAUCGAACAAUUUGACGUAGGCUUGCAGUGCGUCAUCAUCGAUCUGGUUCCCUUCAUUGGCUAGGCAAAGCUUCCGGAUCAACACCGCCUGUUGCUUUGAAGCCUUGGAGCCCCUCCCACCCUUUGCCAGCCUCACACACCGGCGCGGCGAGGUCACCGUUGGUCGCUUCUGCCGUGGCCUCCUCUGCUGUUUAGGUAGCUCUCUGGAUGUAGGCUGGGUUAGCAAAGGUGAGAGCGCUUUACGCAGCUCCGAGCAUAACUGCGCCACUUGCUCCUGCGGUGCGGAGACGGGCCUGGGAGGGGGCCAUAUGUGUAUGUGCCUGCUGGAGUGGCGUCCCCACCUGCCCCUGGGAGUGUCCCUGCGGUCACCCCGGAUCCGUUUCACCAUCUACCUGCGACAGGCUUACCAGAAACCAGCCUUCCUUCGACGUGCAUGGGCGCGUCCCAUCCGCAUGCAGGGUGGGGCCCAGCGGGGUCCCCAUGCCACGCGGGCUGCCUAACAGGCUGUUGUCCAACUCAGGUCCAUCCACUUAGGGCGUGGUGAGAUCCGCACGCCAAUCGGAGCCAUGGGCGUCGCGAGAUUCGCUCUGGUCCACUUGUACCUCCCAUCCGCCAAUCCUGACUGAUUGCAUGGGCUCCGGUCCCGCCACCGCAGGUUCUAUCAACACUGCUCUGUCAGUCUCGCCCUCUGUCUGUUGCGGCCUCGGACUUCCCCUCACUUGGUUCACCGAACCUGGCGAUCCUGAUGCGCUGAUCUGCGGCCCGUCCACUGAACCGGCUACCCAACCAGCGCCCCCACUCUGCUUUCCAACGGGGAGACAGCCCUGCUGGCCUCUGCUUGCAUGACACGUUGCACCGUGCCUCGGCCCACCACGCUUUACGUACCCUGGCAACCGACAGGAUCAGGGUCCUCCCUGCGCUCGGAUAGCGGCGUGACAUCUCCCGCCAGCUCACGCUGACCAGCCUGGGUUUGAAUGGCCCGCUGGCCGCCCUGGGUUUGAACAGCCCGGUUUCUGCCAGGCGAAGGGGCCGACGCCGACGAGGAAUCUGCCCGGCGAGGCGGCGAAGGCGGCGGCGGCGGAGGCCCGCCCAAGUCAUCGGCGCGCGAGCCACCGCCGCCGUGGCCAGCAGAUGGCUGGGGAGGGGGCGACGGCGGCGGCGUUGGCGUCCCGGCCUGCCGCCCAAGGUGAAUCGGCUCAGCCACCAGCCGAAUGCCAAUCGGGUACCACAGGGCAUCAGAACCACCAUCCACCUGCACAGCAACUCUGCUCCGCCUGUUCGGCUCCUCGACGGCAAGGAUCCGCCUGAAGGGGACACGAGUUGGGUCGUCCGUGCGUAGCCAGACCAGGAACCCCGCCAUGUCGCUCCGCUCCGCGGUCGAUGCCCCGACCUUGACCACCACCCCCAGGCCAUGCAGAAGAACCUCCGCCGUGCGCCGAGUCCACGCAUUCGCCGGAAUGCCCCGCAGCACCAGCGGCACCAGGAACGGCAUGGAGAUGGCCGUGGCGUGCGAGUGGCGAGACCAGGGCGCGAGCAGGAGAUCAAACUGGUGCGUGCCAGCCCGCCCACGCCUGAGCAACCUGCUCCUGAUCUCCGACGAACGGCACAACACAAGGAAAAUCCUCAGGGAAAUAUGCUCGAAUGGACAUGUCCAGCCAGGCUAGCUCAAACUCCUGCACAAGAACUCCAGCCACCGCAGCCAGAUCCGCCGCGUCUCGAUCACCAACUACGGUCACCACCACGGCCCGAGAGAGCUCCUUCUCGAGCGCCCGGAGGUCGGGGCCCGACUCCAGGAAGCACACAUCCACCUGAUCAUCCACCAUGGGGGGCGACGCCUCACCCGCAACCACCGGCUCGAACGGAACCGAGAAAGCCGGCCCGGGCACCACCAUGCUGCCCACCGACCCAGCGCUGACCACCCGACUCCACGGAACACCGAUCCGAACUGCGCCCGCCGGCGGCGGCCCGGGAGGGGGAGGCGGAAGCGGCGGGGACAGAGUGCGUGCCGCCCCAGACGACGGCGGGGCGUGGCCAUGACGGAGAGCCGGCGGAAGUCGCGGAGGAUCCACCGGAGACGAACUGCGGGGGCGGGGGCGCGGACGCGUGCAAUCCCGCGAGAUGUGGCCCUCCCCGUCACAGCGCACGCAGACCGGCGGGUUAGUGCACAUGGCCGAGAUGUGCUUGUCGCUCCCGCAAUUGUAGCAGCAGCCAACAAGCUUCGCCAGGAUCCGGCCCCUCGACGGCCGCGACGACGGCAGGAUGUUGGGCCACCUGCCCGGAGGGGAGCGGCGCACCGGCCUGGUCAGGGAGCGCGCCUGUGGGGCUACCGCCCGACGCCGGCCUGCGUCUGCCAGGGCGCCUCGCCCACCGCCAGAGGAAGGGGGGAGGGGGUUGCAGCCUCGGUCCACAUGAUUGGACCACGCGUCGUGCCCACCACGUCGGGCACAACGACCAAUGAGCAAGACCGGCCUAGGAGGCGGCGGCGGCGGAGGGGAGAGGGGCAAGGAGCCGGAGGAGGACGCCGAGAGGGACACCCGAGAUGCCAUGGCGAACGGCACCGAGGAACGAGCUAGUGCGAGGAGGUGGACGCCGGGGACCGGAGUGCCCACCGGCGAGGAGGAAGAGGUGGACGUCGGCCCCGGAGCAGGCGCCGGCGUGGGUUUGGUGGUCGCCGGGGCCGGAGUGGCCGCCGGCGAGGGGGGGGGGGGGCGCUAGGGGGAGAGAAGGGGAGCGCUAGGAUCGACUCCCUAAUUUCUUACCCAAUGAGUCCCCUGCGUUUUCUCGAAAGUGCACGAUGAUUAUGUACUGUAGUAUGUACCGAAUGGCCUUAUUCAUUUGCUCCUGUAAAACUCACGAACUUAUUCAGAGUGGAAGUAACCAAAUUCAAAACUCGAUCUAUUUGGUGGAUGGUUACAAAAUAAGUCAAGAAGUUAAGUCUGCAUUUGCAUCUAUAAUGUUUAUGCAUAAAUGAAUCAAACUAAUUACCAUGAAUAACCCCCAUUUCUAGAACAGCUUCAAUUACUGACUCAGAUCGGGCAGCAGUCAUUGCAGUGCCAUGUUGCUCACAAGCUGCUAAAUGCUCCAGGAGAGUAGCACAUUUUUCUUGCAGGCUUGGAGAUGAUUCUUAAGAACUUUGAUUAAGCGUGAGAUGACAUCAAGGUCAAAGAUUGAAUCGCUACAACUGUUACAAUCAUCAGUAACCGGUGUUAAUAGCAUUAAUCCAGGUAAUAAAACACAUCAGCAGGUCCACCACAGAAGAUAUAAUCAAUUCUCUGUACGGACUUUCUGGAGAAAUAAUUACAGACGAUUUAGUGUAUUACAUUAGCUUCAGCGGAGAACAUGGCUACAGAAUCUGUCAUUAAACUAGUAUCAACUUCAUGGAUUCAAUCUACAAAUGUAAUUAUUCUACAGUAUGCAAGUAUGAAAAGUAUAAAAUGAUAUAACUCUUGCUCCUAGUUCUUGUAAACAGCUUGCUAUGACAUGGAUUCAAGCUUUUCCAAGGAGAAGACUUCUUCACCAGCAAAAGUACAACUCCCAUCAAAAUAAUAUUCUUUUACUCCUGUCCCAGUUAAAUGUGAUACAGUACCAAGAAUUAUUAUCUUUCUGUCGAUAAACCCAAAUCACUACUGUGUAUUGAAUAGGAGUGCUGAAAUGAUAUUGAGCGAUGAAGUAAUGUGUACGGGGUAAUAAUAAAGGCAUUAAUUAGUAGAAAAGCUUAGGUAGUCCAUUUCAUUUGUGAUUUCAGAGACCCCAGUGCUUAACCUCAAUUGUUAGGAGUAUCAUUGACAGAUUUAAUAUGAGGAUCCUAUAGAGAAACUUCAUGUGUGCAUGAAGCUAAAACAUCACUUGCUUACAGAUAGAGAUGGCAAAAAGUGACAAUUUGUUUUUGUGAACUUCACUGAAGUAAAUGAUAUUCAGGAAUCUAACAAGGCUUGAACGAACCUAUCCAACUCGUCUUGUUUCAAUAAAUUUUGGGACGUUCCAUUGAGCUCACCAUCUACAUUACCUUGACUGCACUUCUCAUCGUCCGCUAUAUCCUCAGACCCAGUACUAGCAUAGUAAUCAGGCUGAUAAAUUUGAAAUAUUGUAAUUCAGGUUCGUUGAAACACAAUAAAGUACACUUGACAUAUUAAGAAGCCUAACUAACCGCAGUAAUCAUGCUGACCUCCAUAUCAAGUAUUCGAGAAAGUAUAUGGAUUAUCUGAAUCAUAACUGCCAAGUUAGUACGUGAUAAUGGCAAUAUUACACUGGAAUUUUAAAAGUUAAACUGAUAAUAUUAAAGGUUCUGAGUUGUGACCUUCUCCAAUUGUUCUACUGGGGUAUCUGAAUCCUUCAGUACAUUUACAAGCAGCUCUCGGCCAUCUUCUACUCUGAUCUUCUCACAAACUUCGGAACUAUGUAAAAAAAAGGAGAAAUAAAGAACAUUGAUUGUCAUGAAAGGAAAACAUAUGUAAUGCAAAAUCAUGAACCUAUCAGAAUUUUGUAGAAAUAAUAACUGAUCAUGUUGCGCCCAUAUCAACCCUAUGCUAUCUGGUAACCCAUACAGAAACACUAUAUCUUCUAUAUAACUCUUCACUGUUGUAGUAUGUUAGAAUAAUCAAGGCGUGUAUGGAUCUACAGUGAGGCAAGGCUUUCUUUUAUAAUAAAUACACCCUACCCGAUUUUGGUUGACGGUUGUGUUCUAAUCCAAUUAUUCGCUUGUUUUUCUUGUCACUGUGGCGAGACCAGCUGAGAGAGAACUAUUUUCCAUUUCCAGACAGACCCCGAGCGAGGAUAUGGAACAAUUUUUUAUGACCAAGUCGCAUGAGGCACGACACCGAUAUUUGUUAACGAGGUUCACCGAACUCGGCUACGUCCCUGUUGAUACCGCUACAAUACUGCACACGGCCGUCCGGACUCCCACAGAAGCCGCCGGCCCCCCCUGCAUUUGUUUGUAUUAUUACGUUGGCAUAAGUUACAUCAUGUGUCUUCCCCUAUAGUAUUAUAUAGGAGUCCCAGGGUAGAAUUGCCGUACGCGAUCAAGACUCCAUGCCCUAUCUACGCACUGUAAACUACCAUGUAUAAGAUAUUCGACAUAAUUAGAACAAAUGCCACCUCUGCGAAUACUCUUCACCACCUUGAAUUUGUCCAUGCGUCAAACCUCCAUGUACGUUAUGGAUUACUUAUGUUGGCCGUAGGAUUCAGAAUCAGACUGACCUACACAACAGUAUGAACCAAAGGAAGAGGGCUCAAUUUGGAUUACUUAUGUUGGCCGGAGGAUUCACGAGUGAAUACAGCGUCACGGGAGGCUGCAUCGGGAUCUCGUGCUCCUUCUGUAGGCAGCCGGCCAGGUCCGUACGCGAAUGGUCUUCUUACUCCCCAGGUCUGGCUCAGGUCAAGCCAUCGAGGAGUGCAUACUGGUAAAUCGGGUGCUCUCUUGCUUGGAGGAGUUGGAUCUGUCGAUCUAGCCAGGUGACCAAGAUAUCUAGCAGGGCGAGCCUCGCCCAAUGAGCCACAGCACCUCAUUGUGGAGAAGUCGGAUGUCAUGCAACCUAGUGGCGGUCAGCUUCGCUCCCCAGAACAUCAAUCGGUUCGGCGCUCCGGUGAUGUAUGGAAGGAGUCCUUGAUGCCCGGCGUACGUCCGGAUGUCGGCGGGAUAGAACCAAUUUGGCUGCCACUUCUUGACGGUGUCUGGCUGCGCCAACUUGAGUACUUGUCCUUGGGCUUCAUCUGGAUGCCAGUUCCACCUCUGAUGGACAGGUCGUUGCGGCUCUUGUGCACCUUCACCAUAAAGAGCUUCAUCCAAAGGCCGAAAUGGGGCAGAGACCCCAAGAAACACUCGCAUAGCAUGAUGAAGCACGCGAUGUGCAGAAUGCCGUUAGGGUUGAGGUUGUGCACCUGGUUGUCUUAGAGCAUCUCCAACAGCAGCACUAAAAUAGGGCGGUUUCUGCAUCACCUCAGCCGAAAAAGGAGCUCCAACAGCAGCCCUAAACACAUAUUUUUGUGGUCCCACUUUAGGGCUGCCCAAAAAACCAGCUCAAGGUGAUGCAAAUUUCGAUCACACAGCUGGCUGCCCAAACACAAAAACGGCUGCGACCCACAUGCCGCACGCAGCUGAAACCUCCCAACCGCCCCCCUCCCUGCACGCGUCAUCUUCUCUACCACGAGCCGCCACCGCCAAAUCCCACUGCCGCACCAUCGAAUCCACCGUCGUCGUGCCUCGCCGCCGUAGAUCCAGCACCCCCCUCCUUUCUCCGGCUGCCGGCACUGCCAUAUCCACCACCACCACCGCCGCCAAAUCCGCGGCCUGCCACCGCCAAAUCCGCAGCUUGCCGCCACGAAAUCCCGCUGCCCGCCACCGAAUCAGACGCCGUCGACCCUCGCCACCGCAGAUCCAGCUCCUACCGCCUCCUCCCGCCUCUCUCGACCGUCAGCGCCACCAUCAGGAUACCGCCACGCCGCCCGAAGAUCGAAAGAUCGCGGAGAGAUCUGUUUCUUGAGUUACCAACUCUCGGCCUAGUGGCGGAGAGGAGAGGAAUGGUGGUACGUAGAAACCUUAGCUCUAGGAUGACCGAUAAAGUAUCGGAUGCCCCGGUUGAAUGGAGUUUUUUGAGAGCCAUCCUUCUUAGGUUGGGCUUCUCCUUGGCAUGGGUGGAGAUGGUUAUGCAGUGUGUGAGUACAGUAAGAUACCAUGUCAGGUUUAAUAAUUUUGAGACGGACGAGAUUAUACCCACUAGGGUGCUUUGGCAGGGGGGCCCCUCUCCCCUUGUUCCUUCUGUGUACUUCGCAAUAUUCACAAAAUGUGGAAGUCCUUGGCAAUAUUCUGAAAAGGUACUGCGUAGCUUUGAGCCAGCUAGUAAGUGAAAGCAAAUUCUCUAUUUAUUUCGGUCCUAAUACUGACGUUACCGAAAAAGGGUUUCCCCCCGCUUUGUAUUCCAAAGCAAACCACCAUUGUACACAUCGCAAUGCUGGGGCGAGCAGCACAUCAAGCCCAAAGAAAAAGAAGAAGAAAUAAAUGCCAACAGCGGCAGCUCGACAAAGCACUGAAGACCCGCGACCGCUGCGCCCUCCGGAAACAAACCACCACAGCCCGAGGCUCCGAUCUACCAUGAACUAAGCAGCAUCUCCAAGAAGGGAUGCGACGCCGACGACGUUGCUGCCCGGACAAGUCCUAGGGUUUCCCCCAGUACGCGGAGGGAGGUGGGGGAUAGGUACUACAGACACCCUCCAAGAAGGGAUAGUGGCACCCGCCGGUGUCACCGCAUCGGGACCGGACAAACCGGCAAGGAUUUCUCCCGCACUCCAAACCCCACCGGCCAACCGAAGCCGACCAGCCAAACCACCGCCCAACACCAUGCGCCAUCAUGGUUGCGCCGCCACCAACGUCGUCUCGCUGCGAGUACCACCACGAGGCCAAGACCGGAGAGAAGAUCCAAGCGGCGGGAGCAGCAGCACCAAGGCCGAGCAGGAGGGAACCACUUCCACCGCCGUCGUGCGAGAGGCCCGCGCCUCCAGCACCGUCGCGGUAGCCGUCCGGACACGGCAGCGGGGCAUUACAUGGAGUUACACUAUGGAAACUGAAAGUCCCAGGCAAAAUUAAGGUUCAUGUGUGGCGGACGUUACAUGGAGUUAUUCCGUGUUAAUCUAUUCUUGCUAACCGGCAUAUGAAAACUAAUACUGCAUGCCCUUCAGGAACGUACUGAAGACAUCGUCAUGCUAUGUUUGAAUGUGGUCGAGCGCACAAAGUUUGGGAGAACCUGGGUUUAUUGGAGAAAGUGGAAAAAGCUCUCAACUUUGAUAUGGCUAGCUCUGCUGUACUAGAUGAAUUGAUUUGUAGUUCGAGUGAUGAUCCAUUAUAUCUUGCUCAAAUCCCUGUACCAUGUUUGAUAGCGGUGGCUAGCUGGUUUUUAUGGUGGGAAAGACGACAGUGUGCAAAAGGAGAGAAGAUCACGAUGCCUGAUCGUUCUGCCUUAUCAAUACAAGCUCUUGCAUUGAACUUUCACCGGGCGGCUACUAUAGGUCAUCCGGCAAAGGAUGUGAUGUGGGCUAGACCACCACAGGGUACAGUCAAAUUGAAUGUUGAUGCAUCGCUUGAAUAUGGAAGGAAUAUAGCUUCCACUGGCGUAAUUCUGAGAGAUGUUGGUGGAGAUUUCAUCGCAGCAGAGAUCUGCUACUUGGGGCCAACAAUAGAUGCAUAUACAGCAGAAGCUUUGGCAAUGAAGAAGGGGUUGCAACUUGCAGAUUCUUUGGGCAUUCAUGAUCUGCUGGUUCACUCUGAUUGUGCAGAAUUGGUUAAGGAGAUUCACCAAGGAGCGGUUAAUUCAGUAGCGGCUGGCAACUGGCUAUAUAAGAUUGCCAUGUCAUCAAGAGCUAGCAUAUCAUUCACUCAUAUCUUAGGCUAGUGAUUUUUUUCACUUUCUCUCUUUCUCUUUCCUCUCAUUUACUCAUUCUACCUAGGAGCACGUGUAGAGGCUGGCUCUUGCAUUAGAGCCCACUCUCUCCCUUUUUGCUUGUCUCUCUCCUCCACCUAGGCAAAAAUGCCAUGUAAGCGGGCUUAUAGCCCACUAUUGUACUUCCUCUUAAAGAUUGUUUUGAUACUUGUAAUAAUUUUGGGCAUGUUGCUAUUGAGCAUUGCGCGCGCGAGUUGAACCGCGUGGCUCCUGAGCCAGCUAGAAGGGCUAGGGUUGAUCCUCCGUGUGUGUGUCAACGGACGAACCUCCCUCUUUUAUUCAUAGUCUUAUGGUGGAUGAUGUAUCUUUAUUUGAGAUGAAAUAAAAAUAGCCAUGAUGGCAUUUCCUCAACAAAAAAAGUAUCUGAUGUCCCCGAGAGUGUCCCAAGCUCGCCUAAUAUACCUAGCCGAGCUAGGGUCACAUGACUCAAGCCGGCUUGUCUGUGGGCUCACGCCCUUCGGUCCAACCGAACCAUGCCAUGCGUCGGCGGCCUUCUCCCAGGUCUUCCCAGCAGCAACCCCCGAGCAGACUCCCAGACCUAGGCGGUUGGGUUGGAGCCGUGUGCCAACCGAGGGCUAAGGUCUCAAAAAAGAAACAAAAGAGAAGGACAAAAAACAUGCUUGAAUAAAGAGAAGACAAUAAUACCUGACACUUAGUUUUUCCAAUGCAUAAGCACUCGCUUCUCUGACAGGUACAUCAUUAUGCAUCAGCAACUGAAGUAAAGAUUUCACAGCCCCAGCUUCCAUGAAUGAAGUGCGCAUGUGUUCAUUUACUGAUGCAUCACCGAUUGCAUGAGCAGCCUUUGCAAUUGCAGAGACAUCUUGGAGACCAAUUAUUAAAACUAGCCGUGCAACACCAUCUAUCCAAGGUAAGAUGGUGUGGUGAUCAUUCCUUUGAGAUCCAGAUUGUUCUUUCCCUUCAUAAUCAAACUCAAUAGCUCCAACGCGUGCAAGAAAUUGCUGAUUAGAACGCCCUAUCAUAGCAUUAAUUUUAGCUUCAUCUGGCUCUGCUUUCUUCUCAUUUAGAAUCAGGCCAAGAAGCAAUUCAGUUGCACCAUAUUUUGAAGGCCGAGAACUCCGUUGAAUUUCCGAGCCAUCAGGAAAAGAGGGCCAUGAAUGAGGUUGAGGUCUGAAGGCUUUAUAAGCGGAUGAGCCAACCAGAGGAAUCCGGACUAGACCCUGACCCACUAUAAGGGCAUGGUAACUAUCAUCCGUGGAUAGUUCCACGAGCGACCUUCUAGCUUCCUUUCUGAUACUUUUAUAAUCAUCGUCUUUGGUUUGCAGAAGAUGAACCUAAAAACAAUUUGAAGAUAAAUUUAAAGGAAUGCUAACAAGUAUAUUUAAGCAAACUAGUAAAUGCGCAUGUGCAAUGCACGUUAAUAUUUAGUCAAUAUAUUAAUUGCAUGCGGAUAUUAGGUAUGCUAUUAUUUGUGUGUUACUUCUGUGAUUAGUGCAAUAUUUGGUAUGAUAUUAAUUGCACGUUAAACAUGUUGAAUGCUCGCCAUUGGAACAGUCUAGGCCGUUGGAUUGACUUAGUUUGAUGGCCGAGAUCAGUUGGAUCUGCCCCUUUGGGUCUUUUUAUAUUGGUAUAGAUAUAGAUAUAGAUGAUAUUGGUAGACUGUAACCCAAAUAGAUAACCACUAAGAUUUUAACAUAGAUUGCAAAUACAAAUGAAAUAACGAAAGUUGUCAAUGUAGCUAAUGGAAAAUUUAAUAUCCAGCAAGAAAAGAUACACAUUUGAGAACUUCAUAUGCACCAACAGGAAGUUCAGGCACUGGAUGAAUACGAAAUAACAGAGUUUAGAGAACGUACAUCUGCCAUAAGAAUCUCACACAAAAUAAGUGCCCAAAAUCAAAAUAAUGAAUAUUACUUGUACUUGAUAAAUUACCACUUGAAGGAUUACCCAACCACAUGUUUGGCUGGAUACCCCCUUGAAUUCCUUAGACUUUUUAUUGGUGGAUGAUAUAAAAUUUAUUUGAAGCUAAUGAAGCCUGGUUUAUGCUAAAAAAUUGUAGCAACGACAAUUCAGCACGGUGCUAGUGCAAAGUAAAUAUGUAAUUUCAUAUUACUUUGAAGAGGACAGAUGUAUAUUGGGUAGGCUCAAACAAGUUGGGGUAGGCUCUUGGGUGAAAUUACAUAUUUACUUUGCAUGCCCUAGAGCAGAAGCGACCGAUGGCGACACCACUGCUCUGGUGAAAGUGAUCUUCAGGUACAGAAACGUGGCAACCAAAGCUGACGUGAGCGUGACGGACAAGGACACCAUGGUAAAGAGGCCAGAGCACGCAUCGGAAUGGUCGGCAGAGGUGGAACCAAGGCGAGCCCGUGUGGAGGCCGGUAGGACAUUGUCGCAGCGCAGGCGGCUCUGGAGCAGGGCAAGCACCAGGAGGUGGUGGAGAUAUCAGAGAGCUGUCAGCUGGCACAGGAGCAGAUGGAGGCGGCAGGGGACGGCAACCCCGUGAUCGUGUUGCUGGGGCCAAGCUGCACGACAUGCAGAGGCGCUGAACCGGCACAGCUACUUACGGCCAGAGCGGGCAUACAUGCUCGCCGGCAUGAGCACGCACAUGCAGCAACGCGCCACCUCUAGGCAGAUGUAUAUGCCAGAGGACGAGCGGACGUCAGUGUCGGCAGGAGACGACGUUGUCGUAAGCGACGGAAGCCAUGCGUGCUAUGCUGAUGCGCUCGUGAAAGGCGCGGGAGGUGUCAGCCGAGCAAGUACACGUUGCAGAGCAGGCAGACACCUUGGCCAUGCAGGAUCCUGGUUAGCCUUCUAGGAAUCCUAGUAUAAAAUUCUAUGGAUUUACAUAUUAGACGUGUAGUGGUGCCUGGUCAAGUGGCUAGCUCAUAAGGAUGUAGCACCUGGGGUACUCAGUUUGAACCCCAAAAGACGCCCCUUUUUCCUUCCUAGUUCUCCACCCCACAUGCUGACAAGCAGGCACCACGUAGCCAGGGUUAAUGAUAUUAGCACUGUAUUUGCACGGUCACACAAGUUUUGGAACCGGUUCACUGUAUUUUUCAACUUCAUGCACCAAAGUGAUCAUCACACGCAACUUCAUGUGCCACCAAUGUAUUUGAUUCUGAAAUAAAACGCAUUUGUUUGCAUACAUCCACUUGAGAUUAUCUUUAAGAUAGACUACUAAUAUUUGAUAUUAUUACAAUAUGAAGACUAUUGCAUUGCAGAGUUAUAAACUUAUGCGCAGAGCAUCCAUGGUAAGAGUGACUUAAAGUUCUGGCACAGGUUAAUGUGUUGCAAGCAUGUGUAGACAUUAAUUGAUUAUUUAACAAGAACAAAAAUGAGCCACAACUUACCAGUUUUGGAAUUACACCAGCUUCGACCAGAGCUCCAUGAUAAGAAUGACUUAAAGUUAAAUAUGAUGUGAUACUAGCAGCAACUUCUUUCACUUUUAUGUCUUCAUCAUCUAGGAACCUAACUAUUGGUAUUAGCAUAUCACUCCCCAAAAGCUUGUAUCUCAAAUUUUCGUCAACAGAGAAGUUCCAAAUGGUACACAAACACUGCUCCUUUAUCUGCAAGAGAAAUAAAGAAUGUAUGUCUGGAGAAGUCAUUAGGUAGUUCAAGAUUCUUCCAUAAUGAAGUUUAUCUGCCUGUCAUGUGGGGCAUCCCCUAUAGGCGUAGGGAAAGCCAGACGAGUCAGGCUAGGGCUGGCAACCGAUCCAAUCAAGGAUUCGGACCUACUUAAUUAAAGAAAGUAGGAGUCAAUUAUAGGGAGUCCUAAUUUUUUUUUAACCUGAAUAGGGAGUCUUAGUUGUGUGUGUAUAGGAAUCAGCAGUCAGCAUUAGGAAAGUACAAGUCAAAGGAGUCUGUAAUGCGACCUCUACAUAAGGAGGCAGCCAUGUGACACCUAGGCAUCGAGAACAGUAUAAGAGCAUCUCCGACAGCUUAGCCUAAAAAUGAGCCGAAUACCUAAGACCUGAAAAAUUAGGCUUUUUGCCUCAAAAAAGGGCUCCAACAGACCUUUAUGGAUUGCUAAAAAUUUAGGCUAUAGCCUAUAUUUUACUAUCCAAUUGGUAAAUAUAGGCUUCCAUUAGUCCAAAGCCUAAAACCAAAAUCACGGCCACAGCAAAGCAACCACCGUGUGGUGAAGUUUCACCGCCACCGCGCCGACCGAUUUGGCCGCCGGCUACCCUGAGCCCCACCGCCAACGCGCCGCCCAAUUCCGCCACAUGACCGCCCCGAGCUCGAAAGGCACUGCCCGGUCCCUCUGAUUCCAGUCGUCCCCUAGCCCCGUCGUCGCCCAAGAUGAGCCCCAAAGCCUCACCGCCGCCCACCGAGCUCAAUUAGGAGCCGGACGACGACGCACGCGCAACGGCAGCGACCCCCGCUGAGUCGGGCCGAAUUGUUGGCGCUCGGACACCGCCGCGACGCCAGACUAGCCAGCACCCCCAGCUCCCACCGUACCUCCCNNNNNNNNNNNNNNNNNNNNNNNNNNNNNNNNNNNNNNNNNNNNNNNNNNNNNNNNNNNNNNNNNNNNNNNNNNNNNNNNNNNNNNNNNNNNNNNNNNNNNNNNNNNNNNNNNNNNNNNNNNNNNNNNNNNNNNNNNNNNNNNNNNNNNNNNNNNNNNNNNNNNNNNNNNNNNNNNNNNNNNNNNNNNNNNNNNNNNNNNNNNNNNNNNNNNNNNNNNNNNNNNNNNNNNNNNGAGCAUCCCGGCCCCAACGACCUUCACCAGAUGAAAUCGAGUUCGGCGCCGCAUUAGCUGUCGGAUACGCCUCCUGGCCUCCCCACCGUCGGAUCUUCAGCUUUUAUUUGCUUUUGAAAAUUGAAGUAUCCCAUUUUACGUUUGUCGUAGAAGUAGCAAUUCUUUGCCUAGCUAGAACCUUCUCUCUACAUGCCUAAAACUAUUUUUGAGUAUCCAAAUUUUAGGCUAGCUGUAGAAGGGGUUUACUGUUUAUUUCUCUUGUACCAUAUAUCAAGCCCUUUGGGCUCAUCGCAAUACGAGUUGCCUUUCUUCUAAUAUGCUAUCAGGCUACAUUUCCCUACAGCCGUCAGCGCAACUCCUCUGCGUUUGUCCGCCACCGCAUCUCUCUCUCCCUCCUCAUGGUGCCUUCCCCUCUAGCCCAAUCUCCUCUUGUUAGAAUUAAUCCAAGGCGCAUAUCAACCAUCCGAAGACCAAGCAAUCACACGAGGCACGACAUCGAGAUUUGUUAACAAAGUUCACCGAACUUGGUUACAUCACCUGGGCCUAACUACAGGCGCUCCUUCCCGUGAUACCGUCACAAUACCGUACCCCGGCCGCCCGGGCGACGACACAUGCCGUCGGGUCCCCCUGCGUGCCUAUGCUAUUAUGUUGGCAUAGGUUACAUCGUGUGUCUACCCCUCGUUAUAUAAAAUGCCUAGGAUACAAGAGUCCUACAAGGACACUACACCAUACCCUAUCUACACACCUACGACUCCAAGUCCAACUGUAACCAACCUUGUACAUAAUAUUUCACACAAUUCUAACAAACUCCACCUUGGCGAAUAUUCUCCACCACCUUGGGUUUGUCCAUGCGUCAAACUUCCAUGUAGAUUAGACUUGAGUUAGGCCAUGAGUAUUGCUGCUACUCGCAGACUCCAUAUGACUCCACCUGCAACUGUAGUCCCUUCUUGUCUUCCCCACAAUCACAACUCGAGCAAAAUUAAGUUAAUAUUUACUCUACUUUGUGCUCUCAACUUUCGGAGUAUCCGUUCGACGCCAUCACACACCGAUCACUGUCUACGUGUAAGUAACAACUCACAAUUGGACGCCACAAAUGAGUUACCCGAACUCAACAUCUUAGCUCUUUCUCGACUGCCGGUUUUGAACUUUGAAGGAAUUUCACCGUUGCCCUGUGCCACCCCGAGUCAAAUUCGCAGUUGUCUCACCCUUUUCCUGAUAGUCUUUGAAAUGUCCCACAGCUAUAGCACUCCGCCUCCUUCUGAACUUGUCAUCCACACUUUGCCAUGUGCACUGAACACCGCAGAAUAUACGGUCAUGUACUCUCUCAACUUUUGACAAAUUCAGACUUUCCGCCACUUUCUCAUAUUCUCCAUGGUCAACUCAUGUCAAUCAACCGGCCCCGAUAGACCAAGUCACCAACUUGAAUCUGGUACUCGCCAACAUUGCUUCAGCACCCUCUGCACACUUCAUCCGACCAACAGUGCCUUGGUCUAUCAUUGUGUCCGUGCUUACCACACACGUCUUCCCGCUAUCACCACGUCGAGCCUCUGCUGUCCUGGUCGAGUCUCUCAUGUAGCUAGCCCACACUUUCUCAACCCCCACUGUAGAGAACCACCGAUCUUCACUGACCGAUGCCGAGUAUCACAUUUCCAUCAGACCACUGGUACCCAGUCCAAACCACAUGUCUCUUGCUUUCCCGCUGAAAUAGGCUACGAUUCUCCAAAUCCUCACACCGUAGCCCCUCCAUCAGCACUGAGUGAAGUCUUCCGCUAGACUCUAGCUCCACCUUCAACAUGACUCCAUGUAGUUGCGCCUUGCUAUCCCUCGCCCUGUCGGCUUCAAGCUCUCAUGUGUGCACUGCCUUGAAUCAACCCUGCGUCAUAGUCUUGUCGAAGCCGCACAAGCCCUCAGGCCCGCACAACGUGUUUCCACGCCCUAGAAGUCGAUCACCAUCAGCACCACGCUCAUGUGUCGUUGUCGCUGAAAUCACCGUCGUCUUCUGUACCGACCAACAUCCAUGUUGAUCCACCAGACUGUCUAGGUCACUGCCUUGUAUGUUUGACCCCAGCUGAAUUUGUACGACUGCAACCAUGCUCCACCUCACGCCGUAUCAGCCCAGCAAAUCACUAUGCAUUGCUCGACGCCCAUGUAGAACAUAGCCCUUCAACAGAACGCUUCCUUGGCUCAUCAUGUCUAACAAUUGUCAAACCGCUGACCUGUACCUUCACUACCAAUCACCGUCUGUCCACUCCUAUGGAACAACGCACACGUCGGAUAUAGCUUCUGAUCAGUUCAUGUCCGCUUACGACUUCCAGACCUUCAUGGAUGUGUUUUCAUUCCUUCAAUUAUAUAGCCGGGCAACUCAUGAAAAAACUCAAACCAUGCCAAUGUCUUUGUCUCCGAACAACUCGACCAUGUCAUUGUCUCCUUAGUAGUACGACUGAACCAAAAUGAUUUUCCUGGUAGCUUCACGUACAUAGCAAACAAAAUCUUAAACAUACCAAACCACAUACCAAUGGAUUGGACGUGACCCCUUUGCCUUGAAACUUGUGCCUCCUUUUUCCACAAACAAAUCUUGCGUCACGGCUUGAACUUCCACGCACCUCAGCCGGCUCAGCCUCUCAUACGUGCAUGGGCAUAGUCCAGGAUCCCCUGCCGGCUUGGACAGCCGUACCUAGGCCAACCCGCCAGCUAGCUUGGGCCAUGUUGCUGCCUGCCCACCUGGGCCUUCUUGACGUGGUCUUCGCCUGGCUUCGGCCACGCGCAUCACGCCGACGCGCCUCUGUUGGCAGCUGCCCAAACAUUGUUGUUGUCUGAUUUGAUCUAGAUCCAAUCUGCCCACAAAUACCUGCACCGAACCGAUCUCACCCCGAGCGCGGCGUUACUGCCACCGCCUGCUUAUUGCUUUUACCGAUCCCGUCGACAACUGCGAUUUCUGUGGACAAAUCUUUCACCGAUCAGCCCAUAGCUUUGCUGAUCGAUACUUUCACACGCAUUCACGCCGUCUCGAUGAAGAUCCAUCCUCUAGAUCAUCUACAGUUUCCUCACAACCUUUCAAACUUUCCUCCGAUACCACUUGUUAGAAUUAAUCCAAGGCGUAUAUCGACCAUCCGAGGACCAAGCGAUCAUAUAAGGCACGACACCGAGAUUUGUUAACGAGGUUCACCGAACUCGGCUACAUCCCCGGGGCCUUACUAGGCGCUCCUCCCCGUGACACCGUCACAAUACCGUACCCCGACUGCACGGGCGCUAGCUCCCCCUGCGUGCCUAUGCUAUUAUGUUGGCAUACGUUGCAUCGUGUGUCUACCCCUCAUUAUAUAAAAUGCCUAGGAUACAAGAGUCCUACUAGGACACUACGCCAUACCCUGUCUACACACCGUACGACUCCAAGUCCAACUGUAACCUACCUUGUACGUAGCCGCCUCUCCUCCUGGCUACGCCCUACNNNNNNNNNNNNNNNNNNNNNNNNNNNNNNNNNNNNNNNNNNNNNNNNNNNNNNNNNNNNNNNNNNNNNNNNNNNNNNNNNNNNNNNNNNNNNNNNNNNNNNNNNNNNNNNNNNNNNNNNNNNNNNNNNNNNNNNNNNNNNNNNNNNNNNNNNNNNNNNNNNNNNNNNNNNNNNNNNNNNNNNNNNNNNNNNNNNNNNNNNNNNNNNNNNNNNNNNNNNNNNNNNNNNNNNNNNNNNNNNNNNNNNNNNNNNNNNNNNNNNNNNNNNNNNNNNNNNNNNNNNNNNNNNNNNNNNNNNNNNNNNNNNNNNNNNNNNNNNNNNNNNNNNNNNNNNNNNNNNNNNNNNNNNNNNNNNNNNNNNNNNNNNNUGCGACACUUACCGUGGUGUGCGGACUAACUAUACUCAGAGGGCUGAUGGUGGUGCUCGGUCUGCAGCCGUCCUCUUUGUCGGUGUCCUGCCUCAGUUCUCGUCUGAGUUUGUGGGACUCUUUACGGCCAUCCAGAAGUGGACUCACCUUCGCUAGCGUUAUCAGCCCUCGGGUGACACUAUGCACUUGUCAGUGGUUCACCGGGAGAAUGCACUUUAGCAGGCUGAUGCCACUGUCGAUGAGUUUUAUGCUCGGAGUUCUUCUAUCUGGUGUCAGCUUGAUUCUCCUCACUGCUAGUGCCUCUUGUCCGUGUUGCCAGACUUUUCGUACGGACUUGGAACUUCACCGUGUUUAUGAGUUCUUGACUCGGGCCCUGUAAGGAGUUUGAGCCACGAUGCCCCAGCAUUCUUGCAUGCGUCCCUCGUGUCACUCUUGUGGAGGCACUCUCAGAGAUCUGCACAGAGGAGAUUCGUUUACGUGGUGCUGGUCUGCUGGAGCCUCCCUUAGUGCUUAGUGCUCGCUCACCUGCUAUACCACCUACUGCACCGGCUGCUUCCCGCUCUCGUGCUCCGCCUCUUCUACCGGCUCCCACAGGCAAUUGAGUUGUCAUCCUCAUCACUGCGACUUCUGCAACAUGGAUGGUCACCUUGAGUCGAGGACUCGAGGUUAUUUGGACAAACAGGCCCUUAGAAUGAAUCACUCCGCAAACUUCUGGGUCAGGAAAAUUUAUGAGCUUAUGAAUUUUGGAGGGUGCAAUGAGCUAGCUUGCAGUAACAUUUGGAACUGUUCACCGCCCAAAAAAUGCAAAACCUUUGCAUGUUUACUUGUCAAACGUCGGAUCAAAGUCAGAGUGGUUCUAAAAAGACAAGGACUUGUCGACGAUGACACCUGCCCCUUUGGCUGCAGCGACCAAGAAACAGUUUCCCACCCGACUUUGAAAUGCAGCAGGACGGAACAUAUAUGGGACGUUCUCGGCAUCCAAGUGGAUGGGGCGGAUGAGCCGGCUGACAUAUUCACUGACAGGCAGAAGCUCCACUGUGAACAAAAACGACGCUCCUGGGAACUGAUUACAAUCGCUGCACUGUGGUCUAUCUGGUUGGCGAGGAAUCAAAGGGUCUUCGACGGCAUUACCAUCCCUCCAGCGGUAGUUGCGAAACAAUGUGCAGGCAUGGUAAAAUCUGGGCGCACAGGGGGAAGAAAGACGAACUUCUUUCUUUGGAGAUUGGGCAAGCUUUUCUAGUUCUAUCUCUCCCUCGUUCCCCUCUCCUUCUCUUUUAUGAUGCAUUCUCUCCUCUCUCUGGUGUGUACCCCAUUGUGUAAAACUGCUGCUCCGUAAGCGCUCUGCUUACGGGUUUAUUUUUGUGAAAUUUGAAGGUAGGGGUCGCCCCUCCCGUUUUACUCAAAAAGAGAGAGAGAGAGAGAUGUCAUGUGGGGCAGUUAAUUAAAGGAAGAAGUAGUCACUUAUGGGGAGUCCUACUUGUGUAUGUAUAGGAAUCAGCAGGCAGUAUUAGGAGAGUAUAAGUCGUUUCAUAUUUGGAAUCUGUAAGGCAAACCUCUACAUAAGGAAGGAGCCGCGUACGUGAAGUCUAGGCAUCAAGAAUUAAUAAAGAUCUAGCUCCCUAUCUCUGCUCAACAGCUACUCCCCGCUGGAAGAUCGCCGGUCAUGCAGCCCCACCAGGUCAUGGAAUAGCCCUGCGCAGAGGGUUCUUCCAGCCUGGCUAUCCAUAGUCACCAUUUACCAAGCAAGUCAGAAAUGGCAACAGUUGUAUCCUUUUGCAGUCAAAAUGGAAGAAAGAAGAAAACCUUCGAUUGCUGGUGCUUACGUUGCAGUUACCUCUGGGGUUAUCGUGGAUUUACGGAUACAGCUAAAGAUUUCUUCCAUUGCUCCACUCUCAAUUGCCACAUCCCUGUAUAACUUCACUGAAGUUAUAUUAUGCACAAGGCCUGCCGCUGCUUCACAAGCACAAGCAGACUCUGACUUUAGGAGGCUGAUGAUGAGGCUGAUGCAACCUGGGAACUGCAUUAUCUCAUCGAUGCACUUCUGUCCACCAAGGGAGUAAUGCCAGAGUGUGCAAAUAGCAUGUUCCCUAUCAUGAGCGUCAUUAUCCAAGCCAAGCAUUCGGACAAAGAGACCAACAUAUGCAGAUCCUGAAUUUGCCAUGCUCUCGGGACUACCAACAUCCUAAUAGAAGCAAGCAAAAUGUAUCUGACAUUUCAAACCGCAACAAAAAGAAAGUGAAUGCACAGAAUGUUCAUGCUACAGAUUUAAUAUUUGUAACAUAAAUACUAAGACCUAAGACUCGACAAGACCACAACCACAAGGGUCAAUUUUAGUUGUUUUCUGUAAUUUAAAUCACAAGCUAAGUCAAGAAUCAUGCAGUGGGGUUAUCUCACCUAUCUGAUUGUGGCUCAUGCCAUCAGAACUCUCCCCAUAUAAAAUACUCCCUCCGUAACAAAAUGUAAGACAUUUUUAUGCCAUAUGCAAAACCAAAAAACGUCUUACAUUUUGGUACAGAGGUUACUUGCGCUCAUUCACAAGGAAUUGACACAGAACUUAAUAUAUGCAGAUAUGGAGCAUUUUGAUUAUUUUGAUGCCAAGCAAUCCCUCAGAAUUCAAAAAGGCGGAUUUUUUUUUUAUUGGGAAGACAGUAGGGAAGGUCCUACUGUAUUAACAUAAUGUACAAGAGAGAAACAGUGUAUACUAUCACAAAGAAAAAAUAUUGCUUGCCAUUUCACUGGAUUACUAGAGCAGGUUCUUGGUUAAGAACUCUCCUACAGUUUUUCUUCUUUGACUUAUAACUCUCCCCCAUUUAGAUAUGAUUUAUGUUGAGUGUUACUUCCAAUCAUAUGCACGAAUAUGUCAUAACGUCGUAUCACUAUUUGAUCCAGGUCAAGUUAGUAAAGACUAAAGAUGGUUGCAGCUUCAUCUGGCACCCAAGAAAACUAGCAAAAACAACUCAAGCAACUGAGCAGCCUAGCCAUAGCUUCUUGUGAAAUACGAAAUGGGGAAUUCUGAGUAAGGCGUACGAAAUUAUGAACAAACUUAAGGCCAUAUUGUGAAGAGGACGAGAGCUAACCUGUCCUGCGCUACCAUCAGAAGCGGCGUAUGUGCCGACCAGGAGAAAGCGACCGCGACCCCCGCCGUCGGCGGCUAAGGGAGGGAAGCGGUGGUGGAGGUGAAGAUGAACACCGUGAUGGUGUCGGUGGUUGCGCCGGAGGCGGGAGACCGGGCGAGAGGUUUGCAGCGUCGGCGAGGCGGCGGCGAGAGCCGGAAGCAUGGCGAGAGUUCCAGAGAGUGGAGAAGUGUGCGUCGCGUCGUGUUGUGGCGAUAGGAUUGGGAAUUGGGGAAUGCGCAUCUGUGGAGCACGAAAUUUUUUAAAAACUAAAAAUGGUAUUUUCGAAGUUUUGAAAAAGAUUGACUUUUGUUUCUAUAAGUAUCUAUUGGACAUUGUCCAGCAACCUAAAAAAUGUCUACUCCUAAGACCUCAUUUGGUAUUUGGUAGUAGAGUUUUGAAGGAGAUUUGAGAGGAUAAUCCUCGCGAGGCUCAGAAACCUUGAAAAUCCCCGGCGGCCCAUUUGGCAUGCAUGGUUUUGUCCACGUGAGCCCCUCCGAUCAUUGAAAAUCCUCGAUGGCCCAGUUGUGGGGUGUCUUUGUAGUACUUCUCUAUGAGUCGUCAUCUGGUCAAGACAAUAGCCAGGGUGUCUUUGUAGUACUCCUCAUGUUUGAAUGUACUCGCAAACAUGGUGAACAAAAGAUAUACCGAAUGCAUAUACUCAUGAUGAAUUAUAUUAUAUGCAUGUGCUGACUGAAAAUUAAAGCAUGACAUGAUAAAUAUUAAUACAGUGGAAGAAUAAAUAAAUCAUGUUAAUACCUAAUCAAAGAAAUGAAAUGGAACAUCGGGCGUUGGACCGCCCGAGAAAUUCCAAGGAAAAAUGCCAAGCGGGUGUCUGAAAGCGACGCCUCAAGAGGUCUUGAAAAGAAAUGCCAAACGGGUGUCUAAAAGCGACACCUCGAGAGGUCUUGAAAAGAAACUAGUUGACCCGUUGCGCCAAAUGACGCAGAGACCCGUUAAAAUCAUGUUGUCGAUGAAAAUAGUUUUAUUUUGUAAGGACAUAUUCGAUAUUGGUAGUAAAAAGUUCCUGUGUUAAACCAUGAGAUAUACUGAAAAACUGAAAAUAUGUUUAGCAUAUUACGAAAUCCAAGUUUGAAAAAAUUCGUAUUUGUAUAACAUGUAUAGACCAGCUCAGGAAGCUUUUUAUUAGUUGAAUAUAUGGUUAUCAUGAUGAGAAAUCUGAUUAAAAAACAUAUUUGUAUAAGAUGUAUCCAGUCAAGAAUGUAUUUUUUAGCGGUGUUUGUAUCAAACUUUUAUUUUCCAUGUGCACAAAAAAAACAUAUUUGUAUUAUGCAUAUGGAGUUAAGGGUAUUUGAAAUGCCCAUAUACUACCUGCCCAGUCCACGAACAAUGCUAUGUGUGGCUUGUAAGAAGUAGAAUAUGAAGCGGCAGUGAUUGAAUCCAUCGAGCAUGUUUAUCCCCUUUUCCUCUUUGGUUCCUUAGUUGAGCGAGAGAAGCAUUCCCGGAGAGGCGUACUCAACUGGUGAGUUUUAUCCUUUCCUUCAAUUUCUCAUUUAUCUGGAUCUUGUAUUUCCCCUCUUUCUGGCGAUUUUUACUCCUCCUAUGUCUUCUUUUAGGCAUCGUAUAUUAUGUGUUGUAAUUAUCUCCAUGUAGGGAUGUAUACGCAUGCAAAUAAAUUUUUGUGGUUAUUUCCAUUGCGCCAAAUGGCGCAGAAAACCGUUGAAUCCAUGUUCACAUUGAAAAAAAAUCCUUAUUUUAGUUGCGGACAAGCACAUAUGAUAGCAAAUUUAACCCCCUCCUUUUUCGAAUAAAAGUUAAUCCUCUUUAAUAAAAAAAAUAAUGGAGGUUUGUUGUCUACAUUGAGAUGUACCUAUACAUUUUAAUUUGGUAGUAUAGAAUCUCAUUGAAGACAUAGUCGUGUUGAAAAUAUGUGUAUUUUUGAGUAAUCUCCCAUCUCCCAUUGCACAAAAUGACAGAGACCCACUAAACACCAUUUGUGCUUUAAAAAAAAUUCAUUUAUCAGUGGCACUAUUUGUCUACAUGCUUCAUGAAAGUGUUUUAUUUGUUUAUAACGUGUGUAUAUGAUUACUGUCCUUUGAUAACCUGCUAAAACAUGCAAUCAAGGAUAGGGCAUCGCCCCGCUGGCUGGGGUUGCAGCCAACCCACCCGAGUUCAAAUCUCAGCUCGGACGCACGGCGCUCACGGUUAACCCUUUAGUUGGUCUCUUUUUUUUUUUGAUAAAACAUGCAAGCAUCAUCGACCACUGACAUGAAAAGGACAAAUAAAAUACUUCCGUUACUUUGAAAAUGACCUCAGGCUCAAAUUCAUACAUAUCAUUAGAUAAGCUUAUCAGAACUGAAUUCCCUGACUAACCAUUUACAUCAUCUCCACACUUCUGCUUCUGUUCUUUCAAUACGGAAUGUUUACGUUGCAUACUGUUGACGCUUUUCAAAUAAGCUAGCAUGUGAAAAGUAGUAGCACCAGUGCAGUAAAAAAGGCCAGCUAGUUACUGAACUGGCCGUGCAUGUACAAAGUACAUAAGCACUGAAUGUUCAACGCCACAUACGCCCCAAACAUUUUCUCUUCUUCUGCCUCUAGUGCGCCCUGAUCGAUCGCUUUAUCAAGAUAGAUACUGCCACAACCUCAUCCACCUCACAAAGUAAAACCUGUCAUCACCGGCAAGACAGCUAAGCAAAGUAAUUCGUUAGUUCUUGAACCAAGAUCCUAAGCUUGGAGAGCCCUUCAAACUGAACCAAAACAAUUGAACCUUCGCCAACAAAUUUUCCAUACAUACAUGCAUACCUAGCUAAUGCACCUGCACUAACAGAAGAACAUAAGAAAACAUCAAUGAAUAACUAUUCAGAAGUCAACAGCUGAGAACCCAGGGAUCUAAAUAAGACGUGUGCACAGAUCCCAUUUUUAUGUCUAGGUAGGCAAUUAUACAAGAAACAAAAUGAGAUGGGUAUGGCUAAAAGCAUAAGAGCAUAGUGCAGAUUCCUCUAACAAAAUACAAAUGCCUAACAAAUUUUCCAUACAUACAUGCAUACCUAGCUAAUGCACCUGCGCUAACAGAAGAACAUAAGAAAACAUCAAUGAAUAACUAUUCAGAAGUCAACAUGGCUGAGAACCCAGAGAUCUAAAUAAGAAGUGUGCACAGAUCCCAUUUUUAUGCCUAGAUAGGCAAUUAUACAAGAAACAAAAUGAGAUGGGUAUGGCUAAAGCAUAAGAGCAUAGUAUAGAUUCCUCUAAGAAAAUACAGAUGCCUAGGUAAGCAAUUCUGAUGCUCUGAUGCGGAGCAUCGGGGACAUCAUCAUGUCAAGAGUUCCUUCGGCGGGUGACUCGUGCGACAUCUACUUCACAUACACAAAGGUGAAUCAUCUCCUAUACACGUGCUCAUUUGACCCCUUCGAGGAUGGUAUACUACUUGACACUCCACUCGUGUGCAUGCAUAGGUAUUGUCGAAACACUACGGACGACGACGAGGAGUGCAAGCGCCAAGGAACAAUUACACCAUCCGCGAGGGAAGCCUGGAAGCGACGACGGAAGAAGACGGAGCUGCUGAAGCUAUAGCGGCCGGACAUCCGGGCCAGAGGCCGGACAUCCGGCGCCAACCCCGGACAUCCGGCGCCUCCCGACAGCCCGGACAUCCGGCAUCUCCCGCGGAAAUCCGGCACCGACGUAUCCAGAGAG
RNAcentral lists this long non-coding RNA (96493 nucleotides) under Triticum aestivum (bread wheat). RNAcentral describes it as "long non-coding RNA (TAES_LNC025637)". The record is from RNAcentral. Lineage: Eukaryota; Viridiplantae; Streptophyta; Magnoliopsida; Poales; Poaceae.